This 134283-nucleotide long non-coding RNA is filed under the name Malus domestica (apple). Its description in RNAcentral is "long non-coding RNA (MDOM_LNC004983)". Lineage: Eukaryota; Viridiplantae; Streptophyta; Magnoliopsida; Rosales; Rosaceae. The record is from RNAcentral.
UCGGAUAAUGGUGGUGAAUACACAUUCGACCCUUUCUUGAAAGUUUGCAAAGAAUAAAGGAUUGUAAGACAUUUCAGUGUCAAGGGAACUCCACAACAAAAUGGAGUUGCAGAAAGAUUGAAUCGAACCUUGCUUGAAAAGGUUAGAUGCAUGUUGUCUCAGUCAGGUUUGAGAAAGUCGUUUUGGGCAGAGGCAGUUACUUAUGCAUGUCACAUCAUCAACCGGUUACCCUUAGCUGCUAUUCAGGGUAACACACCAAUGGAGGUAUGAACUGGAAAACCUUCUUCUGAUUAUGAUCAUAUUCGUAUUUUUGGUUCACCUGUUUAUUUUCAUGUAACUGAAAAUAAACUUGAUCCUAGAGCCAAAAAGGUUAUCUUUCUUGGUUUUAGUAGUGGUGUCAAAGGUUACAGGUUGUGGUGCCCAAAGAUGAAGAAACUUGUAAUCAGCAGAGAUGUGACAUUUGAUGAAGAAAGUAUGUACAAAGGCUCUGAGAAGAAUGUGAAAGAUGUCCAAUAAGUGGAGCUUGAGAAAGUUGCCUCUGGUACUUCAAAUCCUAUUUCCGCUGAUGUCGAAUCCACUACAAGUGAAGAAGUUGGAGACCAUGAGGAUGUUGAAGAAGUUGAACUUAAAGAUUCUAUUCAAGUUGAAGAGGAAGUUUCACCUCAAGAGUUUAUUGCCAAGAACAGAGGAAAAAGACAAAUUACCAAGCCAGCUCGGUAUCGUGACUAUGUUUCUUUUACUCUUCCUAUUAUCAUUGAUGAGAUUCCAUCCAAUUUUGAGGAAGCUAUUGAGAGUGAAGAAAAUGAGAGGUGAUGCAAUGCCAUAGGUGAUGAGAUGAAUUCUCUCUUGAAGAACAAGACUUGGGAGUUAGCUAAAUUGCCUAAGGGCAAGAAAACUAUCGGUUGUAAAUGGGUGUAUGCCAAGAAGGAAGAUGCUGAUGAGAAAAGCAAUGUGAGAUUCAAAGCAAGAUUAGUUGUUAAAGGGUAUGCACAAACGGAGGGCAUUGACUACAAUGAAAUCUUUUCUCCAGUUGUGAAGCACCCCUCAAUUCGCAUUAUGUUAGCUCUUAUUGCACAGUAUGAUCUUGAGCUUGUGCAACUUGAUGUGAAAACGGCUUUCUUACGUGGCGAUUUGAAUGAAGAGAUUUAUAUGUGUCAACUGGAUGGGUAUAUAGUGAAAGGGAAGGAGAAUUUGUUUUGCAAAUUGAAGAAAUCACUUUAUGGCUUGAAACAAUCUCCAAGGCAAUGGUAUUUGAGGUUUGAUAAAUUUAUGAGAGGCUAAAAUUAUUCUAGAAGUCAAUAUGAUCAUUGUGUGUACUUCAAGAAGUUGCAAGAUGGGUCUUUCAUUUAUUUGUAGAUAUAUGUUGAUGAUAUGUUGAUUGCCUCAAAGAAUGUUGAAGAGAUUGAAAAAUUGAAGAAGCAAAUGAAGAAUGAGUUUGAGAUGAAGGAUCUUGGUGAAGCGAAGAAGAUCCUUGGCAUGGAGAUCACUAGAGAUAGAGCGAAGGGUUUGGUCAGUUUGAAUCAAAGACAAUACCUUGAGAAGUUGAUUCGGAAGUUUGGAGUUCAUUAUUCAACCAAACCGGUUAGUACCCCAUUGGCUCCUCAUUUUAAAUUGAGUUCUCUACAAUGUCCUAAAACUGAUAAAGAGAAGCUGCAAAUGAAAAAUAUACCAUAUGCAAAUUUGGUUGGUAGUUUGAUGUAUGCAAUGGUAUACUCUAGACCGGAUAUUGCUCAUGCAGUUGGCAUGGUGAGUCGAUAUAUGCAUAAUCCAGGUAAAGAGCAUUGGCAAGCAGCUAAAUGGAUAUUGAGGUAUCUCCAUGGUACUCAAGAUGUUGGUUUAUGCUUUGAGAGAGAUAACUCUGGUAUUGGUCAUUUUGCAAUUGGUUAUGUUGAUUUAGAUUAUGCAGGUGAUCUGGAUGGAAGAAAGUCUACUACAGGCUAUGUGUUUACUAUGGCUAAAGGGCCAGUUUGUUGGAGGUCCAUUUUGCAAUCGUCUGUUGCCUUGUCUACUACAGAGGUUGAAUAUAUGGCAAUUGCUGAAGCUAUAAAGGAGGCCAUUUAGAUACAUGGGCUGAUUAGAGAUUUGGGGGUUGAUCAAAAGUAGGUGAAGGCACAUUGUGAUAGUCAGAAUGCCAUUUAUUUGGCUAAGUAUCAGGUUCAUCAUGCGAGGACCAAGCACAUAGAUGUGUGUUAUCACUUUGUGCGUGAAGUCAUUGGUGAAGGAAAGAUUAUUCUCCAGAAGAUUCCAACUAAAGACAACUCUGCUGAUAUGUUGACUAAGGUUAUUGGUGUAGCCAAGUUUGUUCAUUCCUUGAACUUGGCUCACAUUUUGCCUAUAUAAAGAAGGCGUUGAGCAGUAGGAGUUUUGGAGUAUUUGGCUCGGCAUGAGUUGUUCUCUUGCUAGUGUUUGGGAGUAAUUUUUGUGUUGAUUGUGUUGGUUAGCUUAUCAUGGCGUUUUCAGAACUUGGCCAAGGUGGAGAUUGUUGAAUAAGUGGCCAAGUGGACAACAAAACAAAAUGCUUUCGGUUAUUAAACAAAGCAAAAGAAAAAAAGGACAACAUGAUUAUGUUUCCUUGUUUUGUGGCUUGUUUGUGGCUUUUUCAAAGCCAUAAUUAUUGGUUUCGUGCAGAAGAAAAAAGGAGAAGAAGAGGGCUCAUUUUUUUGAAGUGAUAAGUGAGAGCUGCCGAAAGCAAGGAGAUUUGCAGAGAGCCCAAAAAGAAAGAGAAACUGCUGCUUCAUUUGGUUAGUAAUCAUCCACCAAAGUAGUUAUCGUUGUAAUAGCUUUGAGCUAUAUGUAUAGAGAAGAAAUUAUUCAUUAUAUUUCUUUCUCUAUUUGUUUAUGUGGUGUGUGAGAGCUAUUGGGUGUAUUGGGUUAUUUAGGUUGUGAGAUUGCCAACACUUUGUAAACUCCCAAUUGGUUAUAGUGGAUUAUUGGGUGAGCUCCUACUGCUCCGAGGACGUACUCCAGUUACACUGACUGUUGAGGAACCUCGUUAAAAUCUUGGUGUCUUUUAUAUUUUUGUUCUUGCAUUUCAUUUUAUAAAUUUCUUAUGGGUUAGCUUGAGUUGGUUCCAUUUGGUUUGGUGCUAUCCUAGCACAACAAAGGGAAGGUUGUAGACAUUUCUCCGAUGUGAGUUCUUUAGCUACUUUUAUAAUGAAGAAACUCACCUUCUCGAAGAAGCAGCAGGUGCCACUGCUCAUGAUUCCCAAGGAUGUGAACCUAGAGUAUCUUGUUAAGUUGGUGAAGGAAUGGAAGCUGAAGCCAGUGAUUGACUCGAUGCAUCCUCUGAGCAAGGCUGAAGAUGCUUGGCUUAAGAGUAUCGAUGGACAUGCUACUGGGAAUAUCAUUUUGGAGCUUUAAGUGGACAAAAUAUAUUCAGACACUGCAAUUUUUUUGGGACUAAAGUAAAGUUCAUGUACUUCUAUACAACAAUGUAUUAAUACCCCAUGAGUUGAGACCAAGCUUUAAGCUUUAGCUGAAGCAUUUAGUUGAACACAAGCUUGAAUGCAUGCGCUUUGCUGCGGGUUUUAAGAAUACCUUUUAAGACAAUACUAUUAAUAUAUAAAUUUUAUAAAUCAAUAUUUACAUGUCUGGUGUUUGAGAAGGUAAAUGAGCAACACAUUACAAUGAUCAAAGGAUAAAAUGCUCAUUAUUCGAAAUAUUUAGAUAAACUAUGAACAUGUUGCAGAAUCUAGAUUUUCCUACUUCACUGUUUCCAGCUCAUCCUCACCUUCAUUAUGUUGAGGUUUACGGUUUUAGCUAGUUCCUGCAAAUUUUGACAAAAAAAGGAGUCGUUAGUGCCAACAUAUAAGAAAACAAAAAGGGGACAUAUACGUAAAAUUGAGAUAGAGUUCAUUUGUGAUCCUGAAGGUGCAAAUGAAAUUUUUGUUUCCCUCUAUUUUCAUUUGUUCUAUCAAAUGCAAUAAGACUAAAAUGAGUGCAUUCAAACCAACCCAUUUUUCGAACUUUAGUCAUAUAUCAAAAAAAUCUCAGUGAUACUAAUUAGACAGAGUCGGGAAGUUCAAAUAAAUCACUUAUAGCAACAAAAAUAGUAAAAAACAAAUGUGUACGUAGAAAUUAAAAUAGUAAAGAGGGUAUAUAAUCGUUACGACGAUGAUAUAAUAAUAUGCUGUGAUUAAUUUGAUGAAGAAGCAGUAGAACAUAUAAGUAAACAAAUGGGGGACACACAACCAAAGGUAAGAUGGAGUUUUUUUUUAUAUAUAAUAAUGAAGGAGCAUAUAUAAUCCGUUUUUCAUCUGCUCUAUCAAAUACAAUGUGCAACAAAAUGAGUGCAUUUAAAUUAGAAAGAGUUGGGUUGUCACGCCCCAAUCCCGACAUACGUUCGAGAUUGACACGUGACGUCAUCAAAUAACCACAUAUCUAACAUACCCGUCCCCCGGGAUAUGUAUCAAGCACAUGCCAUGCCUCGAAUUGCAUAGAAUUUUUCGUAUACUUUAUGGCUGCAUUUCUCGUUAGACUGCCUACGUACCCUCAUUUGGGAUCAAGCCAUUCGUAGUUCGCCAUUCAUUACACCUCGACGUUUAUCACAAUACGUUCAAAUCGAAAAGCAUAGCAUUCCUCAAUCAAUUAUUAGAACUUAACAAGCAUGAAUUACUAGAUUCAUGGUUACAUAACAAAUCCACAUGACAUUCAAGGUUUCCAUUCCAUCCAUCAUAUAAAUCACUAUGUUUUCAACGUGAUAUCUCCAUCCACAGCAUGUAACUUAUCCAAUAAUCAACGAAGCCCAAUAUUAUUCUUAAGCCACAUUGAUCACUAAAUAAUCAUAAUAAUAACAAUUAUAUCCAACGUCAUUCCACAAUUCCCGUCAAUUAAUCCCUUCAUAAAUCAAGGAUGCAUGAUCUUAGCAUUUAACUACUUUAAUCAAUCAAUUAGAUAACAUACCAUUUCACCAAUUCAAUUAGAGAACUCUAUAUAAUUCCCUACUUGGGUUAUGAGUAAUAAUAUGGUAAUUCUAAUUUAUAUUCACAAGGUCUAUGGAUAAUUCCCAUUCGCUCGAAUCUAGGGUUCUAGACUAACCUUUUGGAAUGUGCAAGAGUAAGGAUUCCGGACCACUCAACGGAAUCCAACCACAUCGGGUUCCGGACCACUCAAUGGAACCAAAAUAUCAAUCGGUUUCUCGUAAUCUAUCCAGACCUGUUGCAUGUAAAAUCAGUGCCUACAUCAUGGAAAUGGUGCACUGGGCAAUUCAAAACUUGGAUAAGUUGUGAAGCUCAGGUGAGCAACAAUAAUACAAAGUGUGAUAAUAGUGAUAAAACCAACCAUAAAUCAUAGUUUAUAAACUUUGAAUAUGAAUCAUUCAUAAGAAAUUAAUACCAAACCUUCACAAACUCCGAAAGAGUCACCCAAACAUCCAACGGUUCGUCUGAAACAAUCACAACAUCUCACAACCAUAUUCUCAUAUAACACCAUGAAAAGUAGGGUUAGAGCGACAUAGUUUGGCCGAAACCUAUACCUUUAAAGCUAUCUCAAUCCAAACUCAAUGAAACCCAAGGUGAAUACGAUUCCGAAACUUCACUCAACGGAAUCGCGGAGUAGAAGGGAUUCCGGACCAUCUCUCACGGAAUCCAAGUGGAUACGAUUCUGGAACAUCACUCAACGGAAUCAUGGAAGGCCAACAACCAUAAUGUACAACGGCUCAAAGAAAUGAGACAAGCACAAGCUACUAAAUUUACAAAAGCUUAACCAAGGGAAAUAAGACACAUAUGCUAAAUUUAAAACGAAUCAAUGAAGAGGGAAACAAUAUCGAAGCAACAAAUCCCCAAUCACAAUGGGUUCACAGUCCAUCACUAGUCCUCACAAGUCAUCACAUCAAGCCAACCAUACAAAGCAAACCAUGUUUCUAAUAUGCACGUCAAAUCUCACAUCAUAAACUAUAACGAUGGCACUUUAUAGGAAACAUAAUCAUAUAACCGUCUCAUACCCUCUUAGGAUAAUAAUUAUGAAACUAGAGUAAUCACCUAUAACACAUAUAUUAAAGUCACUCACCUUUUUUAUACUAGUAACCAUACAUAUUAUUUCUCAUCCAUGAAAUCAACAUUUUAACCUUCUAUUCCUAUGCUUGUAACCUUCAUUCUCCAUCCUUUAAUAAACCAACCCAAAGUUAAUGGUUUUUCAACUUAAAACACCACCUCUUCACUCAUGCCACUACCCCUUUUGACAUGUAUAUGCGGCAAUAUAUAUAUAUAUAUAAAGAGAAACUGGAUCGUUUACUAAUAACUUGAAUAUAACUACUAGUAAACAAUCUAAACUCUUAAACCCCAACCAAACACACUCAAAUAAGCACAAGAUUAAUAGGGAUGUCAUUUCAACUAUAAUUCCCUUCGAGGUCUAGAUGCUUGGUAACGAAAGAAGUAUUUCAUAUAUCUAAUGUCACACAUCGGAAAAUUCGACUUUUUCUAAAAAUUCUCAAAUUUUACAAGAAUGAAGGUCUCAACAAGUAGUAAACUUUAUACAUGUGGCCAAAUCCAAUUUGGCCAGGAAGGCCCUCAAAUUGGCUCGCACCCGUCAAAACCCUAAGGUGGGUGUUCUUUAAUUCGGCUUCCUUGGUGUUCCAACGCUCCAACCACCAGUUGGGUCUUGUUUCGGGGUCCAAGGGAAGUUGAUUAAGGGUGGUGGUAAGUGGUGCAAGUCACCGUAACGAUGGAAUCACUGUCGAACUCACCCGUGAACCCGGUGAAGUUCUUCAUGAAAUUGGGCCUAAAAACUCUCAAAUAUGGAUGGAGAUGGUAAAGGGAAGGUUGAGGAAGAGGUUGUAGGCGAUGGAUGGUGAUGAAUCGACAGAAAGAAUUGCAAAGACCGCCGGAAAUGGAGUUGGGUUGGUGCACGGGUGCAAAGGAAGGUUAGGCUUCCUUUUUCCUUUUUUUUCUCACCACUCCCGUGGCUUUCUUUUCUCCUUUUUUUUUUUUUUUCAGCCACUCCCAUGGCUUUUUCUUCUCUUUUCAAUUUUUUUUUUUUUAGCAACAACUUUAAACAUCUGUAACUAUACCGUUAUAAUCCGGACUCGAAAAUGACUUUCGCCUAUACGUUCGUGAUCUCGAUAUCUAUUCAACAAUAUAAAUUGUGACCUCGAAAGGUCUACGAAUUUUAGAUAAUUACUUUCUAAACUUCAAACUUCGUAACUAAUUUAAUUAAAAUCUAAAUCCAAAUAAAUUAAUAUAAUUUCUCAAAAAUAACAUAAAAUCUCAAUAAUACAAUUACGUAGAUUAUAACAGUGAAAUCCAGGAACGAGAUUUCACAUGGGUUAGGCAUAAUUGGAUAAAGAAAAGGUCUUUAUAGCAACAAAAAUGAAGAACUACUUUAUAAUUGGACAAAGAAAGAUGAAGAUAAGAAGAAACAAAGAAAAGGCCUAAAAAAUUUGGCAAAGACAUUUUCAGCAAGUGAAAGAAAAACAGAGGCAUUUCCAAACAGAAAGUCAAUAUCAAUAUGCAGUGAAAAGUAAAUAAUGCCUGAGCAAGGGAAAAAACAAAAAAGAAAAAAUCAUAAACCUGAGUAGCCACGUAGAAUUCAUACGAAUGUAAUAUUUUCCUUUCAAAUGAAAACCUAUAGGAAAAUAAGAAAACCAAAUGAAAGGGCAUGGCAGAAAAAUUGAGGGGGAAAAUAGAUUUAAAAAAGUAAUUAAAAAAACAAAGAGGACGAAUGAUGUUGUCCAAUGUACUUAAUUUCUCUCAAGUAUAAAGACAGUUGUAUAUACUUCUUGACCAUAUGAGAGAACAUCAAAUGCGAAUGAACUAAUAGAGGCAUUAAUCAUGACUUGGGCAUUCAUGGUUAUCGUUCUAAACUUGAUGGCAUACUGUAAAGUAACAGUUUAUUUUCAUUGGAUAAUUUGAUUUCCCAAAUUCGAAAAAAAAAAAUUACAGAAUACUAAACAUUAUUACACAUCGUCACAACAUCCCGUCAGUCAAGAAUCAAAUCCAAAAGUAGAAUUGGGUAAACAAAUGAGAGAUUAGAAAAAUACCUCAAAAAUGGUGGCCUUGAUAGCUGAAGAGGCGACAAUAAUCAACACAAAUGAAAACCCAAAAGAAAAUAGUCAGCCCAACUAAGAGGAAAAUUGUUCAACAACAAAAAAAAAAAGAGAAUCCAAAAGAAAUUGCAGAAAAAAAAUUCUUAGGAUAAAGAAACCCACUUGGCCAUUCAGUAGAAAAACAUGAAGCAUUGAUUCAAAGAUGCACCCGUUAGGGUCUACGGUGUCUUAGAAGAUGGUGAAGUGAAGAACCAAAUUGUCUUAGAGCAUGCUUUUCAAUUGUUUUAAAAAUGGAUUGGAUUCCUAUAUUUAGCAAUUGGCACUUUAAGAUAAGACAGUUGUAUUUAAAAAUAAAUGAUCCAAUACACACAUUACUGUGUGAAGAGGGCUGGGACUUUUGCUAAACAUGCAUAUUGGUAAAAAAUACAACAAAAUACUCGUACAUAAUAUUUCUUCAUUGCUUCAUUGUAGGUGAGAAUAUUGUGAGAUCAAUAGAUAACAUAAUUAAAGGAACCCAAUUCAACACUUAAACCUAGCUUAUCACUGCAUUGAAAUGACAAAGAAAAUGCAUAUUAUAUCCAUGCUUUCAGUCAUUCAUUAGAUAGAUGUGCUUGAAUGCCAAUGAUAGAGUUCAUUACUCUGCACAUACAAAUUGUUCAUAAAAAAAUUAAAGCAUCUAAUUAAAUGAAGAUAUAUCUAUAUCUAAAGAGGAAGGCUUAUCAUGAGCUUCAUGAAUAUGUAAAAGAAAGGUAAGUAUAUGAAUUCUCAAAAUAAAAUUGAAAUUGAAAUUCUUAUUUCUAAAAGAAAUUGAAGACAAAUUAAGAUUAGAUUAUGAAUUGAAAAUAUAUUAAGAGGAAAUUCAUGCAGCAAAUGGUUUUGAUCAUCUCGUUCCUUUUUUUAGCUCGCCUAUUGUCAUGGUCAUCUUAAUAGUUGGUGCAAAGAUGUAGGUCCUGCAAUAAGGAACGAAAAAGACACAUAUUAACCCUUACAAUGGCUAGAGGAAGCAACAACUGCAAGUCAAUACUUCCUUGAAACCAUUACUAUGUUGCUCGUCCUCAUAGAAGCUGAAGACAUCCUGAUCAUGUGUAGAUGCUACAAAAAUAUACAUGAAAGUUGUCAUUCACAUGAUCCAAAUGUUAGUCCUACAUAGACAUAAUGCAAAAGACAAAACAAAAGGAAACAAAUAUUGUAGCGGCAUAAGUUGAAUAAUUGCAGCAAAGUAAACAAAUACAAAAUUUAAAUCCAAAUAAGAAAAUAAAUAAAUUGACUAAACUAUGAAAGAAAAUUUAUUCACCGAAUGAGAAUCAAACUAAUGAAAUUGAAUUGAACAAAACCCUAACUCAAAUUUAUUGAAUUAGAAACAAACUAAUGAGAUUUAACUGAACAAAACCCUAACUCGAUUGAAGCCCCUGUUAAAAACCCAUCAUUGAUAUUAAAAUUAUCUUUGGGUAAAUUGGGUAUGAGUGAGGGUAUUGACCUUCGCCAGGCAUGUCAUCGUGUUCGAAAUUGGAAGAGUUUGAGAUGUGAUUUUGGUGGAAAAUGGGGAGUGUUGCAGAGAGAACAAAGCAAGUCCAGGAUUUUGAAGAUUCCGAAUGCAAGAAAGAGAAGAGAAAUUUACCUUUAGGGAAGAGUGGUGACCGCUGCUGUUGAAACUGAAGAGAUUUUGGCUAAGUGAAAAUCCAAACAACUAAAAAACCUGACCCAGUUGAAUCGAAUAAAUCCCAACAAACUCAAAAAAAAAUAAAAAAUCAGACAACUAACGGAAUCCAACGGCAGGUACCUCAUGAGAAAGAAAAGCCUAAGAUAUCAGUAACUUGUUGAAUUUUCCAUAGCUGCGCGUACACCUUGAAGACCUUAUUUAAAAUUUUGAAAUCAGAGAAUAAUUUGGAAAUUUGGGUUUAUGAUGAAGAAAUGGGGAAUAAUUUGAAGGACAUGUUAUAGCAAUAUGUUUACAUGACAAUAAAAGAACUUAUUGAUUGAAAAAGAAAAUCUAAUUGCUUGCAUUAAAAGACUUCCACAGACAGUUGAAUAACAGAAUACAAAUUCAUAUAUGUUACAGUAAACUCCAUUUAAAUAAGAAUAAUUAGGUUUAGGAUAAAUACCCAAACAGUUAAGCCUUCGCUUCUACUUGUUUUCUUCCUUGCUGCAAAAAUGCAAGUCUGUCGUUAUGCUCCUCUAGAUAUGGCGUCAAAAAAGGAUUUUUCCUGUGUACCGUCAACAUCCAUAUAUGGAUAAUGCUGCUUGGUUAAAAUUUUUAUUUUUUAUUUUUUGUCUGAUUUGAAUUUUUGGGUUUUAUCUCCCAAACUGAAAAGCUUAUAGUUUUAGAUAUGUCAGUAAUAAUCCACAAAAAAAAAAAAAAAUAUAUAUAUAUAUAUAUAUAUAUAUAUAUCACUCGUAUGAUAAUCAUUUUCUAAUCCCCACAAAUCAACAACUCAAUUUCUUCUUCCAAUCCCAUUUCUUCUAUCAUACAAUUGCCAUUAAUAAUUCCAUAUGUGAAAUCGUAAUCUAUGUGAGUUGGAAAAAGCAUAAAUUCAUAAAGCUAAAAGCUUUCGAUAUUCCACGACUUUCUUCUUCUUCUUCUUCCUUCCGAGUAUCUUCUGAUUCAAGGAUGGCAGUGCUGCAGCACUCAUCGAUCAAGCCUAUUUCAGUAACCCCAAGUGGGCAUAAUGAAAACUGAACCAAAAGUCUAAAUUGCUUACCUAAGUGAAGAGGUGUUUGGAUUAAUAUUUAAACCUUGGACUUUCAGGAAGGAAAGCUCAAGAGAAUUCAAUAAAGAAGGUUUUGCCCGAAGCCCAGAAUAAAGCCCAAUUCAUCCAUUUCAAGAUAUUAUGGCAACUCCCCAUCAAUGCAAAGGCCAGUUGCUUACAAGAAGUGACAACCGAUGGAAGAUCACCAACUCUCGGCCCAAAAGUACUUUUUGGAUGACAAACACGUAAAAAAACUGGUGACUCACUACCCUUUAGUCGCUUUCGGGCAAGAACAGAAACAACACAGCUGGGCUAAUUCGUCUAUAAAAUGAAGAAGAGGGCCCAGAGACAAGAACACUCAACCAAUCAAACAAACAAAUAUACAACUUGUCUCUCAGCCAAGCAAAUACCCAGAGAGUCGUGCUUUGUCCAGACUCUACACCCUUUUAGCCUUAGACUUCCUUAGAAAUACAUCUUUUGUCUAUGUAAAAGCUCUGCUACCUUUUCCCUAAAUGUUGUAGUAUUGAUCUUUCAUGUGUAAAUUUCUUUCUAGUCAUCCCCUUUAGUACUCAAUCCUUUUUGUAAACUGCCAAGGGAAAAGACCGCAAGACAUUUUAACCUUGCCCGACAAAGUGAAAUCUUGCCCGACUCUCUUUGUGUUUGCCUUUGCAUUAAUAGAUCUGGUAUCAUAAUGUAUCCCUCAGUAGAUAUGCAAGUCAUUUUCGGUCUCUUAAUGAUCUGAAGUUCCAUUAACUUUCAGAUCUGGUUCACUUAGUACUUUUACUAUCAUGAAUGUAAAUGAAACUGAUGUUUUGAUUAGAUCUAGACCUCCACCCUUUGAAGCAUACAAGAUAAACAAAAGUCCUUAAUCUCAAGGCAUAAAAAAGAACUUAAUGUGGACUUAACCCAUCCAUGACAAUCAUUUGAUAAUGAGAAGUUAGAGUAACUUGGGGCGCAAGUAAUCAGCUUAAAUACACUCAUUCUACAUCUGCCAUAUAGAGAUGGCAGUGGUACGCCUCAGCGCUUAGUUUUGAUUGUGAGCCUCACGGCCUACACCUGAGGCCCGACAAAGACACCUUUCAGAACUAACUCUAUCAUCUUCUUGUAGCUUGACGAGUAAGCGAGAGCUCGACAACCAACCAAAGUACCAAUUCCUCAGGAAGUGUGUGCUCGAGCCAGGGACCUUUCCCAGUGAAAUUCCUACCUCGAACAUAGUUUUGGCACGCCCGGUGGGAUUCAAAGAUAUUGUAUGCCAAGAUGACGAAGGAAAUAACAAACCUUCAGGUGGAAAAAAGAACAAAAAAACCAUUAGGAUCUAGUAUGGCAAAUAUCCCCGAAAACUUGCAAGGAUCCAUCUUGACGGAAAGCCCGACCCCUCUGAGAAAUCAGGAGAAAAGGUCACAAAUGAAGAUUUACAGGCUAAUAUAAUGGUUGUGAUAAGGAGCAUAGAGAGGAACUCUCUACAAACAAGAGAGGAAGUAAGCAGACUCUAUUCCUUAACAGGAUAUCUACAAAGGAGGCUGGAUCUGGAGUACCCGACCCCGGAAAAUGAUCGUGCUAAAGAAACCAUGAGGGAAGUCAGCCCGAUAAAGGGACCAGUUAUUCCUUUGUUUCCUUUACUUGAGGAAAAAAGGGAUAAACGAAAGAAUAAGGAAGAAUCUGAAGCCAGUCAACCAAUAUUAGAAGAAAUACUGGAAGCAGAGUUGCCUGACCCCCUAUCAUCACUAAAUAAUAGAGGGCAGAGUGAGCAAGAGAGAAUGAAGUAUGGAAUGCCCUAGUGGAUCGGGGAAUCUAGUGGGAAAUGAAAGCUUACCAAAGCAGAUAAGCCUCCACCUUAUAGGCCACCACCAAUGGCCAGUAAAGGAUGAGAGUUCAAGGGGAAGAAGCCCAAGCCAAGAAAGGAGAUUAACUCGGGGCAAUGAUUGUAGACCGAAAUGGAAACCACGUCCUUAUACUCCACCUAAUAAUACGAGCAACCAACAACUCAGAGAUGAGUUGGCUGAGUUAAGAAGAAUGCCCAACCACAAGCUCGCCCGCUAUUUAGAAUCGUUUAUCAUAAGCCCUACCCGGAGUUUAUCGAUAAACAUAAUCCCUUUCCUCUCAACUUCAAGAUGCCUGCAUUUCCAACAUUCAGCAGAGAAGAUAACAAUUUGUCAUCCAGGGAUCACAUCUCCAAGUUCUCCAACCACUGUGUAACAUUUGAAAACAAUCUCAACUAUAAGUUGAGGUUGUUUGGAAACUCCUUGGUACGCUUAGCAUCUCAAUGGUAUUCUUUGUUGCCCCCAAAUUCUAUCACUGACUAGGGGCAGAUGGAAAUGGCGUUCCAUUUGCAGUGUUACAGGAUGGAACCAGAGAUGACCAUUAACGAUCUAGUUGAGGUAAAACAAUAUAAGCAUGAAUCCACUGAAGACUUCAUUAUGAGGUUUAGAAGGACAAGGAUGAGAUGCCAAUUUCCUAUCAACCAUGUCCAGCUGAUAGUUAUCGCUCAGAAUGCCUUAAGACUACCCUUAAGGAAAAAGUUUUAUGAUGUACAGUUUAAUGAGCUACAAGAGUUCGUGAUUGCAGCCAUUCAGUAUUAGAAACUGUUGAUUGAAGAGCAGCAACUAAAGUACUCCUCUAAAACACCACCUUUUUACAAAAGUAAAGCCGCCAUUCACCAAGUGGAGUUUGAGGGAGAGUCGGAAGAAGAUGAUGGUCGAGGGAGAGAAGCAAUGGACAUGUGUGCAGCAUAGAUGACCACUCCCUUUACCCCCUUGAUAGUUAAAGGAUUGGUUCAACCGGUCAAGGACCAGAAGGUAGUAAUGAAUGAUGGUGGUUUCGUCCUCAUGAAACCCUUAAAACACCAAAGCUAUUCUUUUGACUUGACCAAAGCCACAUAAAUUUAUGAAGAAUUGGUGCAGGCAAGAGUGAUUAUGCUCGACAACACUAAAAAGCUGCCUAAGCCCGAGGAAUUAAGAGGGAAAAAGUAUUGCAAGCUACACUACACCUUCAAUCACUCCAUUACUAACUGUGUCCAAUUUAGAGAUUGGAUACAGGAUCUCAUCAUUAAACGGAAAUUGUUAUUGGAGAAACCUCAAGCCAACAUGAUGAUUGACACGAAUCCCUUCCCAAAGCUCCGAUAAACAUAGUCAACCUAAUAUGGACCAAGAAAGAAAGAAGAAAAGCCACUUGGGAAGCAGAAGCAGAAUGAAGGAUCCACAGAGGAAACUCUCAAAGUACCCGAAAAAUCCAAAGUAGCCAUAAAAGAAAGACUUUUACUAUUAAAAAGUUCUGAAAGUGGAAUUCAAAUAAAGGAAGGCUUCAUUCCAUUUCUUAAAGGGGUUACAGGGAUCUUAGUCUAAUAACUUUACAUCUUCAGUAAGAGCAACUACUUUAGAGAAGUAAGUUUGCAUGAUGGUAAAAAUCUGCUUUGGUUCUCCUAAAUACAUGUUGUUGUUCACAAGUUGGAAGUUGGAAUCCUCAACCUCCUAGGAAAUCUUUUCCAUCUCUUCUACGUUUUGAAAAAGGUGGUUGGUAAGUGUUACUUUCUCAGCUUUAAGAGAAGCCAAAUGCUCCUCCAAACGCUGGAUUUUGUAGUCAACAACUGCAAUCCUUCCUUUCAUCAUUGUCCCUUCCUCCACUAACUGACGAAGCAUGGUUGUGCUUUUUACAUGCUUUUCUUGAAAACACUUCACUCGAUUUGUUGCCCGCUCCGCCUUCUAAUGUCGAUCCCUUAAUGCCUGCAAAUUCUCAAAGAAACUUAGAAAAGAUUUGUACUGAACCUGGGACAAUAACUGAGCUUGGAAUAGCUCAAUGAGGGUCUUAUCUGCGUCAUUGAGGGUUUUAAGACUAAAGGAAGCUGUAAAAUCUUUUUUUGUCCAAUCCUUGAAGAUAUGACUGCAAACUAACAGGAAGGAGACUCUGAAGAUGGUGAAGGGGACUGCAAUUUGGUUUUGAUUUGCCCGAAUUUCUUUACCAAGUCAGGCAAGGAUGAUGCUGGUGAUGCAAAAGGUUCACCUCUCGUACCUUCAACCAUAACAAAAGGGGCAACAUCAACUGAAGAAAAAUGAGAUAUCGUAAAAGCAGAAGCAAGAGCAUAAGCAGGUGCAAGAAUGAGAGUAGUCGCUGUUGUGGUAUUGGCUCGUUUUUCAGGCCUAGGAAUGAAGGUUCAUGUACCCCCAGAGGUCGAAAAAAGAACGUGGAAGAUCUCUUUUACGUAUCAGGCGCAGUUGAGAGUUGCCCGAACCUUCUCCAGAACCCUGUUGCAGCCAAGACAAAUAUGUUAAAAAGAAGAACUCACAAGACGAAUGGAGACAAGGCAAAUUUACCUAAGUUGAGUCUAGAGCCUUGGAAUUAGGGGUUACUUCAAUUGAUUGCUGAAAGAGAUUGUCAUGGCCGACUAAGGAAGGAGAAGCGGUGCUCAAUCUUUCAACAAAAACCUACAAAUGACAAGAGCAAGAGUAAAGUCAGUGAUAAGUUUUGAAGAAAACAGAAAGUCUGAAUAAUAAUAUACCUAAGGGAGAACCUGAGGUUCGAAUGCAAGCACUUCAAAUACAUCAGCAGAAGUUGCCUGCGAGACUUGUGGGUUAGCCACCUCUAAAACCGUGGGAAUUUCAGCGACUAUGGGCUCCCCGAAAUUAGAGGCUAGUGAUUGAUGGAAUUCUUAUGCUUGAGAAGGCUAGAAAAGAUAAAAGUUAUUAAGUACUAAGAAGAAGGUUGCUUGGUAUAAAGGUAUUAGAAGGAGGUACUUACCGAAUUGCUGUCGUCCUCCACAUAAUGUGUCACCUUGUCACCUUCCCAGUGGAACGAUCAAAAUGAGAAAUUGGAGUCACCUCCAAGGGAAUAGAUUUUGCUCGAGAAGAAGGAGUUUGCUUCGACUGGGGUAAGAAAGAAGAAGUUUCGGUCGGUGAUAUCUUUUCUGCCCAAAUCUCCUAUUACAAGCGGUGGGGCACAGAGAGUUAUUAAGGGCAAAUACUUAGAAAAAAAAAAAGUAACACUUAAAGAGCGGCAGAUCGUACCUCCAGCUCUUUAAAAGAUAACUCUCAAAAUGCAUCAGUCUAUUGAUACAUCUGAGCUCUUAAUGGAUCCCUCUUUGAAACAAUAGUAGGUUUCUUGGAUGCUUAAAGUCCUAAGAGGCAAGAAGAAUUGAAUUGGUAAACCCUCAAACGCAAGUUACAGGUGAAAGAAUGAGGCAAGAAGCAUUUACUGAAGGUUUUCUGUUUUCGCUUGUCCACCACAAGAACCGCGAUGGUAGAAGGGUUUGAGGCAGAGACAGCUUUUAAAGACUUAAAAGUUUGAGCUCUUGUACUCUUCCUAGUUAAGGUUUCCAACUUAGGUUUAGGCUACUUUUCAGGCUCAGAAUCAUAAGUUUCCACCACAAUUGUUUGUGCCCACUUAGGUGCUUGGAUAUUGACUUCAAGCUCUUCUUCAGCUUCCAAUUCUCCCAAUAACUCGGAGAUAUCCCCACAUUCUCCAGCCUUUUGCCUUUUAGCCUCAGCUACAGCCCUCUGAAUGAUCAGUGCAUCGGCGGAUUCUUCCUCUGACCUAAUGUCCGCCGCUUCAGUAGUCCCUUAGGCUGCGAAUGUUAAAAAGAAGUAAAGAAUAAGCAGAUUCACAAAAUUUUCUUAGAAUGCAGAUUGAAAAUACAGAAAAGUACCUAUCAGAAGAAGCUGGUUCUUUUGAUAGACCAUUUCCUUCUAAUUCUCAAGCUUGCCCAAGCUAGGGUAAUAUUUGAGAGAAAGUUGGUUAAAAAGACGGUCGUAAGCCUCCCGUAAGUCCCCUCCAUACUUUUUGAUCCAUUUAGCCUCCCACCAAAUGGAGAAAGUCGAGGUACAUUCAAAAUUAAAGGCCAAAGGCUUAUGGGCAACUUUGCUCAUAACUUCGAGGCUACGUCGGGCAGCUCGGAAGAUAUCUUCAUGAGGGGAGUGAAGGUGAUAAGAAGUACCACAAUGGAUAAAAUUAAAAAAAAUGGUAUUGAAAUGGUCUGCCUGAAACCUAGCUGCCUGUUGCAGAAGUUUGGAUGAUAAAUUUCCAACCUGCGUUCAUGGCGAUCACUACGGACUCCUUAGGCUAUGUCCCUUAAUUGAAUACAACUAAUAAAUCUCUCAUUGCAAGAAGGGUUGGCAUCUUCCCCGAAAGCAUCUUGAAAGGCUUGAUCAGAGAACCAUGGAUACUUCCUAAAGACGGAUGCCCCUCACUCCAAGUAUGCCCGAGUUCUACAGACCCUAAAGAAAUAGAAGCAGGCAAAUAUGGAAUGAUCAGUGGAAGGAGCUUCGGCUAGGAUUCGGGCAGGGGCCACUCCUUCUGGGAACUCCAAGUUAGCUGCCCAAAAUUCUGGGAAGUACCAUUGCAACCAUAAUUAAACAAUCCGGAUUGGUCCAUUAAGGUUGGUCUCGGAUGGUUCAUCCCGAGUCAUCUACAAAAGGAGAUGGUAAAUAUAGGACAGAACGAACGGGCCCGUGGCAACAUCGUCAAAAUUAUGAAGAGCUUAUACUAAAGGGAUCCAUUCAACCUUUACUCCUUUGGAUUUGUUGAGGAAGGCAUGCUUGUUAAACUAGUAUAAAAUGAAGUACAUGUGCUCAUGAGCUAAGCUUGCAUGACAAGAACCAGCACCAAAGUUCUUUUUCACAAAAAGGAUGAAACCUUUGAAAGAAGUCUUAUAGCUUUUGAAAGUUGCAGAGUUAUAUUCCAAUUGGAUUGGAAAGGCUGAAGAACCAGAACUCUCAGUAGUCGGACGUGAAGGAGGAGCCUAGCCAUGAGUAACAUCCACGAUUCUAUCCGAAGGCUUAGCCCGAAGACUUGUACGAUAUCUAGAAUCGUUGGGGACAUAGGGCCCAUCCUAAAAUCGAAGGUAUUUGUGCCCAAAACAAUGGUGAGUAACUCAGGUUUGGCAACUAGUCUUCGAAAGCAUUAUCAACUCAUAGAUGUCAUUGUUUAUCCACUUCCGUUUAAAAAUUGGCUCAAGAUCAUUUAUCCACUAAACCCAUGCCGGGUCGUUCAUCAGAGGAAAGCCACAACGAUAUUGCGACCACUUAAAUAAAGAAAUGCCUGACUCAACCGUGAAUGGGUUAAGGGCGAACCAAUUGUCCCUAGGUAUGUUAGUCUCUACUACACUUGGAACCCGAGAGGUCCAUGCAAAACCCAAGGAAUGCACCCUAUUUUCUUCAAAAAGAAGUUCAGUACUUAGGCCUGCCCGAGAACGAUGAAGGUCGUUAAGUAAGCGACGCAUAAUGACGAUACUUUCGCCAGAUUCAUAGGAAGGUUGAAUUUGAAUGGUUUCUGAGGCCAUUAGACAGAUUUAGAAGGUGAAUAUGGAAAAGAUGAUGAAAUAGGAAAAUCUGGGAAAAUUUAAGGGCCUGAGUAUCUAGAAAAUACGAAGACUUGGAAAGAUUGAGAUAUUUAACCAAAAGGUUUGAAAGAAGAGAUUUAUAUGAGGCAGCGGUUAAUUAAUGAUUAAAAUUCAUGGGUUAGUGCAAAAGAUCCAGUGUAUAAACGGUUGCGUUAAAGAAGGCACAGGUUCCGAGUAAAGACGUGCAAAGGUGGUUACUGAAGAAGCAGCUGUUCAAUCAUUAUUUACGCAUCGAUCUGCAUGCUUAAAAUUGAUUGAAGAAGGCACUGUUUGGGUUAAUAUUUAAACCUUGGGCUUUCAGGAAGGAAAGCCCAAGAGAAUUCAAUAAAUAAGGUUUUGCCCGAAGAUAUUAUGGCAGCUCCCCAUCAAUGCAAAUGCCAGUUGCUUACAAAAAGUGACAACCGAUGGAAGAUCACCAAUUCUCGGCCCAAAAGUACUUUUUGGAUGGCAAACAUGUAAAAGGACUAGUGACUCACUACCCUUCAGUUGCUUUCGAGCAAGAACAGAAAUGACACAGUUGGGCUAAUUCGUCUAUAAAAUGAGGAAGAGGGCCCAGAGACAAGGACAAUCAAACAAACAAACAAACAAACAUAAAACUUGUCUCUCAGCUAAGCAAAUACCCUGAAAGUCAUGCUUUGUCCAAACUCUGCACCUUUUUAGCCUUAAACUUCUUUAGAAAGACAUUUAUGUCUAUGUAAAAGCUCUGCUACCUUUUCCCUAAAUGUUGCAGUAUCUAUCUUUCAUGUGUAAACUCAUUUCCAGUCAUCCCCUUUAGUACUCAAUCCUUUUUGUAAACUACUAAAGGAAGAGACCGCAAGACAUUUUAACCUUGCCCGACAAGGUGAAAUCUUGCCCGACUCUCUUUGUUUUUGCCUUUCCAUUUAUAGAUAUGGUAUUAUAAUGUAUCCCUCAGUAGAUAUGCAAGUCAUUUUUGGUUUCUUAACGAUCCGAAGUUCUAUUAACUCUCAGAUCUAGUUCACUUAGUACUUUUACUAUCGUGAAAGUAAAUGAAACUGAUGUUUUGAUUAGAUCUAGACCUCCACCCUUUGAAGCAUACAAGAUAAACUUUUAUGCCUUAAUCUCAAGGCAUAAAAAAGAACUUAAUGUGGACUUAACUCAUCCACAACAAUCCUUUGAUAAUGAAAAGUUAGAGUAACUUGGGGUGCAAGUAAUCAGAUUAAAUACACUCAUGCUACAUCUGCCAUAUAGAGAUAGCAAUGGCACACCUCAGCACUUACUUAGUUUUGAUUGUGAGCCUCACGGCCUACACCUAAGGCCCGACAAAGGCACAUUUCAGAACUAAUUAUGUCCUCUUCUUGUAGCCCGACGAGCAAGCAAGAGCCCGACAGCAAACCAAAGUGCCAACUCCUCGGGGAGCUGCGUGCUCGAGCCAGGGACCCUUCCCAGUGAAAUUUCUGCCCGAACAAGAGGAUUUUGGAAAAUGGCGCGAGGCCGCUGCGGCGUUUGGACCUGGCCUGAAAUUAGUUAAUUACCCAGAUGAAAAAAGAAAUAUAAAGUGAAUUAGAAGAUUUAUCACAGAGCUUACCUUCCCACCUUUGGGUUGCUUAAGGCGUAAUAAAACCCAGAAAUUAAAUUAUAAAAAAAAAGCUUCUUUGGGUCAAUUGAAAAGAAAGGAUCAGUACUUUUUUGGUUUUGAUGGUGAUACCGAAUGAUGGGCUAAGAGAAGCAGCGAUGGCAGGUUGAGGGGAGUCGAUGGCACGGUAGGUUGCUUGUAAGUGGGCUUGUCGAGCUCAGGUUCGGGUUUCGGAUGUAGAGGCAAGGGACGACCGGGUUUUAACCCAGAGUAGGGGGCGUGGUGGGAGAAGUAGGGUUUGUCUCUCUUCCGACUCAUGGUAUUAGAUGAGGUGAAGAAGGAUGAAGGUUUGCCAGAUGAGGUGAGGAGGGAAGGGGAAGAAGGAAGGAAGCAAUCGAGGAUCUCACGCAUCACAAAAUCAUUACUCAUUUGACAGCAAAUCAAAAAGGGUAAAGUUGAAAUAAAAGAAAAAUGGGCAAGGACAAAAUCGAAAAUCCACUGUAGAAUUAACAAUAAUUUGAGUCUAAAAGGAUAAAAUGGAAUUAAGUUAAAUUUUACUCUUUUAGUAUAUACUAGAAAAUAAGCUCGCGUGUUGCGGCGGGAACCACUCUUUCAGGCAUAACUGUAUGAACAAGAUACAUUUAACCUGAAUAAAUUCAACAGAAUCAUGAAAGAACAGAGGGACACAUGAGUGAAUAAGGUUGAUAAGAUAAGCAGCUUCACUUUUUUAUACAUUCAACUAAGCUAACAUGUAAAGACAUUGCAUAAUUAGUAAGAAGAAACUAAACGCUCUUGAUCACAAAGACAUGGUUGCCAAAAAAGUUCUGUUUCCAUAAGGAACAGCAACUAACUAUAUGUAUAGGACCCGGAAUAUGUAUCACAUCAUUCUCUAGUGCUUAUCAGGAGUAUUUUCUAUUAGCAUGUUUACAAAUUCUCUAGUAUGUCAAAAAGUAAAUAAAUUCUCUAUUAUAUAUGUUUUCUGUAAUCGUACUUGGUGGUGAAACAAACAAUGUUUACUGACGCAUUCAGACUAAGGACAUAUAAUAAUCCGGUAAUGGAAUUAGAUCUAUGCAAUCAAUUGAACAUGUCAAGUAAAAUCAUAUUCAGUUGAAUCCAAACUAUAGCAUGCUGAAUAAAGACAGAAAAUGAUACAACAGUAAAAACUUCUGAGAAUAGUCAUAAAAGAAUUUAUGUUUGAAAACUUCUAAUAGGAAGAGAAAAGUUUAAUGUACUCACAACAUCCUUCAUUGUGGUACAGCAUCCUUACAUGGACGAUAAACCAUAUUUGACACAGCCAUUAUCACAAUCUUUGGAGAACUUUUCAGUUUUAGGAGUGCUCAGAUUGUACCCAUUCCAAUCUGGAAUUAAAUAAGAACUCAAUCAAAAACUUUAAUCCUACAAUUCAAUGCUGAAAAACUAAAGUAGCCAGAAACGAAAAGAUCUAAGUGACAACUUGUACGAACGUUACAAAAAUGCAGAACGCGAAAUGCAUUAAAACUUCUAGAAACUCGAAGGAAAUCAUUCUACUCUCCUUAUAUUCUUCCCCUUUCUCUAACCAAAUAAAAGUUCCCAAAAAUAUGCACAAAAAAUUCUAAAAAAAAAAAACAAUACAAAAUUAAUGCAAGCAAAGGAGAAGAAAUUGUUGCAAAGGGGAAAUUAGAUAAUUAUGCCACCAUCAAACAUUGCACGGAAGGCAUCCAAAUAAUCAAGCAGGAAAGUUAUGUGAGCAUAGAACCGUUUACCUGCAAUUGGUCAGUACACAAUAAAAAAUUUAAAGAGAUCCCUUAUGUUAACAAUACAAUCACCUAUGCUAAUUGAAUAUUCUACAAUGUCAGCUAAUAUAUCAUACUUAGGAAAAGGUUAAAUAAAGAUAAAUGACUUAAACCUUCGAUUAAGAAAAUGACAUUGGACAGCAUAAGAUACAUACUGCUUCCCAGAUAGACCUGCAUGAAGAUUUCUCCACCAUCACAGGCAAUUCAUACCAAAUAAAUACUUUAUUGCUUAAGAUGAUAGUAAUUUUAAAUGCAAGAAAGCAACCAUAGAAUAAGCAUAUAGAAUUCGAUUUCUUUCCCCAAAAACUGUACUGAAUCAAGCAGAUGAAAUAGACUUCAGUUUUGUUCAAGCAGAAUUCAAAAGCUAAAACCAGAUAUUAGAAAAGCUUAUUAACAUCUCAACCAACAACCUUUAGCUCCUAUUCAAACAUCAUGGAAUCAGUUUCUACAAUGAAACCAUUACAGGUGAGAAAAUUUUGACUCAAAUAUGCGACAUUACAUUUAACUGAAGAACCUAAAACAAAAGUAUAGCAAAUUAUAUACCUUAAAAUGUCAAGCAACCAAGUUGUUCCUCCAACGACCCAAAAUUCUGAAAUAAAAAAAUAGAGGGUAAAUCUAUUAACAAUUCAGAACCUUUAAAAUUAUAAAAAAAAAAUGGGAUAACAGUAAAGAAAUUGACAAAAAAAUCAAACCUACCAAUCAUUGGUGACCUUCAUAUGAUAAGCAACCUCUCAUACCGCAGCCUCAUAGGCCUAUCCAAAAAAUAUGAACCUAUAAUAUUCAUUCCCCUAGGCACCAAAACCACCAUAGUUGUCUCAUCUCCCAAGCCGCAUAGCUAUUCUUGAAAACCCACUAUACCAUUUUCCUAUCUACCCCCAACUCCACUCUUCAAUUCAUCAUAUCUGUCACCCAGCUCUAAAUCUAUAUUCUAUAGUUCAGUCAAAGGAAUGAUCUUAUUGUAGUGCCUAACUACGUUAAUAGUUCAUAAUCAAACAAAAUUAAGGAUGAAAAGUCUUGGUACUUGUAGGCAAAGGCUCAACCCACCAAUCUCUUCCUAAUCAAAGUACAAUAGCUGCAAAAAGAGGUGGUUCAUGGUAAACCCCUGAGUGAGAAAGAAAAUGUUUAAUCAAAGAGACUUCAAACUCAUAACCACAUAAAUAACAAUCUUAUUAUUAUAAUGGAUGGACGUAAUAACCUUUAUUAUGUUUUUAGACACAAAUCAUAAGACUAUAUAUUUCUAGUUUCAUUUCACCUGUAAUUUAUAACAUGCCCCCUUCUAGUUUAAACUUCAAAGGAUGCUUUUCUUUAAUCAUAGUUCUUGACAAUCAGUGAAGAGUAAUAACACAUACAGACAUUAAAGUUGAAACCUUUUCCAAGCAGAUGCUACACAUACAAAAAUAUAUUAAGCAUAAAGACCUUAAUCAUUAAAAGCUAAGAAUAUGCUUUAUAAAGGCACACCUCAACAGUCUCAAGAAUUUUGUUCCAAGUAUAGUCUAUUUUUCAUUUUCAAAAUGAAACAUCUUCAUGUACCAAAUAAAUGAUAACAUAAAGUAUGAUUUUCAAUUGACAGAAUUUUGUAAUCGAACCCACAUAUAUAUGCACAUAGAAAAAUCAACUAUUUCCCUAGUACUAACAAAAUUAAUAGUGUAUAUAUGUAAUAUAUAUAAAACUACACUUUUGGAUUUGGAGGAGGAAGCAACCAUACCCUGAAUGUGUCCAAGGCUAAUCAAAGACUUGACUUGUUUGUUAGUCAGUUCUUUGCUCAAAUUUCUCUCAUUAUAUGUACUUGAACCUGGACCCAUGCACUUGUACUCUUCGCAUGCCACAUUGCUGCAAUUUCAAAUUAUAUUAUUAACUCUCAAAACUAAUUACAUGAAACUGUUUAAUCAUGUUUUAAUUGACAUAAUCUGCUUACUUGUUACAUUCAAGGUGGUUAUCAUCGCUCCAGCAGCAUACACCAUCUAGGGUCCACCUCUCCAAGUCCUGCCUAAAUAUAUGCCACUGCCUACCCCAUUAAUUAUAUGUUACAUUGUUAGUCACCAAGCAUCAAAAGUUCAUAACCAUGACUUGUAGACAAACAAAAAGAUUAAAUACACAUAUCUUAGUUAAUCCACCCAAACUAUGUUUUGAGAGGGGGAAGGGGAAUAAUCAUGCGGAACUUACAGUUUAUACGGUGAGACUCGCAUAAUCCACUCGAUCAUUGUCAUUACUAUACAUUCUUCAUAAAUUAUAUGAAAAUUAUGGGGAAAACAAAUAACAUGCAUACAUCUAUAUACGUAUGGCUUAACACCUCAGUGUAAAUAGAUUAAAUAUAAACAUUUAGAAAAUAUUGGAAUUUCUUGAAAAUGACACUAAAAUAGGAAUCUCAACCCAAAUAUCAUCACAGAAGCAAAACUUCCCCCGUUUGAACUGUGAAACAAAGAUCACAAAAGAACAUGGAAAAGACCUGAGCUUGUCUUUCCAUGGGCAUCACCACGACCCUCUAAUGAACUCAAAUAAGUCACAUCAUGCAACAUGUAUUUACUCCAUAGCCCAUACAACAAAAUUCCACAAAGAAUUUGUUCCCAAGUGGGCAUACACAAAUCUACCAAUUUUUUUUUUUUUUAAUCAAACUCAAUGUUUAUGCUGGUAUGAGUGGGGAACUGCUGAUAUGGGGUGAACCUGGUGUAGGUUCAAAACAAAAAACAAUCGUGUUUGAAAAAUGGGUGUAAACUAUUAACUUCUGACCUAUUAUCUUUUUCCAUUACUAUGUGCAGUUAAACAUCUGCAAGAAUGUUUUUCGUUGGUGGAAGCUGUUUUAGAAGAGAAUGGAAGUUCUUCCAAAGUCGGAUUCUAGUUUUUAAUCUUGUAAUGAUUUCCAUCACUGGGCAAAACUGAUUUUUCUAAUACGUGAUGGACUUGUUAUUUCUCUCCUGAGUUAAGAACAACAAUUGCAGGACCAAUAAGGACUCUGUGAACUGCAAGGAUUAAGAGUGCAGGAAAAACAUUAAUCCAGAUAAACAAAAGAAAAUACGUAUCAAAGAGCACCAAAAAGGCAAAAACUUUAAAGUUUGUCAAAUAAAUUUCAAUUCAAGGGUUUAAACCCAUCAAUCUAAGUGGAAACAUACAAAGUACAAAAAAUAGAAAAAUAAGUAGAGAUGGAGUUUAGAACAUUGCAAUUGAGGCUCCUCUCAUUAAUUUUUUUUUUUUUUAACAAGAACACAUACACAGCCCCGUAAGAAACAAUUCAUGAAGCUAUUCAACGUCACAUGAAACAACCUAUGGUAUAACAACAUGUUAAGACUGAGCUAUAGCAUGCUAAAUACCCUUGUCAUUACCAACUCUGAUUCUCUUUGAGAGGGAAAAAUAACAGAGAAAAAUAUAUUAUCAGUCAUCUUUUACGGGCAAGAAGACAAAAAAUAAUUACUACUAAUAACUCAAUACAUCACCACUGAUAACUCAAUACAGAGAGGGAAGAACUUACAAUUAGGUUUUCUCAAAAGAAAAGCGCAGAAAGUAACGAAGAGACACAAAAAAUAGAAACUGAAUACGUAAUUUAUAAACAAAGAAAUCAAGCAGUGAGUGUACACAAACACACAGAUAUACACAUAAACACACACACAGGCACAAAUACAACAAAGUUAAAACAGAGCUCAAUUAAAAAAUGACUUUUUUUUUUUUUCUUCAGAAAAUCAUAGAUUGUAAAUCAAUCUAUUCUAUUUACUAAUUUUGUUCCAAUUCAAAUCACAGAAAGGAAAUGAAAAGUUUAAAACAGGAAUGUCAAAUACCUUGACCUAAAUACAAUGCUUUAGCAAGCUGACCACCAGUAAUCUGCACACAACACCAAUCCGAGAAAUACGAACUUCGGGAUUGAGUGAAAAACAUCUGGUCAAUAAAUUUAAUAAGUUUAGGGAUUAGUAUUCUGAAAGAGGGAUUGAAAUAUUAAAAAACUAAUAAAAGGGGUAAAAUUCUAUACAUCAAAUGACAGUCAACCCUAAACCGUGGUUUUGAAGAUCAAUAUAUUCGAUGUUUUCAUCAUGAAAAACGCAUUGAAUUGUUGAUCAUGUUUAGGAUGACAAACACUUUACAGCAAUUUUAAAAGCAUGCUUGUUCAAAGACAUAAGCUAUAAUCAAACCAAACAGAAAAAAUUAAAUCUAUUUCUAACAACAGGAACCAUAAUUUCCUACAAAAAAUAACAUAUCUCAACAGAUUUGUUAGCAAACUAUUCACAGUGCAGCAUAUGUGAAUGAACAAAAACCAGAUGCAUAAUGUAUUUUAGAGGGAUAUAAAAAUUGAGCAUUUGAUUCACAGGGUCAACACAACAACAAAUAAUAGGGUAAUGAACAAAAAGGGUCAAAAUGCAUACAGUUUGAUUUAUGCAGAGAAGCUAUAACACUGAAAGACCAACACAAUAAGAAGAAAAAGAGAAAUGAAGAGGAAGAGGAAGUAGUAUUAUGAGACAGUGAAGAAAGCAGCACAAAAUAUCUGUUUUUCUGUCCCAAUUAAUAAUUUAAAAAGAAAUCUUGCACUCCCAACUACAAGUUGAAGAACCGAACCAGAACCAGAACCAAACAGAAAACAAAGCAAGAAAAAAAGCAUGUUUCUAAGCAGGUUCAAACCAGAAACAGUGAAAUAAGGGAAAAUUUGGUUUAAAAGGGACACUUAGCUUUGAAAGGAAUUCAAGCUGCCAGCUGGGAGAAAUCCUCAUCAAUGCUUGCAGAGAUAGCUUCCAGCUGGAACCAAAUAUUUGAAACCAACCCUAGGUUUAGGCGUCCCUUCCUGCCUCACCGUUUCUCUAAAGCAGAGCUCACCAAGAAAAAACAAAACCCAAAUUUCGGGCAGCCCUACCUAUUGCUUUGCUCAUCCUACCCCCCUCUCUCAUCCAAUUUUUCCUUCCAGGAGUCCUCAUCUUUCUUCCCUCUGGCAUCGCACGACCCCUCUCUCUUCUCUCUCACAUCACAUGACACCUCCCCUCUCUUCUCACUGGCAUCGUUGCAAGCUAGGCCUACCCGUAUCGGCCAUCCAUCCGAAAAACCCAACCACAAACAAAACCCACCAACCUAGUGACAGCCCAAACUUGCAAAAGCCCAUACAACUAAACCUGGAAAAAAAAAAAAAAAAAAAAAAAAAAAAAACCAGGCAAAACCCUUAGAGCAAUGGCAUGUCUGUAAAUAGAGUGCAAUUCAGAUCCAAAAACUAUUCAUUUGUACAGUGAAAUUGAAAAGCCUUCUUUAGACUAAAGUAAUAUAAUUUCCAAACAAAGAUCAGGCCUUCCAAUACCUACAACAAGUAUACAACUAAUCGCGGUUUGUCUGUCAUCUCAACGCAAACAGUGCAGACAGAAAGGAACUGGAACCCAAAUGAAAAACCUUGAAACAUUUCGGUCUCCCAAGUUAAAAUCUUAUUCGGCCACAAUAUAAAGUCUCGUUGCACUUGCAAGAAGCAAGAUCAAAGCCUUUUCUUUUGAUUAUUUCAAUCUUACAAACAACUCUGCAAGUCAAAUUUUUUAAUUUCCUGCCCCCAUCCUAAUCUUGUUCAAAUCUUCGAACGUAAGAAACCAACUUAAAAGCCUAAUUCCCUCCAUCAAUUCCAAUCCUAAACAUGAAAAUACAAACUUAAAAAUUAUCCAUACGCCCUAAAAAGAACCAAAUUUCAGAAUGUAAUCGUAUCAGUUUAUAGUAUUUCAUUAAAGCACAACAAUCAACUCCACUCAUCCAACCCUGGUUCCACUGUUGCGAGUGCAUUUUCGAUCACUGCCCUUGAGAACUCCCGUUGAUUUCUUUUCUUAUGUAUGUACUGUCCUACUGUUUAUGAUUCAUUGUUAUUACUCCGCGCAAAAUUGUUAAUUUUUUCAAAGUACUCAAAGUAUUAUCAUUAACUUACCAAAAUUUGGAAGUAACUGUUGUGGCCUAUUUAACUGAAGGGGAAUAGGGGGUGAAUAGGGGGUGAGGCAAGAGAGAGUAUGGAGAGAGUGUAAUAAUUUAUUAUGUGAAUGUUAUUACCUCUACGCAUUAUCUUUAUUUAUAGUAGAGAAUAAGGAGAGGAUUAACUUGUCCUCCAAGUAAAUACAAUCAUAUAGGAAGAGAAUAACUAGUAACCAAAUCUAUCUAGGAUUUCUCAAUCCAAGAAUAUCUUUAACAGUUACGAUAUUAUUUGUAAAACACUGCAAUUCAAAACAUGGCAUGGCCAAAACUAAGGCUCCACAAUUAUCUUUCCGGUAGCAUGGCCAUCGCUGAUCCUAUCCCAAGCGUCCUCCGCCUUGGCCAAGGGAUACUUUGAGUCAAUUAUAGUCUUCAGCUUCCCUUCUUUCACCAACUUAAUAAGAUACUCAAGGUUAUCAGCCGUGGGAAAUAAGAACAGUGGCACCAGUUGCUUCUUAGAAAAGGUAAGUUUCUUCAGUGCAACGCUAAACAGAGAGCUGGGGGUGGGAGUAACAUCUAUUACCUUACCGUUCGCACUCAAAUUAGGCUCAAAAGUUGACCAAGGAAUGCAUGUUGCACAGUGGAUCACAACAUCAUAUUUUCGACCAGAUGGACUCCUAAGAGCUGCACCUUCUGGGGUCUUGUAGUCAAUAACCUCAUCAGCCCCUAGGCUUUUGACCAGUUCAAUGUUGCGGGCACCACAAGUGGCUGUAAUAUGAGUAUUUCCAAGCUUUGCCAACUGAACCGCGUAGAGACCUACACCACCUGAAGCAGCUGUGAUCAGGAUGUUUGCUUGCUGACCACUUCCAUCAAGCUUGAUCCCUGCAGUUUGUGUAAGAGCCUGGUGAGCUGUGAGACCAGCAACGGGUAAUCCUACAGCGUUGGCUGCUGAAACUUCCGAUGGCCUUGCAACAGUUAAACUCUCCAUUGUCACGGCAAAUUCAGCUAGUCCACCUCCAGUCUUUGAUUCAUUGUCGAAGAACAGAAUGAGACAAAAAGGGACAUGGUAUGUAUCAAUGAAUGAUGCAUCAGAUAUCUAGGUGACACAUUCUGUCACUGGGUUUGCAUAUUAAGCACACCAAAAGUGGUUUUUACAUGCAAUAGUUCAGUCUCAUGCCGACUGGAAUGACACUAGGGAAAGAGGCACACAAAGUCGAUGAAGGGGUUAACGAGGGGUUUACAAAUACAACAAUUCAGAUUUGGAACAAAUGGAUUCAACUUUUCAAAUUAGUAGAAUACUUAUUCAGAUAUCAUUGAUGAAAAUAAUAGUUCUAAAUUAAGUUAAAUCCAUCUAUAUGCAUGUUUCCUAGAUGUAUGUGGAGCCUAAAAGAUGCUAUUUCCAAAACAUGAUAUGGAAGCUUAAUUCCCUUUUUCUGAAUUAUGUUAUCCUUUCAGUUAAAUUUUAAUUCGCCGAAAACGAAGACUAAAUUUGAAGAAUUUCAAGUGAAACAGAGAAAAUGAGCUAGUAUACAAGGGAACUUACAAGAGUGUUAACCUUUCCAACAACUUUGUCACCAGGUUUGAAUUUUUUUACUCCAGGUCCUACCUUUACAACCUUUCCUGCCACAUCAAUACCUGUUCCGAGUUCCACCAAUGAAUAUCUUCAGUUAACAAAACGACUUCUCACAAAAUGUGGUCCUGUGAAAACUUCUACAUAAAACAUGUUAAGAAAUGCAUCCCACCCUUUCCCCUUGAAGAACUCGAAAAACUAUGCUAUAAUAUCAGUGUUUACGUAAGAAUCUCUCCCCGGAAAACACACAAAUCCAGAAGUUUAUUAGAUGAAAUGAACAAGAAACAGCACAUUCAAAUGCAAAGUAUUAGCGUGUUUAAGCAUUUAUCUAACAUUCGUACUACUUUUCAAGAAGAAGAUCAAAUAAUGCAUGGAAUGAAGCAUAAUUACGUAAAGAGUUAUAAACACAAAAUGGAUCCCCUAAGUAGCAGCGUCUCAAGACAGCCAAACCAAAUUACCAGGUAUGUGCGGAAACCUGCGAGGCAACAAAGGCCAGAGCAUGCCUUUCUGAGCUUUCCAAUCAAUUGCGUUUAGACUAGUUGCCUCCAAUUUCAGCAGCACCUCAUCUUUUUUCGGAUUUGGAAUUGGAACUUCAACAUGCUGCAAUAAGGCCAAUGUCAUGACAAGAAUGUGUUCUGCAAAGUUCUUCAAAGCAAAAGCGGCAAAAUGCAAUGUAUCCACAUAAUACACCAACAACUUUGUUUAACAAAACCUAGUAAUGGAGUAAAUCCCUGUUACUAUUUCUUUCAUCAUGUGAUUCAGAUAAAAACAAUAAAAGUAAAAGAUAAAAGAUAAAACCUCUGCCUUUAUCCUUUCCUUCCCAACAUUGCAAUGACUCAAUCAAGUACUCGUAUUCCAAGUGGGAUUGCAGUUAUUAAACUGAAAAUAUGACUUCACCCGUGAAACAUAGAUUUUUCUUCUAAAACCCGACAUAAUUGUUUUACUUGAUUAAAGCCCGGCAAUUAGGAUCCCCAUAAGCAUAUUCCUUAAUUAAGCUUGAAUACAAAUAUUUUACAUGUUUCCAAUGGCUAUAUUAUCCCUAAUAACAAUUGGAUUGAGACAUUUAUUUUCCUAUUCUAUAUUAUCCCUAAAUGGGUACAUUAAUGAUAUAUAAAUAGACAAACAUUAUGAAACUCAUUGAAGGCGCAAAACAAGGAGUAAAUCUUUGAUAUUGACAUGAUUGGAGAAUACUUGCAAUUUUGUAAAAUGAUUGCAGUAAUGGGUCAACUAUUUCUCUAGCUUGCAACUCAUAUUAAAUUUUGGGUUUUAUUUAGAGGUUAAGAAGUGCACGGGUAUAUUGAACUCCCGAAAAAAAAAAUAACAAACAAGUGAGUUUGCGUUUAUGAAAUAAGAGUUACAAGUCUAUAAACAACCUUUAAACCAGAAGUUCCGCCCCCAUAGUUGUCGUACUGAACCGCAUGCAUGGUCUCAUUGGCCAUAGUCUCUCAGUUGUAAGUCCAACUAACGUUUCGAAGAGCCGCAGAAACUUGAAGCUCCUCCCUCCCGGAUUCUAUGAAGUGCAGAGCUUAUGCUAGUAGUACAGCAAUGGAAUCGUUAGUCCAUGUCUAAUGUGGAAUAAACUAAUACACGUGAUUCAUAAGGAUGUUGACUCAUAGGCCCAUGUCUAUUGUGGAACAAACUAAUACACGUGAUGUUGACUCGUUGGCACAACUAAUUCACGUGAUCAUAAUGAUGUGGGCGGUACAAUAGAUACAUGGUCUCCAUGUUAAAUAGACAAUACGUGGUCCAUAUGUUAAAUAGACAAUACCACAAGUAGAUGGUGCCUAUGUUAAAUAGACAAUACGUAUGCGGUCCAUAUGUUAAAUAUACAAUAAGUGGAUGCAGUGGUGAUGCCAAGAUUUGCCGAGGAGAGGGGUGAAAUUCAAGAGAGUGUAAGAUUCAAUUGAAUGCGGUUGCUUUUAUAUUGGAGAGUGCAAAGUUUUGAGUCAAUAUUCAUAGCAGAAAAUAGUAUCUACACCAAAGCGGUUGUAAGCAGUAAUAUCAAAAUCAAUGUAAUAAGCUUAAAUUGGCUAGGAUUAUGUUUCAAAAAAAAACGCUAGUCAGGCAACGGGCUGGAACCUAGUAAUUAGACACCUAGGCGAGAUCUAGACAAGAGCCCAGUAGGAUUUAAAUGAAUUUCUUUUUGUAAAAUGAUUGCAGUAAUGGGUCAACUAUUUCUCUAGCUUGCAACUCAUAUUAAAUUUUGGAUUUUAUUUAGAGGUUAAGAAGUGCACGGGUAUAUUGAACUCCCGAAAAAAAAAAAAAAAAAGAUAGGUGAGUUUACGUUUAUGAAAUAAGAGUUACAAGUCUAUAAACAACCCAUAAACCAGAAGUUCCGCCGUCAUAGUUGUCGUACAGAACCGCGUGCAUGGUCUCAUUGGCCAUAGUCUCUCAGUUGUAAGUCCAACCAACGUUCAAAAGAGCCGCAGAAACUUAAAGCUCUUCCCUCCCGGAUUUUAUCAAAUACAGAGCUUAUGCUAGUACAGCAAUAGACUCAUUAGCCCAUGUCUAUAGUGGAACAAAUAAUACGCGUGAUUCGUAAUGAUGUUGACUGAUUGACCCUUGUCUAUUGUGGAACAAAUACAUGUGAUUCAUGGGCUAUAGUGGAACAAAUAAUGCGUGAUUCAUAAUGAUGUUGACUGAUUGAUCCUUGUCAAUCAUGGAACAAAUACACAUGAUUCAUAUUGAUGUAGACAGUAAUUUCAGUAUAUGGUCCCCAUGGUAAAUGUACAGUACAUAUGUGGUCCACAUGUUAAAUAGACGAUCAAUAAGUAUAUGGUCCCUAUGUUAAAUAGACAGCAUGUAUGUUGUCCAUAUGUUAAAUAUACAAUAAGUGUAUGCAGUGGCGAAACUAGGAUUUACCGAGAAGAGAGGUGAAAUUCAAAAUAGUGCAAGAUUCAAUCGAAACAGUUGCUUUUAUAUUGGAAGAGUGUAAAGUUUUGAGUCAAUAUUCAUAGCAGAAAAUAAUCUCUCCACCAAAACCGUUGUAAGCUGUAAUAUCAAAGUCAAUAUAAUAAGCUUAAAUUGGCUAGGUUUAUAUUCUAAAAAAAAGACGCUAGUCAAACAGCGGACUGGAACCUAGUAGCUAGGCGCCUAGGAGAAAUCUAGGCAGGAGCCUAGUGGGAUUUAAAUGAAUUUCUUUUAUCAUUAUAAGCCUAUUUGAUUAAACGAUCUAGGGUUUAGAGAGAGAGGGGACCGGCUAUGGUUAGAGAGAAGAGAGAGUGAUUUAAUUGUGAGGUGUGUUUGAUUCAACCCAUUGUGGUUCAUAUGUUAAAUAGACGAUACAAUAAGUCCCCAUGUUAAAUGUACAGUACGUAUGUGGUCCAUAGACUUGGCAUUCGUGUCAUGUUUUUCGUAUUCGUGUCGAUUUCGUGUCAUACCCGAUAUCUUAACGGGUCGUGUCGUGUAACACCCGUUAAAAUAAACGGGUAAAAUGAUCCGAUCUGAAAUCGACCCGAUAAUAUAAACAGGUAAUAUGACCCGACCUGUUACCCAUUAAGGAAAAUAUAUUUUAAACCAAUAAAUAAUCAAAUGAAAAACAUAAUACUAAAUAAGUAUAUACAUACCAUAUUGUCACAUCCAAAACAUAAAAACGCAUUUUUCUUUUAAGUAUAUUUUCACUUACCUAAAGUCUUUAAUAGUUUUUAAUUAAUGUAGAAGUGUAAAAAAAUAUAGAAAAAAAUAUAUAAACGCUCGUAAUGACAAGCUUUACAACUUUCAUGAAGAGCUUAACUUCGAAAUUUGCUACUAUAAUCAUAUAAAUCAUAUAUCAAAAUUUAACUGUUGAUUGUUGUUUACAUUUACGCUUCAUUGUUCUCAUCAAAUUGUUUUUUCAGAUUUUCUUUUUUGAAAACUUGAUCCAUUAGAGGAUGCAUGAAGAUAAACGGUUUGGAUCGUUAAUAUUAUAUUUAGAGUUUUACGAUUAGUAAAAAUAUUGCUUGAUGUUUAUAAAAUUUCUACAAACUAUAUGACAUCGACUCAUAUUUCAGUUAACCGUAAAUAUCGAAAUGUGAUAUCAAAGAUAUGAACCGUUCAUCUUCUUACAUCUGCUAGAUAAUCAUGUUAAAAAGAAAAUUUUUAAAAUAAAAUUCAGUAAGAAGAAUAAAGUGUAAAUGACAAUCGACAGUUAAAUAUAAAUUUAAGGUUUAUAAAUUAUAGUGUCGGAUUUCGAAGCUGACCCGUCAUGAAAGUUGUAAAGUUUGUCACUAUGAGUGAUUUUAUUUUUUAUUUUUUACACUUCUACAAUAAUUAUUAUUAAUUUUAUUAAUUUUGUCCUCAAAUAAAAAAUAUUAUUCGUGAAGGUUUGGAGGAUUUUAAAAAUCUAAACGAUAAUGUAAGUGUAACAAUUAUCUACUCGUGGAGGAAUAAUGAUGAAUUACAAGUGUUUAUAUAUUCUUUCACAUUUUUCAUACUUGUAUGUAUGUCUUCUUAGUUCUUGCAUAUACAAAUACUAUAUUAGUUUAUUUUAAUUUUGGACAACAUCGUGUUAAGUAAAAUUUAUAGCCCUGGUGAAUCAUACGAUGAUGGUAAAAGGGAGACUAAAAUUCCUCUGUGAGUUUUCCUGGCUCCCAAAAAUGUGGGCUACCAUGACGAAGCCAAUUUGUCCCUUUUUUGAAAGAAAAAAAUACACAUGAUUCAUGUUAAUAUAAUAAAAUUAGUAUUUUGUCGAUCUUGUAUUUCCACAAACUAAUUCAUGUUAUCUGUAUUUUUUUGAUCUUGUAUUUCCACAAACUAAUACACUACUACGAAACCAUUUACUACUGUCGCUAUGAUAACUGACAAGAAACGUAUAUUACUAUCAGAUAUUAAGCAAAAUUCAACAGAAAAUGGAUGCAGUGGCGGUUAUAAUAAGUGACAUAAUUGCUAGCGUUAGGAAAUGAAUUUUCCAACAGAAAAUACUCUAAAAUAGACAGAAAUUGUGUCGGAUAUAACCGACAAAGAAUACAUUAAUACUGAAUAAAUCAGAGCAUUCUCUGUCGAAUAAAACCAACAAAAAAUAUAUUAAUAAAAAGAAAUAUAAACCACUUUCUGAAUCAUUUCUUUCCCUUUCAAGUUAGCCUUCCCUGCAUUCAUUGCAUUUUCCAGCUUUGAGAUAUGCAACGUUCCUCUAAGGUACACCAUAUUCUUCAUUUCUUCAAGUUUGUUUCCUAUUUCGCAGCUAACCUGAAUAUAUUUAUAGACAGAAGUUUGACCCCCAACAACAAGAAAAGGAUUGGAAAGACAGAUAAAUAUAUUUGAAAAAGAAAAGAAAAAGACAAAUCGGAAAUCUGGGCAAGUUAUGCAACCGCCUACACUACUCCCCGGGGGUUACAGUUCAGGCAGUGCUCCUGUUCUCCGACACUCUCCUUUCUUCACCACCUUUAUCAUCACAAACCUUGUCUCGCUGAUCAGCUCAUUGUCUUUUCUCGUCACGUUUCUCUCGAUCUUGACAUCUCAAUUUGAGUACAAAAACUUCCAUCAAUCUCUUCUGCUCAGGCUGCAUUUAGGAUUUGCCUUUCUUUUCUUCUCGCUAGUGACGACCAGGCUCUCAUUCAUUGCUACAGUUGUGCUCUUGAUUCAUCUCGAUGAGGAAUUAACAACGUCUCUCCUUUACGUUGUUGCCUUUUUUCCUGUGUUUGUAUUUGGGCUCAUACAACAACUUCCUUUGUAUGCUGGAUUUUCUCAUGCUUUGAUAUUUCUAUUUAAGAAAGUUAAGAAGUUUAUAAUUUCUAUUUAAAACACAAACUGAACGUAAUACAAAUAAUUUAAAACGUACUGGUUUUGAAAUGUUGCUUCUCGAAUUGUUUAUCCAUGGUGAUUGAAGCGAGAAUGAGAAUGAAAUGAAGAGAGGAGAAAAGGGAGAAGGAAGGGAGAAGGCACCGGUGCAAGGAAGAGAUUGAGGGGUUUUAUUUUGGAAAAUUUUCAUUACUGCCGGUUAUAAUCGAUAGAAAAAAAUGGCGGCAAAAAUCCUCCCAAAAUUUUAAAAGGAAAACUAAUGAAAAGGGCUUGAAAACUUUGAGUUUUAAUGAUAAGGACAAAAUAAAGGGUAAAGUGAAUAGUACCAGGUGCUUUUCGUUAAAGUUCCCAAUUUUAAAUCCCCCCCCCCAAAUUUUGUUACGAUUUAAAAAAAUAAAAUAAAUUGAACGGAGAUAUGCAUUCUACGAAACUAGUUUCCAUGAUCUAACCGUCAAACAUGUUUGUAGAUACUACAAGAUCGCAUAUAUAAAAAAUCGCAAAAAAAAAAAAUAAUAAUAAUAAGAUAUUAGGUAAUAGAACAAAAGUUUUUUACGGUUAUAAAUGAAAAAUCACAAUUUAACGGUUAUUUUAGCUCCGGUUUUGAUGAUUUUUUUACAGCUACACUCAUCGACCCUAUAAGAAUUCAAUGAACGAAUUCGAUCUUCAAUUUAAAAUAUUUACACUAGUGGAUACCACAAAAUCUUAUUUUAUACUUAAUGGAAGUACAAUAUUAACUCUAAGUGUUUGUUUAAUCUACCGUUUUGACGUGAUAUGCAUUCUACGAAACUUUUUUCAACGAUCCAACCAUCAAACAUAUUUGUACACACUCCGAGAUAGCAUACGUAAAAAAUCAUAAAAAAUAAACAUUCAAAGAUUACGUAACGGAACAAAAGUUUUCAACGGUUAUAAACAAAAAAUCACAAUUUAACGGUUAUUUUAGUUCUGAUUGUAAUGAUUUUUUACAGCUACACUGCUCGACCCUAUAAGAAUGUCAUAAAUAAAUUUGAUCUUCAAUUUAAAAUAUUUAUACUAGUGGAUACCACAAAAUCUUAAUUUAUACUUAAUGGAAGUAAAACAUUAACUAUUUAAGUGUUUAUUUAAUCUACCAUUUUGACGUGAUAUAUAUUCUACAAAACUUUUUUCAAUGAUCUAACCAUCAAACUUGUUUGUACACACUCCGAGAUCGCAUACGUAAAAAAUAAAAAUAAAACAAACAUUCAGAGAUUAGGUAAUAGAACAAAAAAUUUCGACGAUUAUAAACGAAAAAUCACAAUUUAACUUUUAUUUUAGCUCCGAUUUUGAUGAUUUUUUUACAGAUACACUCCUCGACCCUAUAAGAAUGUAUUGAACGAAUUCGAUUUCAUUUAAAAUAUUUACACUAGUGGAUACCACAAAUCUUAUUUUAAACUUGAUGGGGAAGUAUAAUAUAUUAACUCUAAGUGUUUGUUUAAUCUACCGUUUUGAUGCGAUACGCAUUCUAUGAAACGUUUUUCAAUGAUCCAACCAUCAAAAUUGUUUGUACACACUCCGAGAUCGCAUACGUAAAAAAUCGCAAAAAACAAAGAUUUAGAGAUUAGGUAAUGGAACAAAAGUUUUCGAUGGUUAUAAACAAAAAAUCACAAUUUAACGGUUAUUUUAGCUCUGAUUUUGAUGACUUUCUACUGCUACACUCCUUCACCCCUAUAAGAAUGCAAUGAAUGAAUUCGAUCUUCAAUUUAAAAUAUUUACUCUAGUGGAUAAAUCUUAUUUUAUACCUAAUGGAAGUAUAACAUUAACUCUUAAGUGUUUGUAAAAUCUAUCAAUUUGAUAGGAUAUGCAUUCUACGAAACUAGUUUCAACGAUCCAAUCGUCAAACAUGUUUGUAUAUACUUUGAGAUAGCAUGUGUGAAAAAUCGCAAAAAAAAAAACAAAAACAAAAACAUUCAGAGAUUAGGUAAUGGGACCCUGAGUGAAAAAAAAAAAAAAAACAUUCAGAGAUUAUUCUAGCAGCCGCCCAAAAUUUUGCUUUGUUUGUGUCGGUUAUAUCUGACAAGGCCAUGAGUGAAAAAAAAUAUUUAAACCAUGUGUUUAUUUAUUUUUAAUCAAUAUAACAUUUUAAAAUAAUAAAAUAGUCAAUUUAUGUAGGUUAUAACCACCAGAAUACUAAAAUAAUAACCGCUAGAAACUAAAAUAAUAAAAUAGUCAAUUUAUGUCGGUUAUAACCACCACCAUUAACUUAAAAACUGUCGGAAUAUGUUAAAAAUAUUUAUAAAAAAAAGAAUUCAAAAAUACUAGCGGUUAUAAUAAUUUUAUGGCUAUUGCAUUCGACAGUAAAUAUCCGUCAGGAAUUUAUGUCGAAUAUAACCGACAGGAUUUCAUUGUUAUUCAACACUAACUAAGUGAUGUGUCAGAUAUCUUUUAUCCGACAUAAUGACUUAUUAAACCACCACCAUCAUCCGACACCUAAAGCUAAUAUUGUAGUAGUGAUACACACGUUAUAUGUAGUCAGUAUUUUGUUGAUCUUGUAUUCUUGUUGAAAUUUCAUCUUCUAGAAAAUUAUGUUGGCCUGUCAUAUUUUUGAGACACUUAACCUAACUUUUCGAUAAAGUUGCACAUUUCGAGAAACGAAAACUAUAAUGAACAACUAGCAUUUGCCUACACACUUUGUGUGUAUGAACACGUAUUUUUUUAGAAAAUGAGAAGGAGAGAGAGAGAGAACGUGAGGGGAGUGGGAGGUUUUUUUUUUUGUUUUUUGUUUUAUUUUAAAUAUUGAAGGUAUUUUAACAUUACCUAUAGGUAAGGCUUCAACAAAAAAACAGUAAAAUUUGGACCUGUGAAAUUACAUUAUUGCUCAUCAUUUUUUAUUGUGUGAUAGAAGACUAAGUAGUGUUUUCACCAUCUUUUGGUUGACAAAGAGGUUUUCAUUAAUUAAUAGAGAUAAGAAUGAAAAAAUAAUAGAAAAAAUAAAAACUUUAAGGAAAAAUUAAUAUCUGAUUCCUAGUUUUUUAUUUCAUAUAUUAACUGAGACCUUAUUAGUUUUUAGAUUUUGAUCAAAGUCCCUAGCAUUCAUCUAUUAAUAAAUUACAUGUCAGUUACAUUAUUUUUUUAAAUACAAAUUAGUAAUUGAUUUAGGGUUUUAAUGCUGACAUCCUUAUUAAACUCCUAAUUAAUUUUCAAUUCAAAAAAUUUUCAAAAUAUAAAAAAUAAAAUUAGAAUAAGUUUGUACCCAUUAAUGUUUUAUAAAAAAAAAUUUCAAUUUUUUAAUCUUACAUGUAACCAUUUAUAUAAUUCUUCUAUUUCUCUAAUCUUAAAUGUACUUAUUCUUAGAUAUACCAAUUUGUUAUCUAUAAAAUGUACCUUUAUAUAUAUAUAUAUAUAUAUAUAUAUAUAUAUAUAUAUAUAUAUAAUUCAUUCAAUCUUUUUUUUAAUUCAUUUUUUAAAUUUAUAUGGGUACAUUCUAUUUCGUUGAUUUGAGAAUGAAUUUAUGUCAAGUUUAAUAGAAGAAAUUUAAUAUGUACCCAUGUUUUGGUGCAAUAAUUUUUUUGUUAGUUUUGAUGAACGUACCCAUGUAUGUGUGUGCACACACAGACACACACACACAAUAUAUAUUGGAGAGUAUAAUUUAUCUUUAAUAUUUUUUUUAUCCCAUAAAUUAUAGGUUUUAUUUAAAUCUCAUUAAUAUAAAUAACUACAAAUUUCAUUUUUAAUUUAAAAAUAAAAUAACUACAUUAUUACAUUAAUGUCAGGAACUUCGAUAAAAAAACUGAAAAUCACAAGAGUUUUAGUAAAAAAACAUUGAUAAUUAGGGCCCACAUCCAAAGUCUCCAAAAAUUUAAUGACUGAGGCAAUAUUGGAUUCAAAAUUUAAACUUUGGCUCUUUUAAUUUAAAAACCUAAAUUUUUAAAAUAGAAAUUUUAGCGCGUGAGCAAAUUUCAGUUGAUUCAUGGAGAUAUUUCAUUGAACACUUAGUGAGUUUGUUGUCGUCAGAUGAACCAUAUUACGAAUAUGUUAACAUAUAUUAACAUUUGCUAAAGCUAUAUAAUGAGUGCUAUUGAUAGCAUUCGUGGUUAGAUUUUGCUUCGUGAUCAUAGCAAAGCUUCAACAAGUUCUGAACUCAAUUGCUUUAUUAUAUUCUAUGCGUUUUCUUCAACAAAGUUAGGCUGAAAGAAUCGUUCACAUAACAUAUUUGUCUCCUGAACAAGUCUUUCUUCCUUAAUUUUUCAAUAUUGACAAAACAAAAAAACAAAAAAAAAGCUACGAGAUAAUCAUACUAACUGAACAAGUUGCUCCCAUACAACGGUUAUCAGUGUUGACUCGUCACGCACACAAAGCUUUCGAACAACUAUAACAAAAAAGGCCCACAUUUCUCAAACUGUCUCGGAAGUUCGACUACCAUGGCGGAGAGCUUAUGCACGCGGUUCAAGUACAACCUGCUAUGGAAGUGUUUAAAGAUUGAGAAAAAGUGGUGAUUCGUUAAGUAAAUUUUAUGUUUGUUGCAAACAUUGUUUUAAAAACUUCCAUCUAAGUGCUACUCGGCUAGUCACUACCCCGAUUAAUCCCUAAACGUUUGAAAAUAAAAAUGGCACCUAGACCUACCUAAGCACCUACCUAGAUCGCCUAAGCGCCCUAGCCCACCCAAACCCACCUAGGUCGUGACUCACUUAGAAAAUAAAUAACUUUCGUUUUGCUUUUUAUUUUUUUCAAUAAAUUGUAAGAGACUAGUCGAAUACUUAGAUUAACACAUAUUAUAUGCUUGUUCUCCACGCAUUUUGCUCUCUUGAACUCUACCCUUCUGUCCUAGCUUCUUCACCCUCCCCCGUCUAAUAGGAUCAAAGUACUUCUUUUUGUGUGUCCCGGGUAAAGUUGAUAGGAGCAUAUGCUCCCAAACAACUUUGAGUGGAGUCGUUCGAAAAGAAGUUUCUAUGGCCCCCUUGCUCAUUUAACACUGCAUCCGGGUGCCGAUGGAGAUACAGCGACCCUUGCUCACUUAUCACUGUGCUCGGGCCGCACAGCGCGCCACUUACGGGUGACGCCCUAGCUUUAGCGCUAUUUUGUUCUGGAUUCAUUUUCAUAAGGAUUCGACGUGAUCAUGGAGUGCCGGCUGUCGACUAGGAACGUGGAAUAUAGGAACCUUAACGGGAAAAUCUAUGGAAGUAGUGGAAGUUAUGGUGAGGAGAAGAAUAAAUAUUAUGUGCCUACAAGAAACUAAGUGGGUUGGUAGUAAGGCAAAGGAUCUAGAAAACUCAGGGUUUAAACUUUGGUAUUCGGGCACACAUAGAACGAGAAACGGUGUUGGCAUCAUCGUGGACAAGACCUUGGUACAAGAUGUUGUAGAUGUCAAAGAGGGUAGGAGAUAGAAUCAUGGCAAUCAAGAUUGUAAUAGGACAAGAACUUAUCAAUGUGAUUAGUGCGUACGCACCUCAAGUAGGGUUGGAUACGAGGUCGAAGGGAGAAAUUUUGGGAAGAUCUUGGAGACUUGGUGCAAGGAAUUGCUCAGACGGAGAAGUUAUUUAUAGGAGGAGAUUUAAAUGGACACGUGGGCAGGGAGACAGGCAACUAUGGAGGUUUUCAUGGUGGCCAUGGUUUUGGGGAGAGAAACGAGGAUGGGGAAGCUAUCUUGGAUUUUGCAAUGGCAUUUGAUCUCUUCUUAGCCAACACCUUCUUUAAGAAGAGAGAAGAACAUGUGAUCACCUACAAGAGUGGGUCGUCAAAAACACAAAUAGAUUUUCUUCUAAUGAGGAAAGGGGAUCGUAUAACUUGUAAGGAUUGCAAAGUUAUACCAGGAGAGAGCGUGGCUAAUCAACAUCGCUUGUUGGUGAUGGAUGUACAUAUCAAAAGAGUGAGACAAAAGAACAAGACUUGGAAGUGCCCAAGGACUAGAUGGUGGAAUCUAAAAGAAGAAAAACAAGCCAUUUUCAAAGAGAAAGUAAUCACCCAGUGUGUGUGGGAUAGAGAGGGGGAAGCUAGCCAAAUGUGGGAUUCCAUGGCUAGUUGUAUCCGAAAAGUAGCAAAAGAGGUAUUAGGAGAGUCCAAGGGCUUUGCCCCACACCAAAAAGAAUCUUGGUGGUGGAAUGAGGAGGUACAAACAAAGGUGAAGGCUAAGAAGGAAUGUUGUAAAGCCUUAUACAAGGAUAGGACUGAUGAAAAUGGUGAAAGGUAUAGAAAAGCGAAGCAAGAGGCGAAGAAAGCUGUGAGAGAAGCUAAGUUAGCGGCUUACGACGAUAUGUAUAAACGACUAGAUACCAAAGAAGGAGAGUUGGAUAUCUAUAAACUAGCUAGAGCAAGGGAAAAGAAGACAAGAGACCUAAACCAAGUGAGGUGCAUCAAGGAUGAGGAUGGAAAAGUUCUUGCUACAGAGAAUGCGGUUAAAGACAGAUGGAGAGGUUAUUUUCAUACUCAAUGCACGAUAAUCAAUCGAUUUUUUUAUAAUUUGAUUAACCUCAGAAUCAACCAAACAAAUCUUUUUUCUAACGAUUCAAUAAAUAGACAGCUAUUUUUCGUUAACUAACACUUGUUAACAUAUGGUUCAAUGAUUUUUAAAUGGUGAAUUACAAAGUAGACGAUUUUGAUCAUAGUAGACAUGUCAAUGUUAUACCUAAAUCGCAACCCCAUACCUUAGUCAAGAGAUGCUAACAAAAUUGUUUCGCUCAGCUAUAGAUGUUUAUCAGCCAUUAACAUGCAAAAAAAAAAUCUUAUUAUAUUACAUCAAAAACAACUUUCAAUUAAUUGUGAACGAUUGUCGCUAACAUAGCUUUACUUAAGCUCCCCUAUAAAGAAUUCUUUACAUGCACACGUGAUCCAGAUCCAAGGCACCUUGGAUCAAAUGCAAUGACGUGGGAUCCCUACCUAAAAUUAAAAAAAAGGCAAAAGAAAAUGUCAAAAUCUGAUCCCCAAUUGAAGCAAAAGCUUGUGAUUUUGCACCUCUCAACUUACUCUUUAGGCUCCAUUUUCAUGUGACGUUCACCUUCACGUUCACGUUCACUUCACUCCAACAAAACAAGAGAAAAAAUAAACAAAAAUAUGAAAAUUUUCAACCUCCCUCCUCCAAUCUUCUUCUUCCUCCUCUCACCUUCUCUCUCUCUUCCUCUCUCUCUCUCUCUCUCUCUGAUAUUUUAGUUCACUUCCAAAACUCUCUUUCUGUUUGCUUCCUUGUCUCUUCCCCCACUAAAAUAUCUCUCUUUGGCCUUUAUUUUAUAAAAAUAUCUCAUCCCUCCUCCAUUCAGAUUCUAUGUUAAAUUCCUUUAUGCUCAUAAUUUCCAGCUGAUUAUAUCACUCCAAGAACCUCACAAUUCCAAAAACCAGAAACCCACUUCAAAGAUGUAAUCUUUUCUCUAUUCCGCUUCUGGGUUUUGUUUGUUUGAUCAAUUCUCUUCUGGGUUUUUGUUUACAGUGUAAAUCAACACAAAUUUACUAACUUUGCAUUGAUUUUUUCAGAUACUUUUGAGGAUUGGGAAGCUGUUGCGAGUUCAGCCAUGGCACCUACUGCGAAAUCGGACGGAAAAACAAUCAUAGACUCCGCCAUUUCAUCCAAGAUUCCGGCGACCGCAAACCCUUUAGCCGAAGAACCGUCGCAGAUUGCUUCCAACAUCAAUUACCACGCGAAAUUCAGCCCCCACUUCUCGCCGUUCAAGUUCGAGCCGGAGCAAGCCUACUACGCGACAGCUGACAGCGUCCGCGAUCGCCUGAUCCAGGUACUGUACCGCCGUCUCUCAGCCUCCGGGAUUUCAUUGGCGGACGGUUUUGAUUUUUAUAUUUUUCUUUGUUGGCUUUUUUUAGCAAUGGAACGAGACGUACCUGCAUUUCCACCAGGAGAAUCCCAAGCAGACAUACUACUUGUCCAUGGAGUAUCUUCAAGGACGAGCCUUGACCAAUGCGAUCGGGAAUUUGAAUGUUCAGAGUGCUUAUGCUGAUGCUUUGAACAAGUUGGGGCAUCAGCUGGAGGAAAUAACAGAGCAGGUAAUCUCCGAUACGAUUUUCGUUCGUUUAUUAAUGUAAAGAUUGAGUUUUUGUUCUUCCACUCAAUUAAAUUUUGAGCGUUUACUUUUAGUGUUGUUGAAAUGAGUUGUAUUUUUUACCUCAGAGGUUGUUAAACAUUUAAAAUGGAUUCUUAACUGGUUUUUGUUAUAUGAAUUCGACGUGCAAUCUGUUGAUGGAUGAUUGGUAGAAAUGAAUCUUUGUAGGAAAAAGAUGCAGCACUCGGAAAUGGGGGCUGGGAAGGCUUGCUUCGUGCUUUCUAGACUCCAUGGCAACGCUAAAUUUACCUGCGUGGGGGUAUGGUUUUUGAGGUACAGAUAUGGUCUAUUCAAGCAGCGGAUCGCCAAGGAUGGCCAGGAAGAAACUGCAGAGGAUUGGCUAGAGGUUCUGUAUCACCUUAAGUUCUGUAAAAUUUCAUGUAGUUCAUGAAUUCUUACUGAUACUUUUUUUUAUUGAACUUUAUGCAGAAGUUUAGUCCGUGGGAAGUUGUCAGGCAUGAUGUUGUGUACCCUGUCAGAUUCUUUGGCCAUGUUCAUGUCAAUCCUGAUGGAUCGUAAGUAUCUAAUACUGAUAACAGACUAGAUUCGUAGCUCCAAGAAUGUUUUUUAAUCAAUUAUCGUAAAUUCACAUGUGACAUGAUAGAACCGAGCGCAACGGCGUUCUAGGAUUCAUAUAGCUAACCCACUUAGUGGGAAAAGGCUUUGUUGUUGUUGUAUCGUAAAUUCACAUGCAACUUGGUUGGUUGCUUGAAAUAUAUGUACACUAACUCAGCAAUAAUUUCUUAUGACUAUAUCACAGCCGAAAGUGGGUUGAGGGAGAGGUUUUGCGAGCUCUGGCUUAUGAUGUGCCAAUUCCAGGAUACAAAACCAAGAACACUAUUAGUCUUCGUCUAUGGGAAGCUAAAGCAUCCGCUGAGGACUUUAACCUAUUUCAAUUUAAUGAUGGACAGUAUGAAUCUGCUGCGCAGCUUCAUUCUCGAGCGCAACAGGUUGGUCAUUAAUAUCCUAAUGGCAAGGUAGUCUUGGAACCACUUGCCAUUGUUCAAGUCUUCAAUAGACAUACAAUCAAAAGCCUUUUGAAUUUCUUAUAUGUACAUAUAUGUGUUUAUAUUACUGUGUAUAAUAAUGUGUGUCCACCACAUCGUCAUGUUAAAAUGUUUUCUUGAACCACGUUAUGAAAUUGUGCUUUUACAGAUUUGUGCUGUUUUGUAUCCUGGAGAUGCCACAGAGGAGGGGAAACUUUUAAGGCUGAAGCAACAAUUCUUCCUGUGCAGUGCAUCACUUCAGGUUGGUUUAUUAUCAUUUUAGCCUUCAUUAUUUUGUUGGUGUAAGAAUCACCAUUUUUUUCUUUCUAUUUUCUGUUCCAGAUGACCGUUUAAUAUUUCAAAUUUAAUUAAAGUUGAGAAGGUGAAAAGAAUCUCACACAUUUAGAGAAAAUUUUCAGAUUGACGUUUUCCCUCACAGUGGUGCUUGAUUUCAGAUUUCUUGUGUUUUUUGUUUUUUAAAGAUGAAAAUUACAUAUCUAGUCUUUCUCGUUAAGAGGCAUUUUCAGUUUCUAGUUUGACAUCCCGUCAAGAUAUUGUGAUCAUCACUCUUUAAAUCUUGAAAUUACAGGAUAUUAUUUUUAGAUUCAAGGAGAGGAAACAGGGGACAGACUCAUUGCAAUGGUCAGAAUUUCCAAAAAAGGUUGCUGUCCAAAUGAACGAUACUCAUCCUACACUUGCAAUCCCAGAGCUAAUGCGAUUGCUAUUGGAUGAGGAAGGGCUUGCGUGGGAUGAGGCAUGGGAAGUGACAACAAGGUGCAUUCUAUUUCAUGUUCUUUUAGACUUUCUUGGUUGAAGUUGUUGCCGCACAUUCUUCUUUCUUCCAUGACUGCUCUCCACUUAUUUGUAGUGCUUUUUGCACAAGGAGCUAUAAAGUGCUAACUCAUAAUAAUUGAACCAGGACGGUUGCUUAUACUAAUCACACAGUCCUUCCUGAAGCACUUGAGAAAUGGUCACAAACUGUAAUGUGGAAGCUUCUCCCUCGCCAUAUGGAAAUAAUAGAAGAAAUUGACAAAAGAGUAAUAUUUCUCAUCUUUUCUGCUUUUGUUCUGUUUAUGCUUAAAAUUGUCAUCUCCUAAUGUAAAUUCUUGCAUCCUGGCAGUUCAUUGCUAUGGUACGUGCUACACGAACUGAUCUUGAGAGCAAAAUUCCCAGCUUGUGCGUUUUGGAUAACAAUCCCCAAAAGCCUGUUGUGCGUAUGGCAAAAUUUAUGUGUGGUGUCUGCACAUACGGUAAGACAUCUAUUUUGGGAAAUUUACAAGUAUCUCAUGUAGUUUAUUUUGAGCUGUCUUCAACAUAAACAUAUGGUAACCUGGUUAUUAGAAAGGCAACUUAUUCCCUUUUUCCCUAAGAAAAAGGGUUGGGAGAGCAAGCAAGAGAUUGUAUGCAAUAGUGAAUACAGAGUCUAUGACUCUAAGGUACGGUCCACCAUGUACGUUGGUGAGACUUGAACUCAAGCUUUUUAACGAGGAGAAGCAAGUUCUUCCCAGGAAGACACCCAUUGGCAGUCUGUUACUCUGCAUAAGUGCAUAUUUUGACUAUUCUAUUUUAUUUCAGAGUCCCAUUUUUAGUAAAAUUUAAUGAGGCUUGAAAAUAAAUAUUUUCUGCUUUCCUUUUGUUUUUUUCCUCCCACAAUAUAAGACCCCUUAUUUCCACAUUUGAGCUGUUUGAGUGUUGACGUUGAGAAACUCAUUGCUUUCCGUGUCAUUGUAGGUUAAUGGUGUUGCCCAAUUGCACAGUGAUAUUUUGAAGAAUGAGUUAUUUGUAGACUAUGUCUCUAUAUGGCCAACAAAGUUCCAAAACAAAACCAAUGGGAUUACUCCUCGUCGGUGGCUUCGCUUUUGCAGUCCUGAGCUCAGUAACAUAAUAACCAAAUGGUUAAAAACUGAUGAAUGGGUUACCAACCUGGACCUACUUGUAGGUCUUCGAAAGGUAUGUAUUUAUGUUUUCAAAAAAUAUAUAUAGAAUUGUUUGUCCUUGCCAGAGCGUUCCUGCAGUUGAAUUAUUAAAACUCAAUGUGUUUUCUCCAACAGUUUGCCGAUGAUUCAAAAUUACAAGAAGAAUGGGCGUCUGCCAAGAUGGCUAAUAAGAAGCGUUUGGCACAGUACAUAGAGCAUGUGGCAGGUGUCAAGAUUGACCCAAACAGUCUAUUUGACAUACAAGUGAAGCGUAUCCAUGAAUAUAAGAGACAGUUGCUGAAUAUUCUGGGUGCAGUUUAUCGGUAUAAGAAGUUNNNNNNNNNNNNNNNNNNNNNNNNNNNNNNNNNNNNNNNNNNNNNNNNNNNNNNNNNNNNNNNNNNNNNNNNNNNNNNNNNNNNNNNNNNNNNNNNNNNNNNNNNNNNNNNNNNNNNNNNNNNNNNNNNNNNNNNNNNNNNNNNNNNNNNNNNNNNNNNNNNNNNNNNNNNNNNNNNNNNNNNNNNNNNNNNNNNNNNNNNNNNNNNNNNNNNNNNNNNNNNNNNNNNNNNNNNNNNNNNNNNNNNNNNNNNNNNNNNNNNNNNNNNNNNNNNNNNNNNNNNNNNNNNNNNNNNNNNNNNNNNNNNNNNNNNNNNNNNNNNNNNNNNNNNNNNNNNNNNNNNNNNNNNNNNNNNNNNNNNNNNNNNNNNNNNNNNNNNNNNNNNNNNNNNNNNNNNNNNNNNNNNNNNNNNNNNNNNNNNNNNNNNNNNNNNNNNNNNNNNNNNNNNNNNNNNNNNNNNNNNNNNNNNNNNNNNNNNNNNNNNNNNNNNNNNNNNNNNNNCUUUUAUCAUUAUAAGCCUAUUUGAUUAAACGAUCUAGGGUUUAGAGAGAGAGGGGACCGGCUAUGGUUAGAGAGAAGAGAGAGUGAUUUAAUUGUGAGGUGUGUUUGAUUCAACCCAUUGUGGUUCAUAUGUUAAAUAGACGAUACAAUAAGUCCCCAUGUUAAAUGUACAGUACGUAUGUGGUCCAUAGACUUGGCAUUCGUGUCAUGUUUUUCGUAUUCGUGUCGAUUUCGUGUCAUACCCGAUAUCUUAACGGGUCGUGUCGUGUAACACCCGUUAAAAAUAAACGGGUAAAAUGAUCCGAUCUGAAAUCGACCCGAUAAUAUAAACAGGUAAUAUGACCCGACCUGUUACCCAUUAAGGAAAAUAUAUUUUAAACCAAUAAAUAAUCAAAUGAAAAACAUAAUACUAAAUAAGUAUAUACAUACCAUAUUGUCACAUCCAAAACAUAAAAACGCAUUUUUCUUUUAAGUAUAUUUUCACUUACCUAAAGUCUUUAAUAGUUUUUAAUUAAUGUAGAAGUGUAAAAAAAUAUAGAAAAAAAUAUAUAUAAACGCUCGUAAUGACAAGCUUUACAACUUUCAUGAAGAGCUUAACUUCGAAAUUUGCUACUAUAAUCAUAUAAAUCAUAUAUCAAAAUUUAACUGUUGAUUGUUGUUUACAUUUACGCUUCAUUGUUCUCAUCAAAUUUUGUUUUUUCAGAUUUUCUUUUUUGAAAACUUGAUCCAUUAGAGGAUGCAUGAAGAUAAACGGUUUGGAUCGUUAAUAUUAUAUUUAGAGUUUUACGAUUAGUAAAAAUAUUGCUUGAUGUUUAUAAAAUUUCUACAAACUAUAUGACAUCGACUCAUAUUUCAGUUAACCGUAAAUAUCGAAAUGUGAUAUCAAAGAUAUGAACCGUUCAUCUUCUUACAUCUGCUAGAUAAUCAUGUUAAAAAGAAAAUUUUUAAAAUAAAAUUCAGUAAGAAGAAUAAAGUGUAAAUGACAAUCGACAGUUAAAUAUAAAUUUAAGGUUUAUAAAUUAUAGUGUCGGAUUUCGAAGCUGACCCGUCAUGAAAGUUGUAAAGUUUGUCACUAUGAGUGAUUUUAUUUUUUAUUUUUUACACUUCUACAAUAAUUAUUAUUAAUUUUAUUAAUUUUGUCCUCAAAUAAAAAAUAUUAUUCGUGAAGGUUUGGAGGAUUUUAAAAAUCUAAACGAUAAUGUAAGUGUAACAAUUAUCUACUCGUGGAGGAAUAAUGAUGAAUUACAAGUGUUUAUAUAUUCUUUCACAUUUUUCAUACUUGUAUGUAUGUCUUCUUAGUUCUUGCAUAUACAAAUACUAUAUUAGUUUAUUUUAAUUUUGGACAACAUCGUGUUAAGUAAAAUUUAUAGCCCUGGUGAAUCAUACGAUGAUGGUAAAAGGGAGACUAAAAUUCCUCUGUGAGUUUUCCUGGCUCCCAAAAAUGUGGGCUACCAUGACGAAGCCAAUUUGUCCCUUUUUUUGAAAGAAAAAAAAUACACAUGAUUCAUGUUAAUAUAAUAAAAAUUAGUAUUUUGUCGAUCUUGUAUUUCCACAAACUAAUUCAUGUUAUCUGUAUUUUUUUGAUCUUGUAUUUCCACAAACUAAUACACUACUACGAAACCAUUUACUACUGUCGCUAUGAUAACUGACAAGAAACGUAUAUUACUAUCAGAUAUUAAGCAAAAUUCAACAGAAAAUGGAUGCAGUGGCGGUUAUAAUAAGUGACAUAAUUGCUAGCGUUAGGAAAUGAAUUUUCCAACAGAAAAUACUCUAAAAUAGACAGAAAUUGUGUCGGAUAUAACCGACAAAGAAUACAUUAAUACUGAAUAAAUCAGAGCAUUCUCUGUCGAAUAAAACCAACAAAAAAUAUAUUAAUAAAAAAGAAAUAUAAACCACUUUCUGAAUCAUUUCUUUCCCUUUCAAGUUAGCCUUCCCUGCAUUCAUUGCAUUUUCCAGCUUUGAGAUAUGCAACGUUCCUCUAAGGUACACCAUAUUCUUCAUUUCUUCAAGUUUGUUUCCUAUUUCGCAGCUAACCUGAAUAUAUUUAUAGACAGAAGUUUGACCCCCAACAACAAGAAAAGGAUUGGAAAGACAGAUAAAUAUAUUUGAAAAAGAAAAGAAAAGACAAAUCGGAAAUCUGGGCAAGUUAUGCAACCGCCUACACUACUCCCCGGGGGUUACAGUUCAGGCAGUGCUCCUGUUCUCCGACACUCUCCUUUCUUCACCACCUUUAUCAUCACAAACCUUGUCUCGCUGAUCAGCUCAUUGUCUUUUCUCGUCACGUUUCUCUCGAUCUUGACAUCUCAAUUUGAGUACAAAAACUUCCAUCAAUCUCUUCUGCUCAGGCUGCAUUUAGGAUUUGCCUUUCUUUUCUUCUCGCUAGUGACGACCAGGCUCUCAUUCAUUGCUACAGUUGUGCUCUUGAUUCAUCUCGAUGAGGAAUUAACAACGUCUCUCCUUUACGUUGUUGCCUUUUUUCCUGUGUUUGUAUUUGGGCUCAUACAACAACUUCCUUUGUAUGCUGGAUUUUCUCAUGCUUUGAUAUUUCUAUUUAAGAAAGUUAAGAAGUUUAUAAUUUCUAUUUAAAACACAAACUGAACGUAAUACAAAUAAUUUAAAAACGUACUGGUUUUGAAAUGUUGCUUCUCGAAUUGUUUAUCCAUGGUGAUUGAAGCGAGAAUGAGAAUGAAAUGAAGAGAGGAGAAAAGGGAGAAGGAAGGGAGAAGGCACCGGUGCAAGGAAGAGAUUGAGGGGUUUUAUUUUGGAAAAUUUUCAUUACUGCCGGUUAUAAUCGAUAGAAAAAAAUGGCGGCAAAAAUCCUCCCAAAAUUUUAAAAGGAAAACUAAUGAAAAGGGCUUGAAAACUUUGAGUUUUAAUGAUAAGGACAAAAUAAAGGGUAAAGUGAAUAGUACCAGGUGCUUUUCGUUAAAGUUCCCAAUUUUAAAUCCCCCCCCCCCAAAUUUUGUUACGAUUUAAAAAAAUAAAAUAAAUUGAACGGAGAUAUGCAUUCUACGAAACUAGUUUCCAUGAUCUAACCGUCAAACAUGUUUGUAGAUACUACAAGAUCGCAUAUAUAAAAAAUCGCAAAAAAAAAAUAAUAAUAAUAAGAUAUUAGGUAAUAGAACAAAAGUUUUUUACGGUUAUAAAUGAAAAAUCACAAUUUAACGGUUAUUUUAGCUCCGGUUUUGAUGAUUUUUUUACAGCUACACUCAUCGACCCUAUAAGAAUUCAAUGAACGAAUUCGAUCUUCAAUUUAAAAUAUUUACACUAGUGGAUACCACAAAAUCUUAUUUUAUACUUAAUGGAAGUACAAUAUUAACUCUAAGUGUUUGUUUAAUCUACCGUUUUGACGUGAUAUGCAUUCUACGAAACUUUUUUCAACGAUCCAACCAUCAAACAUAUUUGUACACACUCCGAGAUAGCAUACGUAAAAAAUCAUAAAAAAAUAAACAUUCAAAGAUUACGUAACGGAACAAAAGUUUUCAACGGUUAUAAACAAAAAAUCACAAUUUAACGGUUAUUUUAGUUCUGAUUGUAAUGAUUUUUUACAGCUACACUGCUCGACCCUAUAAGAAUGUCAUAAAUAAAUUUGAUCUUCAAUUUAAAAUAUUUAUACUAGUGGAUACCACAAAAUCUUAAUUUAUACUUAAUGGAAGUAAAACAUUAACUAUUUAAGUGUUUAUUUAAUCUACCAUUUUGACGUGAUAUAUAUUCUACAAAACUUUUUUCAAUGAUCUAACCAUCAAACUUGUUUGUACACACUCCGAGAUCGCAUACGUAAAAAAUAAAAAUAAAACAAACAUUCAGAGAUUAGGUAAUAGAACAAAAAAUUUCGACGAUUAUAAACGAAAAAUCACAAUUUAACUUUUAUUUUAGCUCCGAUUUUUGAUGAUUUUUUUACAGAUACACUCCUCGACCCUAUAAGAAUGUAUUGAACGAAUUCGAUUUCAUUUAAAAUAUUUACACUAGUGGAUACCACAAAUCUUAUUUUAAACUUGAUGGGGAAGUAUAAUAUAUUAACUCUAAGUGUUUGUUUAAUCUACCGUUUUGAUGCGAUACGCAUUCUAUGAAACGUUUUUCAAUGAUCCAACCAUCAAAAUUGUUUGUACACACUCCGAGAUCGCAUACGUAAAAAAUCGCAAAAAACAAAGAUUUAGAGAUUAGGUAAUGGAACAAAAGUUUUCGAUGGUUAUAAACAAAAAAAUCACAAUUUAACGGUUAUUUUAGCUCUGAUUUUGAUGACUUUCUACUGCUACACUCCUUCACCCCUAUAAGAAUGCAAUGAAUGAAUUCGAUCUUCAAUUUAAAAUAUUUACUCUAGUGGAUAAAUCUUAUUUUAUACCUAAUGGAAGUAUAACAUUAACUCUUAAGUGUUUGUAAAAUCUAUCAAUUUGAUAGGAUAUGCAUUCUACGAAACUAGUUUCAACGAUCCAAUCGUCAAACAUGUUUGUAUAUACUUUGAGAUAGCAUGUGUGAAAAAUCGCAAAAAAAAAAAAAAAAAAAAAAAACAAAAACAAAAACAUUCAGAGAUUAGGUAAUGGGACCCUGAGUGAAAAAAAAAAAAAAAAACAUUCAGAGAUUAUUCUAGCAGCCGCCCAAAAUUUUGCUUUGUUUGUGUCGGUUAUAUCUGACAAGGCCAUGAGUGAAAAAAAAAUAUUUUAAACCAUGUGUUUAUUUAUUUUUAAUCAAUAUAACAUUUUAAAAUAAUAAAAUAGUCAAUUUAUGUAGGUUAUAACCACCAGAAUACUAAAAUAAUAACCGCUAGAAACUAAAAUAAUAAAAUAGUCAAUUUAUGUCGGUUAUAACCACCACCAUUAACUUAAAAACUGUCGGAAUAUGUUAAAAAAAUAUUUAUAAAAAAAAGAAUUCAAAAAUACUAGCGGUUAUAAUAAUUUUAUGGCUAUUGCAUUCGACAGUAAAUAUCCGUCAGGAAUUUAUGUCGAAUAUAACCGACAGGAUUUCAUUGUUAUUCAACACUAACUAAGUGAUGUGUCAGAUAUCUUUUAUCCGACAUAAUGACUUAUUAAACCACCACCAUCAUCCGACACCUAAAGCUAAUAUUGUAGUAGUGAUACACACGUUAUAUGUAGUCAGUAUUUUGUUGAUCUUGUAUUCUUGUUGAAAUUUCAUCUUCUAGAAAAUUAUGUUGGCCUGUCAUAUUUUUGAGACACUUAACCUAACUUUUCGAUAAAGUUGCACAUUUCGAGAAACGAAAACUAUAAUGAACAACUAGCAUUUGCCUACACACUUUGUGUGUAUGAACACGUAUUUUUUAGAAAAUGAGAAGGAGAGAGAGAGAGAACGUGAGGGGAGUGGGAGGUUUUUUUUUUGUUUUUUGUUUUAUUUUAAAUAUUGAAGGUAUUUUAACAUUACCUAUAGGUAAGGCUUCAACAAAAAAACAGUAAAAUUUGGACCUGUGAAAUUACAUUAUUGCUCAUCAUUUUUUAUUGUGUGAUAGAAGACUAAGUAGUGUUUUCACCAUCUUUUGGUUGACAAAGAGGUUUUCAUUAAUUAAUAGAGAUAAGAAUGAAAAAAUAAUAGAAAAAAUAAAAACUUUAAGGAAAAAUUAAUAUCUGAUUCCUAGUUUUUUAUUUCAUAUAUUAACUGAGACCUUAUUAGUUUUUAGAUUUUGAUCAAAGUCCCUAGCAUUCAUCUAUUAAUAAAUUACAUGUCAGUUACAUUAUUUUUUUUAAAUACAAAUUAGUAAUUGAUUUAGGGUUUUAAUGCUGACAUCCUUAUUAAACUCCUAAUUAAUUUUCAAUUCAAAAAAUUUUCAAAAUAUAAAAAAUAAAAUUAGAAUAAGUUUGUACCCAUUAAUGUUUUAUAAAAAAAAAUUUCAAUUUUUUUAAUCUUACAUGUAACCAUUUAUAUAAUUCUUCUAUUUCUCUAAUCUUAAAUGUACUUAUUCUUAGAUAUACCAAUUUGUUAUCUAUAAAAUGUACCUUUAUAUAUAUAUAUAUAUAUAUAUAUAUAUAUAUAUAUAUAUAUAAUUCAUUCAAUCUUUUUUUUAAUUCAUUUUUUAAAUUUAUAUGGGUACAUUCUAUUUCGUUGAUUUGAGAAUGAAUUUAUGUCAAGUUUUAAUAGAAGAAAUUUAAUAUGUACCCAUGUUUUGGUGCAAUAAUUUUUUUGUUAGUUUUGAUGAACGUACCCAUGUAUGUGUGUGCACACACAGACACACACACACAAUAUAUAUUGGAGAGUAUAAUUUAUCUUUAAUAUUUUUUUUAUCCCAUAAAUUAUAGGUUUUAUUUAAAUCUCAUUAAUAUAAAUAACUACAAAUUUCAUUUUUAAUUUAAAAAUAAAAAUAACUACAUUAUUACAUUAAUGUCAGGAACUUCGAUAAAAAAACUGAAAAUCACAAGAGUUUUAGUAAAAAAACAUUGAUAAUUAGGGCCCACAUCCAAAGUCUCCAAAAAUUUAAUGACUGAGGCAAUAUUGGAUUCAAAAUUUAAACUUUGGCUCUUUUAAUUUAAAAACCUAAAUUUUUAAAAUAGAAAUUUUAGCGCGUGAGCAAAUUUCAGUUGAUUCAUGGAGAUAUUUCAUUGAACACUUAGUGAGUUUGUUGUCGUCAGAUGAACCAUAUUACGAAUAUGUUAACAUAUAUUAACAUUUGCUAAAGCUAUAUAAUGAGUGCUAUUGAUAGCAUUCGUGGUUAGAUUUUGCUUCGUGAUCAUAGCAAAGCUUCAACAAGUUCUGAACUCAAUUGCUUUAUUAUAUUCUAUGCGUUUUCUUCAACAAAGUUAGGCUGAAAGAAUCGUUCACAUAACAUAUUUGUCUCCUGAACAAGUCUUUCUUCCUUAAUUUUUCAAUAUUGACAAAACAAAAAAACAAAAAAAAAGCUACGAGAUAAUCAUACUAACUGAACAAGUUGCUCCCAUACAACGGUUAUCAGUGUUGACUCGUCACGCACACAAAGCUUUCGAACAACUAUAACAAAAAAGGCCCACAUUUCUCAAACUGUCUCGGAAGUUCGACUACCAUGGCGGAGAGCUUAUGCACGCGGUUCAAGUACAACCUGCUAUGGAAGUGUUUAAAGAUUGAGAAAAAGUGGUGAUUCGUUAAGUAAAUUUUAUGUUUGUUGCAAACAUUGUUUUAAAAACUUCCAUCUAAGUGCUACUCGGCUAGUCACUACCCCGAUUAAUCCCUAAACGUUUGAAAAUAAAAAUGGCACCUAGACCUACCUAAGCACCUACCUAGAUCGCCUAAGCGCCCUAGCCCACCCAAACCCACCUAGGUCGUGACUCACUUAGAAAAUAAAUAACUUUCGUUUUGCUUUUUAUUUUUUUCAAUAAAUUGUAAGAGACUAGUCGAAUACUUAGAUUAACACAUAUUAUAUGCUUGUUCUCCACGCAUUUUGCUCUCUUGAACUCUACCCUUCUGUCCUAGCUUCUUCACCCUCCCCCGUCUAAUAGGAUCAAAGUACUUCUUUUGUGUGUCCCGGGUAAAGUUGAUAGGAGCAUAUGCUCCCAAACAACUUUGAGUGGAGUCGUUCGAAAAGAAGUUUCUAUGGCCCCCUUGCUCAUUUAACACUGCAUCCGGGUGCCGAUGGAGAUACAGCGACCCUUGCUCACUUAUCACUGUGCUCGGGCCGCACAGCGCGCCACUUACGGGUGACGCCCUAGCUUUAGCGCUAUUUUGUUCUGGAUUCAUUUUCAUAAGGAUUCGACGUGAUCAUGGAGUGCCGGCUGUCGACUAGGAACGUGGAAUAUAGGAACCUUAACGGGAAAAUCUAUGGAAGUAGUGGAAGUUAUGGUGAGGAGAAGAAUAAAUAUUAUGUGCCUACAAGAAACUAAGUGGGUUGGUAGUAAGGCAAAGGAUCUAGAAAACUCAGGGUUUAAACUUUGGUAUUCGGGCACACAUAGAACGAGAAACGGUGUUGGCAUCAUCGUGGACAAGACCUUGGUACAAGAUGUUGUAGAUGUCAAGAGGGUAGGAGAUAGAAUCAUGGCAAUCAAGAUUGUAAUAGGACAAGAACUUAUCAAUGUGAUUAGUGCGUACGCACCUCAAGUAGGGUUGGAUACGAGGUCGAAGGAGAAAUUUUGGGAAGAUCUUGGAGACUUGGUGCAAGGAAUUGCUCAGACGGAGAAGUUAUUUAUAGGAGGAGAUUUAAAUGGACACGUGGGCAGGGAGACAGGCAACUAUGGAGGUUUUCAUGGUGGCCAUGGUUUUGGGGAGAGAAACGAGGAUGGGGAAGCUAUCUUGGAUUUUGCAAUGGCAUUUGAUCUCUUCUUAGCCAACACCUUCUUUAAGAAGAGAGAAGAACAUGUGAUCACCUACAAGAGUGGGUCGUCAAAAACACAAAUAGAUUUUCUUCUAAUGAGGAAAGGGGAUCGUAUAACUUGUAAGGAUUGCAAAGUUAUACCAGGAGAGAGCGUGGCUAAUCAACAUCGCUUGUUGGUGAUGGAUGUACAUAUCAAAAGAGUGAGACAAAAGAACAAGACUUGGAAGUGCCCAAGGACUAGAUGGUGGAAUCUAAAAGAAGAAAAAACAAGCCAUUUUCAAAGAGAAAGUAAUCACCCAGUGUGUGUGUGGGAUAGAGAGGGGGAAGCUAGCCAAAUGUGGGAUUCCAUGGCUAGUUGUAUCCGAAAAGUAGCAAAAGAGGUAUUAGGAGAGUCCAAGGGCUUUGCCCCACACCAAAAAGAAUCUUGGUGGUGGAAUGAGGAGGUACAAACAAAGGUGAAGGCUAAGAAGGAAUGUUGUAAAGCCUUAUACAAGGAUAGGACUGAUGAAAAUGGUGAAAGGUAUAGAAAAGCGAAGCAAGAGGCGAAGAAAGCUGUGAGAGAAGCUAAGUUAGCGGCUUACGACGAUAUGUAUAAACGACUAGAUACCAAAGAAGGAGAGUUGGAUAUCUAUAAACUAGCUAGAGCAAGGGAAAAGAAGACAAGAGACCUAAACCAAGUGAGGUGCAUCAAGGAUGAGGAUGGAAAAGUUCUUGCUACAGAGAAUGCGGUUAAAGACAGAUGGAGAGGUUAUUUUCAUAAUCUUUUCAAUGAAGGACAUGAAAGGAGUGCUUCUUUAGGGGAGUUGAGUAACUCAGAAGAGUGUAGAAACUACUCUUUUUAUCGUCGAAUCCGGAAGGAAGAAGUGGUUGUAGCUUUGAAGAAGAUGAAGCAAAGAAAAGCAAUAGGCCCAGACGAGAUACCAAUCGAAGUGUGGAAAGUUUUGGGAGAGACAUGUAUAACAUGGCUCACUGACCUUUUCAAUAGGAUUUUGAAAACGAAGAAGAUGCCAAAUGAGUGGCGAACGAGCACUUUAGUGCCUAUCUACAAGAAUAAGGGCGACGUACAAAAUUGCAUGAACUAUAGGGGUAUUAAGCUAAUGAGUCAUACAAUGAAGCUCUGGGAGAGAGUCAUUGAGCAUAGAUUGAGGCAAGAGACACGGGUUUCGGACAACCAAUUCGGGUUCAUGCCAGGGCGCUCAACCAUGGAGGCAAUCUAUCUCUUACGAAGAUUGAUGGAAAGAUAUAGAGAUGGGAAAAAGGAUUUACACAUGGUCUUUAUAGAUUUGGAGAAAGCGUACGAUAGGGUCCCAAGAGACAUUCUUUGGAGGAUUUUAGAGAAGAAAGGAGUACGAGUAGCAUAUAUCCAAGCUAUAAAGGAUAUGUAUGAAGGAGCAAAGACUGCCGUAAGAACUCAUGAAGGACAAACUGAAAGCUUUCCCAUAACUGUAGGAUUACAUCAAGGCUCAUCCUUAAGUCCUUACCUUUUUGCGUUGGUAAUGGAUGAGUUAACAGGACAUAUUCAAGAUGAUAUUCCUUGGUGUAUGCUUUUCGCAGACGAUAUAAUGUUGAUAGAUGAAACUCAGGAAGGGGUAAAUACAAAGCUUAACCUUUGGAAAGAAGUGUUGGAAUCUAAAGGUCUUCGCCUAAGCCGAUCAAAGACAGAAUAUAUGGAGUGCAAGUUCAGUGCAAAUGGAGGCCAAAACGAGUUAGGGGUGAGGAUCGGUGAUCAAGAAAUACCAAAGAGCGAUCGUUUUCGUUACCUAGGAUCUAUCUUGCAAAAGAACGGAGAAUUAGAUGGAGAUCUCAACCAUAGAAUACAAGCUGGAUGGAUGAAGUGGAAGAGUGCAUCCGGCGUGUUGUGUGACCGCCGUAUGCCACUGAAGCUCAAGGGAAAAUUUUAUAGGACGGCAAUAAGGCCGGCGAUGCUGUAUGGCACAGAAUGUUGGGCGGUGAAGCAUCAACACGUACACAAAAUGGGUGUAGCGGAGAUGAGGAUGCUUCGUUGGAUAUGUGGGCACACGAGAAAGGAUAAGAUUAGGAAUGAGGAUAUCCGGGGUAAAGUAGGAGUAGCCGAAAUUGAAGGAAAGAUGAGAGAAAAUCGGUUACGGUGGUUUGGACAUGUGCAAAGAAGGCCUACUGACGCUCCGAUUAGAAGAUGCGACUAUGGGACAGAGGUUCAGGGCCGAAGGGGUAGAGGAAGACCUAGGAAAACUUUGGAAGAGACUCUAAGAAAAGACUUAGAGUACUUGGAUCUAACGAAGGACAUGACACAGGACCGAGCACAAUGGCGUUCUAAGAUUCAUGUAGCCGAUCCCACUCAGUGACUUGGAUUUUCCAAGUCUCCAACCGAGAAGUUUUCCUCACUCAGGAAAUUAAGGGAACACUACCUCAACCUACAUGCUCCACUCACAAAGCUUCCAACAAAAAGAAAAUUCAAAGAACUUAGCGAAGAAGGCUUUGGUGUAUUUAACACAAUACGUUGAAAUGAAGGAAAGCUUAUUUAUUGAUAUCCCCGAUAAGCUACAAAUAUGUACAUAUACAUGAGUCAAAAUAAACAAACAAGAGAGAGCCUUCACAAAGGUUGCUUAGGAGAAGUCGCAGCAGUCGGUAGAGCCCCAGAAAGAGAAGGCACCGGAGGGGGAUCAUUCGGAGCCUCAGUACUGGACAGAACCCUGGAAGGAGGAGGCAUCAGAGGUUGAUCAUUUGGAGCUUCAUUACGCGGUACAGCCCCAGAAGACGAAGGCAAUAAAUGCCUUUGGAACAAACCCACAAAUCUCUGAUGAUCAAGUAAAACCUGACCAUCAGAUUCCUUCAUCUGGUCCAGCUUCCUCUUCAUGUUUGUAGCAUAGUCAUGUGCGAGACGGUGCAACUGUUUAUUCUCAUGCUUGAGCCUUCUAAUCUCCUGUUUGAGACUCAUCACUUCAGCCGUCAAUGAUUCAACUUGGCGGGUUCGAGCAAAUAGGCGUUGGGCCAUAUUAGACACAGAACCUGCACACUGAACACUGAGAGCCAGAGAAUCCUUAACAGCUAACUCAUCAGAUCGUUUGGAAAGUAGUCUGUUAUCUUUGGGAGUGAGAAGGUUCCUGGCCACCACCGCAGCGGUCAUAUCAUUCUUCAUAACGGAAUCCCCAACGGUAAGAGGACCAGUAGGGGAGACGAAGGAUGGGCGCCAUAUGUUGUCUGGAGAAGGCGGGGCUGCCUCUUCAACAAGGUUCAAGUCAAAACGACGGUCGGAGGGGCCAGACAUUUUCAAAGGUGUUGAAGAGAGAAGAGGUCGAACAAAUCAAGAUCUUAGAAGUGUAAGAAUGGAGCUUCUACUAGUGGAGAUUCAAGUGUGCUUUGGAACUUAAUGCCAGCCCCUAUAAAAAUCUGCACUCGACGGAGCUUCAGAAAUCGAAGAGGCGCCUGCUCAGAAAUCGAAGAGGCGUUUGCUUUCUCAAAAGCUGGGCUGCUCAGAGACCACGAGGGUCGAUCUCAGAAAUCGAAGAGGCGUCUGCUUUCUCAAAAGUUGGGCUGCUCAAAGACCACGAAGGCCGAUCUCAGAAAUCGAAGAGGCGCUUGCUUUCUCAAAAGUUGGGCUGCUCAGAGACCACGAGGGCCGAUCUCAGAAAUCGAAGAGGCACCUACUUUUCCAGCCUUGGCAGCACCUGUCACACGCACACUCAGCUUUGCGGAAAUUAUGGGCAUUCUGUCGAAGACUUCUGGUGAAGUAGAAAGCACAUGAGUCUUACUGUUCAAUCACCCACUUCCCACACGCAAUAGUAGCUCAUGUGUAUCACAGAUAACUUUGCCAAAGUUCUCUGCCAAAGUUGAGCACGUGAAGCUUGCAGCUUCCACUACAUCGCUCUGACCAAGACGGGUAAAAGAAUAGCAAAGAAACAGCACUAACAAAGUUUAGACACAUAAAUUUUGAAGGUCUAGCUACCCCAUAUUAUUACCCACAAGGGUAAAGGAACAGUAUCACUGCUGGAUAAUUGGAAAGUCCCUGUGUGUCAACCUCUGUGCUUCGUGGCAAGGUAGACUAGCAAACAUGCCCAACCUUUACUCACAUUCGAGAAAACACUCCCAACAAGAUUGCUUGCUCCAAAAUCGAAGAGGCACCGUCCUCCGAAUCUCGAGAGCCAGACUCCCAACAUGACUACUUUCUCAAAAAUCGAAGAGAGGGUAAAGGAACAGUACCAUUGCUGGAUAAUUGGAAAGUCCCUGUGUGUCAACCUCUGUGCUUCGUGGCAAGGUAGACUAGCAAACAUGCCCAACCUUUACUCACAUUCGAGAAAACACUCCCAACAAGAUUGCUUGCUCCAAAAUCGAAGAGGCACCGCCCUCCGAAUCUCGAGAGCCAGACUCCCAACAUGAUUACUUUCUCAAAAAUCGAAGAGACACCGCUCUCCGAAUCUCGAGAGCCAGACCCCCAGCAUGAUUGCUUUCUCAAAAAUCGAAGAGACAUCGUUCUCCGAAUCUCGAGAGCCAGAUCCCUGAUAGGAUUGCUUGUUCGAAAACCGAAGGGGCAACACUUUCCCAACUACAAGAGCCGGAUCUCCUUGGAUAAAGCUGUCUGUAAUCUUCACACGCAACAUCAGCUUUCCACAUACCACAGACCACUUUUUCAAAGUGCUCUGACAGGGUAAAGGAAUAGCAUUACUACUUGUUGUUAAGGAGACUCCUAUAUAUGUUAACCUCCAUCCCCAACGGACAGACAGACCUGCAAAAAUGCUCAACCCUUCCUCAUAUAUGAGAGGGCACUCUCAACGAAGCCUUUCGAAAUAUUCAGCUUUCUUUCCCCCCGAUAAUACCUCUGCAAACAAGUUAUACUAGAGCAAGAAUAUCUCAUAUCAUUAGGGUUAAAAGCAAGAGUAUCCCAUAUCAUGCUUUUUCCCUGUCUUUUCCUUUGGCCUUGUUCUUACCUGCAAGACAAGGAGAAAGAGAGCAAUCAGUCAGCACUUGGAAUCAAGCUUCCAGCCAGGAACUGACUGCCUGGAACUUACUUACCUGGCAUUGCUCUCGAGUACUCAUCUUCAACAUCUUAUGCUUCCAGGGAAGAUACCGCAUCUGCCUGAGGAACAGAUAGGGCAAGUGAGAAGGAUACAAGGAAGCAUGUGGAGACAAGCGUAACAGCACACGUGCCGAUACAUCCAUUACUCUGUCAAAGCAAAAGUAUCCCAUAUCAGUAGGGUCGAACGUACUCUAGAUUUGAUGGACUUGUUUUGACCCUCAAAUUCUUCAGUCGGCCUUAUACUCUGGAGGAAACCAGAAAACCCUCCAGCUCAGUUCAAGAAUAAGCCUGUGGAAAGUUACUUCUUCAAAAGCAAAAGUAUCCCAUAUCAUCUCUUCUCAUUUUUCUUCUCUUUAUCCUUCAUGCUGCCUGCAAGAUAGGGAGAAUGUGAACAAUCAUCCGGAGCUCUGAUUGCUUACCUUGUCUGUCACCUCUUUCAGCAAAUCCCCUAGCUCGGCAACUUGAGGGACUCCUACUACAUGGUUUGUAUCGCGCUUGACCAAGCCUGAAACUACAAGUAAGCUUCAAGUGAAAUUGAUACAUUACCUUGUGCAUCUCCACCAGUUAAAGAUACCACCCCUGGAUGGAGGAAGAGUACUUCCAGAGAAGAUGCCACAUCUACCUAUGAGACAGAUAAGGCAAGUCAAGACGAUACCACAUUCCGAUACUUAGAAGUUUCGUGAUUACGAGAUCAUUCUCCCACAAUAUUUCCUAAUGUCAUUUGUACUAAAUCAUUCACUUGUACUCACUAAAGGAAAGCUUGAACCUAUGUACUUGUGUAAACCCUUCACAAUUAAUGAGAACUCCUCUAUUCCGUGGACGUAGCCAAUCUGGGUGAACCACGUACAUCUUGUGUUUGCUUUCCUAUCUAUAUCCAUUUAUAUACUUAUCCACACUAAUGAUCGGAGCAAUCUAGCGAAGAUCACAAAAAGCGACCGUUUUCGCUACCUAGGAUAUAUCGUGCAAGAGAACGGAGAAUUAGAGAGAGAUCUCAACCAUAGAAUAGAAGUUGGAUAGAUGAAGUGUAAGAGUGCAUCCGGCGGGUUGUGUGACCGUCGUAGGCCACUGAAGCUCAAGGGAAAAUUUUAUAGGACGACAAUAAGGCCAGCGAUGUUGUAUGGCACAGAAUGUUGGGCGGUGAAGCAUCAACACGUACACAAAAUGGGUGUGGCGGAGACGAGGAUGCUUCGUGGGGAUGUGGGCACACAAGAAAUGAUAAGAUUGGAAAUGAGGAUAUUCGAGGUAAAGUAGGAGUGGCCGAAAUUGAAGGAAAGAUGAGAGAAAAUCGGUUCCGGUGAUUUGGACAUGUGCAAAGAAGGCCUACUGACGCUCCGGUUUGAAGAUGUGACUACGGGACAGAGGUUCAGGGCCAAAGGGGUAGAGGAAGACCUAGGAAAACUUUGGAAGAGACUCUAAGAAAAGACUUAGAGUACUUGGUUCUAACGGAGGACAUGACACAAAACCGAGCGCAAUGGCGUUCUAGGAUUCAUAUAGCCGACCCCACUUAGUGGGAAAAGGCUUUGUUGUUGUUGUUGUAUAAGCGUAGACACUUAUUUAUACGAUAUAUAAUAAAUUUACUUAAAUUUAUUUAGUCCGCCUAGGCCUUUGCCUAGCCGUCUAGCAUCUGACCCCAGGCCACCGCCUGGCCUAGCGUGUUUUAGAACUUUAGUUGCAAUACAUUGAGGUUCCGAUCCCCGCCCUGAAGAAGAAUGAGGUUUUGCUGAAAUUGGAAGCAGAUAGUCUUCAACCAGUUGAUUGGAAAAUCAGAAAGGCGAGCAGCGGCCUCUUUUCCCCGGCAAAUUCCCUCAAAUACCUGGGAAUUCUGUUUCUCAUGUGAUUUGUGAUGUUUUUAUAAUUUUUUAUCUUCAACAUUCGUAAAUAAAACUUAUGCCAGAACACUAAAUAUAAUCUCUCACCCAUUUCGUAAGUGCUCCACCAUUUCGUAAGUGCUCUCAAUAUUUUAUAUUGUUUUUUUUAUAAAGAUAAUAAGACAAAAAUGAAUAGUAAUAUAAAAUGUUGACGUGCUUUAACCGUGACCACACAAACAGGAGGGCAUGGAAACAAAGAGGGCAGACAAUCCUUGUCCAAAUGAAAACCUUGAAACAUUUUGGUCUCCCAGGCAUUUGAGGCAAGACAGAGUGUAAUGAUUUUGGUCUCCCAGUAUGGAGAGAGUAAUGAUUUAUUAUGUGAAUGUUACUCUUUAUUUAUAGUCAAGAAUAAGGAGAGGAUUAACUUGUCCUUCAAGUAAAUACAAUCCUAUAGGAAAAGUAUAACUAGCAACCAAAUCUAUCUCGGAUUUCUCAACCCAAGAAUAUCUAUAACUUACGAUAUUAUUUGUAAAACACUGCAAUUCAAAACAUGGCAUGGCCAAAACUAAGGCUCCACAAUUAUCUUUCCGGUAGCAUGGCCAUCGCUGAUCCUAUCCCAAGCGUCCUCCGCCUUGGUCAGGGGAUACUUUGAGUCAAUUAUAGUCUUCAGCUUCCCUUCUUUCACCAACUUAAUAAGAUACUCAAGGUUAUCAGCCAUGGGAAAUAAGAACAGUGGCACCAGUUGCUUCUUAGAAAAGGUAAGUUUCUUCAGUGCAACGCUAAACAGAGAGCUGGGGGUGGGAGUAACAUCUAUUACCUUACCGUUCGCACUCAAAUUAGGCUCAAAAGUUGACCAAGGAAUGCAUGUUGCACAGUGGAUCACAACAUCAUAUUUUCGACCAGAUGGACUCCUAAGAGCUGCACCUUCUGGGGUCUUGUAGUCAAUAACCUCAUCAGCCCCUAGGCUUUUGACCAGUUCAAUGUUGCGGGCACCACAAGUGGCUGUAAUAUGAGUAUUUCCGAGCUUUGCCAACUGAACCGCAUAGAGACCUACACCACCUGAAGCAGCUGUGAUCAGGAUGUUUGCUUGCUGACCACUUCCAUCAAGCUUGAUCCCUGCAGUUUGUGUAAGAGCCUGGUGAGCUGUGAGACCAGCAACGGGUAAUCCUACAGCGGUGGCUGCUGAAACUUCCGGUGGCCUUGCAACAGUUAAACUCUCCAUUGUCACGGCAAAUUCAGCUAGUCCACCUCCAGUCUUUGAUUCAUUGUCGAAGAACAGAAUGAGACAAAAGGGGACAUGGUAUGUAUCAAUGAAUGAUGCAUCAGAUAUCUAGGUGACACAUUCUGUCACUGGGUUUGCAUAUUAAGCACACCAAAAGUGGUUUUUACAUGCAAUAGUUCAGUCUCAUGCCGACUGGAAUGACACUAGGGAAAGAGGCACACAAAGUCGAUGAAGGGUUAACGAGGGUUUACAAAUACAACAAUUCAGAUUGGAACAAAUGGAUUCAACUUUUCAAAUUAGUAGAUACUUAUUCAGAUAUCAUUGAUGAAAAUAAUAGUUCUAAAUUAAGUUAAAUCCAUCUAUAUGCAUGUUUCCUAGAUGUAUGUGAAGCCUAAAAGAUGCUAUUUCCAAAACAUGAUAUGGGAGCUUAAUUCCCUUUUUCUGAAUUAUGUUAUCCUUUCAGUUAAAUUUUACUUCGCCGAAAACGAAGACUAAAUUUGAAGAAUUUCAAGUGAAACAGAGAAAAUGAGCUAGUAUAUAAGGGAACUUACAAGAGUGUUAACCUUCCCGACAACUUUGUCACCAGGUUUGAAUUUUUUUACUCCAGGUCCUACCUUUACAACCUCUCCUGCCACAUCAAUACCUGUUCCGAGUUCCACCAAUGAAUAUCUUCAGUUAAUAAAACGACUUCUCACAAAAUGCGGUCCUGUGAAAACUUCUACAUAAAACAUGUUAAGAAAUGCAUCCCACCCUUUCCCUUUGAAGAACUCGAAAAACUAUGCUAUAAUAUCGAUGUUUACGUAAGAAUCUCUCCCCGGAAAACACACAAAUUCCACUCCAGAAGUUUAUUAGAUGAAAUGAACAAGAAACAGGUGUUUAAGCAUUUAUCGAACAUUCGUACUACUUUUCAAGAAGAAGAUCAAAUAAUACAUGGAAUGAAGCAUAAUUACGUAAAGAGUUAUAAACACAAAAUGGAUCCCCUAAGUAGCAGCGUCUCAAGGCAGCCAAACCAAAUUACCAGGUAUGUACGGAAACCUGCGAGGCAACAAAGGCCAGAGCAUGCCUUUCUGAGCUUUCCAAUCAAUUGCGUUUAGACUAGUUGCCUCCAAUUUCAGCAACACCUCAUCUUUUUUCGGAUUUGGAAUCGGAACUUCAACAUGCUGCAAUAAAGGCCAAUGUCAUGACAAGAAUGUGUUCUGCAAAGUUCUUCAAAGCAACAAAGUAUCCACAUAAUAGACCAACAACUUUGUUUAACAUUUCAUAAGCAUAUACAAAUGGUAAUUUUCUCGAUAACAAAACCUAGUAACUGAGUAAAUCCCUGUUACUAUUUCUUUCAUCAUGUGAUUCAGAUAAAAACAAUAAAAGUAAAAGAUAAAACCUCUUCCUUUAUCCUUUCCUUCCCAACAUCGCAAUGACUCAAUCAAGUACUCGUAUUCCAAGUGGGAUUGCAGUUAUUAAACUGAAAAUAUGACUUCACCCCUAGAACAUAGAUUUUUUAUGUAAAACCCGACAUAAUUGUUUUACUUGAUUAAACCCCAAUAAUUAGGAUCCCCAUAAGCAUAUUCCUUAAUUAAGCUUGAAUACAAAUAUUUUACAUGUUUCCAAUGGCUAUAUUAUCCCUAAUAACAAUUGGAUUUAGACAUUUCUUUUCCUAUUCUAUAUUAUCCCUAAAUGGGUACAUUAAUGAUAUAUAAAUAGACAAACAUUAUGAAACUCAUUGAAGGCGCAAAACAAGGAGUAAAUCUUUGAUAUUGACAUGAUUGGAGAAUACUUGCAAUUUUGUAAAAUGAUUGCAACUCAUAUUAAAUUUUGGAUUUUAUUUAGAGGUUAAGAAGUGCACGGGUAUUGAACUCCCGGAAGAAAAAAAGAAAAAAUACAGGUGAGUUUACGUUUAUGAAAUAAGAGUUACAAGUCUAUAAACAACCUUUAAACCAGAAGUUCCGCCGCCAUAGUUGUCGUACUGAACAGCGUGCAUGGUCUCAUUGGCCAUAGUCUCUCAGUUGUAAGUCCAACCAACGUUCCGAAGAGCCGCAGAAACUUGAAGCUCCUCCCUCCCGGAUUCUAUCAAAUACAGAGCUUAUGCUAGUACAGCAAUAGACUCAUUAGCCCAUGUCUAUAGUGGAACAAAUAUACGCGUGAUUGAUUGAUGUUCACUGAUUGACCCUUGUCUAUUGUGGAACAAAGACACGGGAUUCAUGGGCUAUAGUGGAACAAAUAAUACGCGUUAUUCAUAAUGAUGUUGACUGAUUGACCCUUGUCUGUCGUGGAACAAAUACACGUGAUUCAUAUUGAUGUAGACAGUACAAUCAGUAUAUGGUUUACAGUACGUAUGUGGUCCACAUGUUAAAUAGACGAUCAAUAAUUACAUGGUCCCUAUGUUAAAUAGACAACACGUAAGUGGUCCAUAUGUUAAAUAUACAAUAAGUGUAUGCAGUAGCAGAACCGGGAAGAGAUGGGAAAUUCAAAAUAAUGCAAGAUUCAAUCGAAGUGGUUGCUUUUAUAUUGGAGAGUGUAAAGUUUUGAGUCAAUAUUCAUAGUAGAAAAUAGUCUCUCCACUAAAACGGUUGUAAACGGUAAUAUCAAAACCAAUGUAAUAAGCUUAAAUUGGCUAGGUUUAUAUUCUAAAAAUAGACGCUAGUCAAACAGCGGACUGGAACUUAGUAGCUAGGCGCCUAAGACAGAUCUAGGCAUGAGCCUAGUGGGAUUUAAACGAAUUUCUUUUAUCAUAAAAUAAGCAUUAAGUUGUAGGCCUAUUUGAUUGAACGAUCUAGGGUUUAGAAAGAGAGAAGGAGCCGACUAUAUUAGGAGAAGAGAGAGUGAUUUAAUCGUGAGGUGUGUUUGAUUCACACAAUUGUGCCUUUAUUUAUAGUAGUAGGAUAGGUAAAAACAUUUUCCUUUAGGAUUACAAUAUUUAAUAGGUAAUCAACCCCUGAUAUAAAUAUAAGAUACAUUCCCAGAUUCCCUAAGAUUUACACAAUCACAUUCCUAUUCUAAAUAUGACUGCAACACUUUCCCUUGUAGCUAACGGGGGGAAUACGUCUCCUCGUAAUCACUCCCAAGGCGCUGAGAGAAGCCUUGCACUACGAGGUGUGCUUUGUAUCGUACUAUUUCAUUCUUCUCAUUACGCUUCCUCACGAAAACCCACUUAUAGCCAACGGGUUUCACGAGUUGUGGUGUAGGAACGAUAGGUCCAAAUACCUUACGUUUCGCGAGCGAAUCGAGUUCAACCUGGAUUACUUGUUUCCAGUUUGACCAAUCAGUUCUACGUCGGCAUUCAUCCAUCGACGGAACGUGGUUCAAUGUCAUCACUAAGCAUGAUGUUAGUAGCUACUGAAUACGCGAAUGCAUCGUCGACGAUCAUUUCAUUCCUAUUCCAAACCUUAUCUAAUAUUGCGUAAUGGACCGAAAUCUCGUGAUUCUCAAGAGGCCGGCAUGUUUCGUCUGAAGCAUCGCCGUAAUCUAGAAUAACCUCAUGCGUUGGAUCAGAUGAGUGAGCGAUGGUCGGAUUCAAACUAGGGUCACUAGUUGGUGCCAUUUUCCUCUUCCAAGGUUGUGAAUCCUUUGAACCAAGGGGUCUGCCACGCUUCAGGAUAGAAGCAAAUGAUUGGCUAGCUGCCAAUGUACCGUACCGCGUGGAAGGUGCGGCCUCCCUACCUUCGGGGACGGUCCGGCCUUCCCAGGCAGGUUGUUGACGUACACAGGGUACAUCUAUCCUUGCAGGUAUGUUUGCAGCGAGUAUAUGUGAUAUUGUCACCUUUGCUAGAUCAUUAAAAGCAUCCAGCAUACUUUGAGCAAUGCUCUGAAAAUCUAUAAUUCGUCGCACCUCAAUUUCAGAUUGGGCAGUGCGGGGAUCUAAAUGAGACAUAGUGGGAGCAUACCACGACAAUUUGUGGCGUUCUACGAGAACGUUAGCAUGCUUAUCUCCCCCUAAUGACCGGAAGACUGUCUCAUCAAAGUGACAAUUUGCAAAACAUGUGGUAAAGAGAUCUCUUGUCAAUGGUUCAAUGUCAUCACUAAUCAUAACCGACAUAGAUUCCCAUUUUUCUCUGAGGACCCAUUUUGGUACGUAGUGACGGUGCUAUUGGCACAUAAAUGGCGCACCCAAACACCUAUAAAUGCAAGACGUCAGGCUCGUAUCCAGUGACCAACUGUAACAGUGAAUAUGGUUGAGUAGCGGUGGGCCUUAGGCGGAUCAACAUAGCUACGUGCAAUAUUGCAUAGCCCCAGGCAGAUACUAGCAGUUUGGUUCUCAUAACCAAAAUCUGAGAUAUCAAUUAAAUGCGCUUUAUGAAAGCUUAUGCCAGGCCGUUUUGGAUGUGAACAUACGGUACAGGAUGUUCCACAUCAAUCCCUAAUGACAUGCAAUAAUCGUCAAACAUCUGUGACAUAAACUCUCUAAUGUUAUCCAGUCGAAUCAACUUAAUCGGAUAAUCAGGGUGGUGAGCCCUUAGCUUAAUGAUUUGAGCUAGGAGUUUAGCAAACGCGGUGUUGCGUGUGGACAACAAGCAAACAUGUGACCAUCUUGUCGAUGCAUCAACCAACACCAUAAAUUAUCUAAAUGGUCCACAUGUUGGUUGGAUAUGUCCACAAAUGUCCCCUUGAAUCCUCUAAAGAAACUUAGGGAGGUCGUGAAUAAUCCUUUUGUAUAUAAGGGUUAAGUAUUUAACUUCCCUAAAGAGCACGCUUUGCAUGGCGGGAGUCCAGCAUAUGGAUGUAACUUAUGCCCCGUGUGCAGAUUUGAGGAUACGGCACAUCAUAUCACAUCCAGGAUGUCCCAAACGGUCAUGUCAAAGCAACAAAGUGUCCUAGAACUCAGGCAUAAGGCCGGCCACACUGUGGGCUUCUAUGCUGGGAAUGGUUAUGAUGUACAAUCCACUCGGCAGACGUUUCAACUUCUCGUAAAUAUGCUUCUGGCCAUAUUCGUAUGAAGUGAUACAUAGAAAUUCAGAACCAUUAUCUUCUGUGGUUUCAAGAUGAUAUUGAUUAUCUCGAAUAUCUCUAAAACUCAGCAACGUUCUUCCGGAACGUGGAGAAUAAAGUGCCUUGUUAAUGUUCAAGAUUGUACCAUUAGAUAACAUGAUACGUGCCUUUCCGUAUCCUGCAAUCAGGUUGGAUGAGCUUGAGAGAGUUGUAAAAUGAGCUUUCUUGGGUAUUAAGUUAGUAAAAUAAUGUCGUUCACGCAAGAUGGUGUGUGUGGUUGCACUAUCUGCCAGACAACUAACUUCCCCACUAGACAUACAUAGAAAUAAAUUGAUUAAAUUGGUCACAUGCAUAAAUAUAAGUCCAUUCAUUCAAUUAACCAAUUCGAGAAAAUAAUAUCCAUUCCAAUAACAAUCCCUAAUUCAAAACAAACCAAAACCAAACAAAUUAUUCCAAAUACUUAGAAAAAUUGUUCAAAAUUAAACCAUAAAUCUAGAAAAAUAGGGGGGGUAUGGCCAGCCACUCCUAUUGGGUUCGGCCUUUAGGGGUAAACACCCUAAAAACAUGUCUAAUUUAUUCAUCCAUAAGCGUUGACGCCUCCUGAAAAUCCGAAAUGUCCAUUGAUGUAGUUGCAUCUUCCGGAUGAUCCACAUGUGCAAAGUUAGACUCAUAACUGGAAUGAUACUUGGCAAUAGCCUCAGGGGAAGCUUGACAUAAUAGUGACCAAUGAUCAUUUGAUCCACAAUGAUAGCACAUGUCCAGUUCAGCAGAAGCAGGCUGAACGGGAGCUUUGCCCUUAUUCUUGAAGUUUAUGGCCUUAGGGGAGAGUGGUUGACGCUGCUGGGUUACAUUUCUUCCCUUAGAUGUGGCACUUUGUUGACCUUGGGCUUGUGGUUGGGUUUGCCACCCAUUGCCACAGCUACGAUGAUUCUUUCGUCAUUUAUGGCUACUAGAAUAGGUCGCAUGCGCUUCAGCUUAGGCGUUCGAGCCAAUUGAUCGAGCUUGAUGAUUCUUCAUCAAAAGCUUGGUCUGCUUUUCAGCGAUAAGUAAAACAGAGAUCAAAUCCAAAAACUUGGUGAAUUUAUGUGCCCUAUAUUUUUGCUGCAGGACAAUAUUGGUGGCAUGGAAGGUGGAAUAAGUAUUCUCCAGAAGAUCUGAUUCGGUUAGUUCCACUUUGCAGAAUUUCAACAGUGAACGGAUUCUACAAACUUCAGAGUUGUAUUCAUUCACAUACUUAAAGUCCUGGAAGUGAAGAUGUUGCUAGUCGUGUCUUACUUCAGUAUGUCUUUCUGGCGAUCAAAACGGUCGGCCAGAGCAAGCCAAAGGGUGCGUUGGUCCUCCUCAGCGAGAUACUCAGUCUGCAGUGCAUCAUGGAUGUGCCUUCGAAUGAAGAUCAUUGUAGAAGCCUUCUAAGCUUUGUCAACAGGUUUGUCGGUGGUAGGUGCCUCGAUGGUGGCUCUGAUGCCCUUUGCAGUCAGAUGGAACUUCAUGUCUUGAACCCACUUCAGAUAGUUUCUUCCAGAAAAUUCUAGAGCAGAGAAAUCGAGCUUGUUUAAGUUCCACAUGUCCCUAAAACAGAAGGAAAAACGUGAGUAGUCAUAUGGUAAGCUAUAAACAUAUAUCGUAAAACAUACAGGUUCUAUAGGCAUGUACUGGUUUAAUUGAUGCAUGAAAACUACAGGUUUCAUGUGGUAUGUUUUGAAUAAAAACUGCGGGUUUCAAAGGUACUAAAUUUGAAAUUACAAGUUCAAUUUAGUUUUAUGAACAAUUAGUUCAUAAUGAGAUGUUCCUGCAAGAAACACAGAAUGCAAUAUACUAAUUUGAAUAUAGUGGAUUUGAGGUUCUUCGAGAACUCAAGUGUGAGAGCGUCGUUACUACGAAAGUAUGUGAUGGUUCAAAGUAAAAAAAUAAAUUAUUGAAUCGUUAAUGUCCAAAAGUGAUCUUUAGGUCAAUAAUUUUGGAUUCAUUAUUAUAUUAAUGGACUGCAUGACUCAAUCAAGUACUCGUAAUCCAAGUGGGAUUGCAGUUAUUAAAUUGAAAAUAUGACUUCACCCCUGGAACAUAUAUUUUUCAUCUAAAACCCGACAUAAUUGUUUUACUUGAUUAAAACCCAGUGAUUAGGAUCCCCAUAAGCAUAUUCCUUAAUGAGCUUGAAUUCAAAUAUUUUACAUGUUUCCAAUGGCUAAAUUAUCCCUAACAAUAUAUCAAGUUUUUUUUUUUUAACAAACAAUAUUUUUUACACUAAAGGAGGGGUGAACUUAGCCUCAUAAUGAGCUAGCAAUAAUGAGGUCUAAAUUUGCCUUUGGCGAAAAUUGAAGGUAAGACCUCUCUCUUUAACAAUUGUUCUUGCUUCUUAUUUUUUGUUUGAAAUUGAUUUAUUAUAUGCCACUAGGUAAAUUUGUGCUUGUAAAUAUAGAUAAAUUAGUGUAAAUAUAGGUAAAUUAGUGUAUUUCUUAUGUGAUGUCAUAAAAUAAUGUAUCUAUUCUUUUCUCACCCUUUAGUUGUAAUACUUCGUUGUAUGAAAAUAAUGUGCUUAUAUUGUGUCGGUAGGUAAUUAUUGCACAUGAAAAUGCAGGUAAAUAACUUAUAUAUACCAUAUAAGUAAAUUAGUGAAUCAACAAAUUCUAAAUGGGUACAUUAAUGAUAUAUAAAUAGACAAAACAUUAUGAAACUCAUUGAAGGCGCAAAACAAGGAGUAAAUCAUCCAUAUUGACAUGAUUGGAGAAUACUUGCAAUUUUGUAAAAUAAUUGCAGUAAUCGGUCAACUAUUUCUCUAGCUUGCAACUCAUAUUAAAUUUUGGGUUUUAUUUAGAGGUUAAGAAGUGCACGGGUAUAUUGAACUCCCGAAAAAAAAAAAAAAAAAAAAAAAACAAACAAACAGGUGAGUUUACGUUUAUGAAAUAAGAGUUACAAGUCUAUAAACAACCUUUAAACCAGAAGUUCCGCCGCCAUAGUUGUCGUACUGAACCUCGUGCAUGGUCUCAUUGGCCAUAGUCUCUCAGUUGUAAGUCCAACCAACAUUCCGAAGAGCCGCAGAAACUUGAAGCUCCUCCCUCCCGGAUUCUAAGAAAUACAGAGCUUAUGCUAGUACAGCAAUAGACCCAUUAGCCCAUAUCUAUUGGGGAACAAACUGAUACGAGUGAUUCAUAAUGAUGUUGACUGAUUAACCCUUGUCUAUUGUGGAACAAAUACACGUGAUUCAUAUUGAUUUAGACACUACACUGAGUAUAUGGUCCCCCCGCUAAAUGUACAGUACGUAUGUGGUCCAUAUGUCAAAAAGACGAUACAAUAAGUCCCCAUGUUAAAUGUACAGUACGUAUGUGGUCCAUAUUAGAUCUGACAUUUGUGUCCUGUUUUUCGUAUUCGUGUCAGUUUCAUGUCAUACCUGAUAUCUUAACGGAUCGUGUCGUGUAAUACCCGUUAAAAUAAACGGGUAAAAUAAUCCGACCCGAAAUCAACCCGAUAAUAUAAACAGGUAAUAUGACCCGACCUGUUACCUAUUAAGGAAAAUAUAUUUUAAACCAAUAAAUAAUCAAAUGAAAAACAUAAUACUCAAUAAGUAUAUACAUAUCUUAUUGUCACAUCCAAAACAUAAAAACGUAUUUUUCUUUUAAGUAUAUUUUCACUUACCUAAAGUCUUUAAUAGUUUUUUAAUUAAUGUAGAAGGGUAAAAAAAUAUAAAAAAUAUAUAUAAACGCUCAUAAUGACAAGCUUUACAACUUUCAUGAAUAGCUUAACUUUGAAAUUCGCCAUUAUAAUCAUAUAAAUCAUAGAUCAAAAUUUAACUGUUGAUUGUUGUUUACAUUUACGCUUCAUUGUUCUCAUCAAAAUUUUUUUUUCUUCAGAUUUUCUUUUUUGAAAACUUGAUCUAUUAGAGGAUGCAGAAAGAUAAACUGUUUGGAUCGUUGAUAUUAUAUUUAGAGUUUCACGGUUAGUGAAAAUAUUGCUUGAUGUUUAUAAAGUUUCUACAAACUAUAUGACAUCGACUCAUAUUUCAGUUAACCGUAAAUAUCAAAACGUGAUAUCAAAGAUCUGAAUCGUUCAUCUUCUUACAUCUGCCAGAUGAUCAUGUUUUCAAAAGAAGAUAAUUUUUAAAAUAAAAUUCAGUAAGAAGAAUAAAGUGUAAAUGACAAUCGACGGUUAAAUAUAAAUUGAAGGUUUAUAAAUUAUAGUGUUGGAUUUCGAAGCUGACCCCUUCAUGAAAGCUGUAAAGUUUGUCACUAUGAGUGAUUUUGUAUUUUUUUUAUACAUUUUUUACACUUCUACAAUAAUUAUUAUUAAUUUUAUUAAUUUUGUCCUCAAAUAAAAAAUAUUAUUCAUGAAGGUUUGGAAGAUUUUAAAAAUCUAAACGAUAAUGUAAGUGUAACCAUUAUCUACUCGUGGAGGAAUAAUGAUGACUUGCGAGUGUUUAUAUAUUUUUUCAUAUUUUUCAUACUUGUAUGUAUGUCUUCUUAGUUUUUGCCUAUACAAAUAAUAUAUUAGUUUAUUUUAAUUUUGGACAACAACAUGUUAAUUAAAAUUUAUCUUAGUAAUGAUAAUAAGGAACUCUCAUAAUAAAAAUAAAUAAUGACAAAAACUUUUUUUUUUAAACUUAUAUAAAAUAAUAAUACAAAACUUUAUAUUUAAUAUAGAAUAUAUUGUAUAUAUUAAUAUAGCUAUUGUAUUUUAUAAUAAAUCUUUUAGUAAUUAAACUUUAAAAUUAUCAAAAUAAAUUUUUUCCUAACGGGUCGAAACGGGUUACCCGCAUGUAUACCCGUUCAAAAUCCGUUAUUAACGGGUUCUUAACAGGUCACCCGAUAAGUUAUCGUGUUGACCCGAAAUCCGUUAUUUUUCGUGUCGUGUCACUGUUCCAUGUGAGAAAUUACCGGGUCUAGUCCAUAUGUUAAAUAGACAAUAGAAUAAGUCCCUAUGUUAAUUAGACUACACGUAUGUGGUCCAUAUGUUAAAUAUACCAUAAGCAGGGUUCUAAAAAACAUUAGGUGCUAGUCGGGCGGCGAGCUAGUGCCUAGCGCUUAGGCGGCCUAGGCGGAUUUAGGUAAAUUUCUUGUAUAUCUUGUAAAUAAGUGCAUAUUGACACUUACAAAAAAUUAUACUUGUAUGAAAUUCAUGGAUAAGAUAAUAAAAAAAUGAUAAAAUGCAAAAAGAGUAUCCAACAAGUUCAAAAUUUUAAAACACAUUAAGCAUAUAUGUCAUAUAACCAUAAUGAGGAGUAUUGUAGGAUGACACAUGUACGACAAGCUGACAAUUUAAAACCACAUAUUCAGCGGAUUUAAGUAAAUUUAUUAUAUAUCAUAUAAAUAAGUGUUUGUUCAUAUCUAAAAUAUACAUAAUUUCAUUUAAAAUUAUAAGAUAAUCAAAUUUAAACAUUAAAUAAUAUGUUCUUUUUUAAGCGAGAGCUUUAACAUUUUAAGUACAUAAUAAAAAUACAUAUGGUAUGAUCUUAAAAAAAUAAAAUAAAACAUUACAACAAAAAAAUAAAAAAAAGAAUGAAAAGUAAUAACGGGUUAAGAGUGGAAAAAGAAAAGGGCAUAAAAAGUAGUAAAAAAAUGGUGAGAACCAUUCAAAGAAAACGUGCAGUCUGUAAUGGAUGCUUUUCCUAGAUAAAAGAUGGUGGGGACCAUCUUGAUUGAAUCAUGCAAACUGAAUAAUGAUCCAUGUUUACAACCAGACAAAAACAGAAACAAUAUUAAAAACAAAAUAAAUAUGUUAUAGUCGUAAUAAAUAAAUUAGCCUUAUGCAGAAACCAAGAUAAAAAACAAAUAAACAAAUUAAACAGCACAGGAAACAAGGAGAAAAAAUAGAUAAACUAAUUAACUAGCACAGGAACCAAGGAGAAAGAAAAUAAAGUAAAGCAUCAUCUUCAUCUUCUUCGCGUUGAGUUGCACGACGGCUCUGCAACAAUUUUUUCAGAUUCUGGCGUGCUCUACGUAGGCCCUCCUAGCCUUCGCCCAACACCGUCCUGACCAGCAUAACUCCGCCUAGUCCCACCUAAUCCCGCUUAAGCGUCCGUCAAAUAUAUUUCCGAUUUUGUGUCCGAUUAGACCAUCUCCAACCCUUGGGCUAAAAGCCAAAUUUUUUAGCCCGGAAAAUUUAGCUUUUAGCCCAGAAACAUCUUUUCUGCUCCAACCCUUCUACUCUAAAAUUUUAGCCCGGAAUUAUUAAAGAAUGAAAUUAGCCUAAAUUUUUUUCUUAAAUCAAUUUUUAAAAAAAAAAUAAAUAUGUAGAUUAUUGUAAAUUAAUUUUAUGAACAUUUUAAUCUAAAAAAAUUUAAAUUCCGAUAAACAUUUCGCAUUUAGCCCGGGGGGAAUUUGGGGGGGAAUUUGGCCCAACUUUAGCAUUCCCCUUUUAGCCCAAUAUUUUAGCUUGGGUUGGGGGGUGUUUGGGGGGAAUUUUGGGCUAAAUAUUUGGCAUUUAGCCCAGGGUUGGAGUAGGUCUUAGAAGCUAAUCGCAGCAGCAACCGAACGCCCAGCGCCUAGGCGACCGCCUAGACCGACUUUUAGAACACUGACCAUAAUUGUAUGCAGUGGCGAAGCCAGGAUUUGCCGAGAAGAGAGGUGAAAUUUAAAAGAGUGCAAGAUUCAAUUGAAGCGGUUACUUUUAUAUUAGAGAGUGCAAAGUUUUGAGUCCAUAUUUAUAGCAGAAAAUAGUGUCUCCACCAAAGCGGUUGUAAGCAGUAAUAUCAAAGCCAAUGUAAUAAGCUUAAAUUGGCUAGGUUUAUAUUCUAAAAAAAAUACGCUAGUCAAGCAGCUAACUGGAACCUAGUAGCUAGGCGCCUAGGAGAGAUCUAGGUAGGAGCCUAGUGGGAUUUAAAUGAAUUUCUUUUAUCGUAAAAUAAGCAUUAUGUUGUAAGCCUAUUUGAUUGAACGAUCUAGGGUUUAGAGAGAGAGAAGGGGCCGACUAUGGUUAGAGAGAAGAGAGUGAUUUAAUUGUGAGGUGUGUUUGAUUCACCCUAUUGUGUCUUUAUUUAUAGUAGUAGGAUAGGUAAAAACCUUUCCCUUUAGGAUCACAACAUUUAAUAGGUAAUCAACUCCUAAUAGGAAUAGAAGAUACAUUCCCAGAUUCCCUAGGAUUUAUACAAUCACAUUCCUAUUCUAAAUAUGACUGCAACACUCCCCCUUGAGUGUGUAAAUACUCAACAAACCAUCGCAUCAGAUCUUCAGCAGAUAAGGUAGAAUAGUUGAUGAAGUCAUCGGCACAACGGAUGAUUGCGAGUCUCAAAUUUAAGUGAAGUAUGCAUUUGUAGUAAAACUCACAAAAAUAUCGUUAUGGUAAAACCCAAGUCAUGGGGAAAACCCAUGGACUAAGGAGAAAAGUGAGAAGUAUGUAUAAUGUCUUUAAACAAACGUCAAAUUGGACGAAGGUAGUGAACUCAAUGGAGUAUGAUCAUCCCAAGAUGAGUGUCUCAUUAAAACCUCGUUAGGUAGCAAAAACCCAGUGGAAAAUGCUCUUAAUCGUAGGAAAAAGAGUACAUUAAGAUCAUGUGAGUAUGUUUCUAGAUAUUCCCCCUGAGUUAGACAUAACUUCUAAAUAAGAGAACUACAAGCGACUCAACUCAGAUAAUUUAAGCAUUUUGAUUCCUUGGACGAGCUUCUGAAAAGUAGACUUGGGCAAUAACUUGGUGAAGAGAUCAGCCAGGUUGUCCUGGGAACGGAUUUGCUUGACCUCAAUGUUCUGAUGCUACUACUGUUGGUGUGAGUAAAAGAACUUCGGGUUAUGUGCUUGGUUUUGUCUCCCUUGAUGUAUCCCUUCUUCAACUGCUUGAUACAUGUCGCAUUGUCUUCAAAUAUCGUCGUAAGAAGGUCAACGACUGAUGUAAGACCACUAAUGCUUCAAAUAUGUCCUAUAAGAUAUAGCGGUGUCUCUAAAGGUAAAGACAUAUCCUGUUUGAGAACGUGCCAUGUGUGGGUCAAACAGAUAUCCAGCAUCUGCGUAACCAACAAGGCGAGAAUCAAUCCGAGAACCAUAAGGGGCGGUAACACUCGAAGAUUCGUAGGUAUAGAACAAGCCCAAAUCCGUUGUACUUUUGAGGUAGCGAAAAAUGUCUUUAACAUCAUUCCAGUAACUGCAUGUGGGCGCAUUGCUGUAUCUUGCCAAAAUGUUCACAGCAAAUGAGAUGUCGGGUCUAAUGCACUGAGCCAAGUACAAUAAAGCCCCAAUUGCACUUAGGUAAGGAACUUUGGGUUCCAAAAUCUCUUCCUCAUCCCCUUUUGGAUGGAAGGAAUCUCGUUUAGCAUCUAGAGUCCGAACGACCAUGAGUGUACUCGAAGGUUUCGCUUUAUCCUCAUUAAAAGGAUGUAACACCUUUUGGGUGUAGUUCAAUUAAUGUACUAGGAUUCCAUGCAAACAAUGCUCGAUCUCCAGGCCAAGACAGUAUCGAGUUUUACCAAGAUCCUUCAUCUCAAAUUCCGAUUUCAAAUGCGCAUCAAUUUCCUCAUGCUUUACGGGACUCCCAAUGAGGUUCAUGUUAUCGACAUAAACUGCAACGAUUGCAAAUAAGGAAUGUGACCUCUUUAUGAACACGCAUGGGCAUAAUUCGUUGUUCACAUAACCCUGAUUUGUUAAAUAUUCACUCAGACGGUUAUACCACAUUCGCCCGGAUUGUUUCAAUUCGUAGAGUGACCUCCUCAACCUAAUAGAGAAAGUGUUCCAUGGUCUAGAACUAUUUGAACUAGUCAAUGGAAGUCCUUCUGGAACUUUCAUGUAAAUUUAUGUAUCUAGAUCCCCAUAGAGAUAAGCGGUUACCACGUCCAUAAGCUGCAUAUUCAGUUUUUUGAAAACUAUCAAACUGAUUAGGUAAUAGAAUAUUAUAAUGUCCAUUGCGGGGGAAUUCGUCUCCUUGUAAUCAAUCCCACGGCGCUGAGAAAAACAUUGUGCUACGAGGCGUGCUUUGUAUCACACUAUUUCAUUAUUCUCAUUAUGCUUCCUCACAAAAACCCACUUGUAGCCAACGGGCUUCAAGCGUGGUGGUGUAGGAACGAUAGGUCCAAAUACCUUACGUUUCAUGAACGAAUCGAGUUCAACCUAGAUUGCUUGUUUCCAGUUUGACCAAUCAGUUCUACGUCGGCAUUCAUCCAUCAAAGAAACGUGGUUCAAUGUCAUCGGUAAGCAUGAUAUCAGUAGCUACUGAAUACGCGAAUGCAUCAUCGACAAUCAUCUUAUUCAUAUUCCAAACCUUAUCCAAUAUUACGUAAUGGACCAAAAUCUUGUGAUUCUCGAGAGGCUGGCAUGUUUCAUCUAAAGCAUCACCAUAAUCUAGAAUAACCUAAUGCGUUGGAACAGAUGAGUGAGUGAUGGUCGGAUUCAACCUCUAGGGGUAAACACCUUAAAAAAAACAUGUCUAAUUUAUUCAUCCAUAAGCGUUGACGCCUCCUGAAAAUUUGAUAUCUCCAUUGAUGUAGUUGCAUCUUCCGGAUGAUCCACAUGUGCAAAGUUAGAUUAAUGACAGGAAUGAUACUUGGCAAUAGCCUCAGGGGAAGCUCGACAUAAGCAUGACCAAUGAUCCCUUGAUCCACAACGAUAACACAUGUCCAGUUCAGUAAAAGCAGACUGAACGGGAGCUUUGCCCUUAUUCUUGAAGUUUAAGGCUUUAGGGGAGAGUGGUGGACGCUGAUGGGUCACAUUUUUUUCCCUUAGGUGUGACACUCUAUUGACAUUGGGCUCGUGGUUGGGCUUGCUGCUCGUUGCCACGGCUACGACGAUUCUUUCAUCGUUUAUGGCUCCUAAAAUAGGUCGCAUGCGCUUCAGCCUAGGCGUUCGAGCCAGUGGGGUCAAGCUUGAUGAUUCUUCAUCAAAAGCUGGUUCUGCUUUCAGCAAGAAGGAAUACAGAGAUGAAAUCCGAAAACUUGGUGAAUUUAUGUGCCUUAUAUUGUUGCUGCAGGACAAUAUUGGUGGCAUGGAAAGUGGAAUAAGUCUUCUCCAGGAGAUCAGAUUCGUGAAAACUACAGAAGGAAAAACGUGAGUAGUCAUAUGGUAAGCCAUAAACAUAUAUCGUAAAACAUACAGGUUCUGUAGGCAUGUAUUGGUUUAAUUGAUGCAUGAAAACUACAGGUUUCAUGUGGUAUGUUUUGAAUGAAAACUUCGGAUUUCAAAGGCACUAAAUUUGAAACUACAAGUUCAAUUUAGUUUUAUGAACAAUUAGUUCAUAAUGAGAGGUUCCUGCAAGAAACACAUAAUGCAAUAUACUAAUUUGAAUAUAGUGGAUUUGAGGUUCUUCGGGAACUCAAGUAUGAGAGCUUCGUUACUACGAAAGUAUGUGAUGGUUCAAAGUAUAAAAAUAAAUUAUUAAAUCGUUAAUGCCCAAAAGUGAUCUUCAGGUUAAUAAUUUUGGAUUCAUUAUUAGAUUAAUGGACUGCAUGACUCAAUCAAGUACUCGUAAUCCAAGUGGGAUUGCAGUUAUUAAAUUGAAAAUAUGACUUCACCCCUGGAACAUAGAUUUUUCAUCUAAAACCCGACAUAAUUGUUUUACUUGAUUAAAACCCAGUGAUUAGGAUCCCCAUAAGCAUAUUCCCUAAUUAAGCUUGAAUUCAAAUAUUUUACAUGUUUUCAAUGGCUAAAUUAUCCCUAAUAACAAUUGGAUUUAGACAUUUCUUUUCCUAUUCUAUAUCAUUUUUUUUAACAAACAAUAUUUUCUACACUAAAGGAGGGGUGAACUUAGCCUCAUAAUGAGCUAGCAAUAAUGAGGUCCAAAUUUGCCUUUGGCGAAAAUUGAAGCUAAGACCUCUCUCUUUCACAAUUGUUCUUUUUUCUUAUUUUUUUUUGUUUGAAAUUGAUUUAUUAUAUGCAACAAGGUAAAUUUGUGCUUGUAAAUAUAGAUAAAUUAGUGUAAAUAUAGGUAAAUUAGUGUAUUUAUUAUGUGAUGUCAUAAAAUAAUGUAUCUAUUAUUUUCUCACCCUUUGGUUGUAAUAUUUCGUUGUAUGAGAAGAAUGUACUUAUAUCUUGUUGGUAGGUAAAUUAUUACACAUGAAAAUGCAUGUAAAUAACUUAUAUAUACUGUAAACAUGGAAAUUCUUGAAACAAACGAAACAAGAACACAUGUACAAAAUAAUAUUUUGUAUUAAUGAUUUUUGAGGUUACAAUCUCUCUCAAAUUUAAUCCUCUGAUUCGAUCUCCAUGAGGUGUUGAUUUGUGGAUGUGCGAUUGAUCCAAGGGCCAUUGAGGCUUGAACUUGGAUGAACGGUUGGAAAUUUCUUCAAGGGGCUUUAGGCCUAAUCUUGAGGGUUGAUGGAUGAACGGAUCUUCAAGGCUUUUGAGCUUGAUCUUGAAGAACUGUUGAUGAACGGAUCUUCAAGGGCUUUUGGGCUUGAUCUUGAAGAACGGUUGGAUGUGUGGAUUUAUUGAUGUUGUUGAUCCAAAAGGUCGUUGGGGCUUGAUCUUAGGAUGAAUGGAUUUAGUCACACGCUACGUGUAAAAUUUAUGUGACACUUGAGCAUUGAAAUUGUAAUUGUUGGUCAACAUUUAUUUCACCGAAAUUUCAAUGUCUACAAAUGCCCCCACUUCAAGGCGCGUCGUAUACAUGUGCUUGUCACGUGUAGGAGAUGCAUUUUAAAGUCCCUUAAUGUAAAUGUCGAUCCAAUGGCCAUCGAUGCUUGAUCUUGAAUUGGGCUGGAGAUUUCUUCAAGGGUCGUUGAGGCUUGUUCUUGAACUUUGUUUGAAAUUUCUUCAAAGGCCGUCGAGGCUUGAUCUUGAAUUAAAUUGGACCACAAGGAGCUUCAUGUGGUAGAUGAUCUUUGGCUUUGGUAGUGGAUGAAUCGGUACGUAUUUUCUUGCGCUUGUUGACUUUCCACAACUUUGAUCUUGAACUGGGUUGGAGGAUUUUCUGGUUUCCUCCAAUUAUUGACUUUCCACUGGCUUAUUCUUGAACUGGGUUGAGGGGUUUCUUCUGCUAGACUUACCCCAAAAUGUCUGGAUUUACUCCUUUUAUCUGGAGCUGAAUUUGGUUCAAGGAUGGUGGACACUUAAUCUUGAAUCGGACGUGAUUUCUUCAAGUUGGUGACUUAAUCUUUAAGGAUUUGAUUCAAGGGUGGUGAAUCGGCACGUGCAGCUCACAACGCCUAGCGAGUAGACUCAAGAAUUUGAGGGUCAAAACAAGUCCGCCAAAUCUAGAGUACUUGCAACCCUGACGAUAUGAGAUAUUUUUUGCUUUUGAAGAAGUAGCAGGUGAAUCGGCACAUGUUUGCUGUGCUUGUCUCCACAUGCUUCAAUGUAGCAUUUUCACUUACCUUAUCUGUUCUUCAGGCAGAUUUGGUAUCUUCUGCUAGACUUGUCUAUUUCCCCGGCGGAGCAAUGCUAGGUAAGCAAUCAGGAAAGGGUUCCAGGUAGUCGGUUCCUGACUAGGAGUUUGACUUCAAGUUCCGACUGAUUGCUCUCUUUCUUCUUGUCCUGUAGGUAAGAACAAGGACAAAGAAAAUGACAGGGAGAAAGCAUGAUAUGAGAUACUCUUGUUUUCGAAGAAGUGGUGGCGAUUUGACAGCAUUGCAUAGUGAGGCUUUGUUCUUCGGGGAUGGUGCCAGCGAAAGGCUAUUGAAGCUUUUCGAGCUCUUUGAUUAGGGCAACGAUGCCAAGCUUAGCUUUGAUUUAGACUCAUCCAUCUGGGUUAUGCGGUUCUGCAGGGAAGGGCGUCGUGCUAUAGUGAUCUGUUCUGGCUCAUCAUUGAUCCUUCUGCUUCAAUCUCUUGCAGUAUUUGCCCCCGAUGCAGGAGUGGAAUGCAAUCUUUGCAUUUAAAUGGCCUUUCAGAGCACUACUUCUUAGCGGCGAUGAGCACUCAAGAGCACUGCCAGGUAAGCAACCAGGCAAAGGUUCCGGGCAAUCAAUUCCAGAUCAGAAGUUUGAUUUCAAGUUCCGACUGAUUGCUUUCUUUCUCCUUGUCUUGCAGGUAAGAGCAAAGGUAAAGGAAAAGACGAGGAAAAAGCAUGAUAUGAGAUACUCUUGCUUUCUAACCUGAUGAUAUGAGAUACUUUUGUUUUGAUGUCAUUUGUUUGCAAGGGUAUUCCUGGAGAGGAAGAAAACUGAGUAUUUCAAGAGGCUAUACUAGGAGUGUACUCUCGGAGGUGAGGAAGAGUUGGGCAUUUUUUGUAGGUCUGCCUUGCUAUGGAGGACGAAGGUCGACAUAUAUAGGAAUUUUCCAACAGCCAGUAGUGGCACUAUUUCUUUACUCUUGUCGGCAACUGUUAGGUAAUUGAAACAGUAAGAUUCACGCGUUUUCGACUUUGUCAGAAAUCUUUGACAAAGUUGUCCGUGCUUUCUGCAAAGUUGAAAGGGUGGCGACAAACUUUGAUCCGGAAAAUCCAAUUUUUUUUUUAAUUCACAUAGCAGUGCCUCUUCGAUCUGUGAACCGGUGGCCUUGUUGCCUUUUUUAUUUCUGAACAAAAGGCCCGACUUUUGAAAUUCAGGGAGAGGUGCCUUUUUGGUUUCUGAACGGUCACGUUGCCUCUUCGAUUUCUGAACAGGCCUUGUUGCCUCUUCUUUUUUAUAGAGGCAUGAAUUCUGUUCAAAACACACUUAGAGAGUUGUCGCAUGUAGGAAUUUUUUUUUUUUAAUAUUUCUGAGAAUUCGAUUUACCCGACCUCUUCUUCCUUUAUCAUUUUUUUUACAAAUGGCUUGCCUAUCUGAUCGUCUUCUUGAUUUGAAUGUUGGGGAAGAUGUUGAUAUGUCUUCUCCAUACAACAUAUGGCACCCAUCCUUCUUAUCCCUCACCGGUUCUCUUACGGUUAGGGACUCUGUGAUGAAGAAUGACAUCACUGCUAUGGUGGUUGCUAGAAAUCUUCUCACCCCCAAGGAUAGCAGGAUCAUUUCCAAACGGUCUGAUGAGAUGGUUGUUCAGGACUCUCUGGCUUUCAGUGUUCAGUGUGCGGGCUCCGUAUCAAAUAUGGGCCAACGCCUUCUUGCUCGAACUCGUCAAGUCGAGUCACUAAUGGCUGAGGUGGCGAGUCUUAAGCAAGAGAUUAGAGGGCUUUAGCGUGAAAACAGAGUUGCACAUACUUGCCAAUAGUUACUCGACGAGCAUGAAGAGAAAGCUUGACCAGCUGCAGGAAUUCGAAAGUCGGAUUCAGAGUGACCAUCAUAUGGUUGUGGCUUUACUCCAGAGACACAUAUUGCAUUUGUCCUCUGGCGUUUUACCGAGUGUUGAGGCUCCAAACAAUCAACCUCCGGCGUCUCUUCUUCCCUGAGUUUCGCCGAGUGAUGAGGUGCCACCUGAGCAACCUUCUUGAAAUCAAUAAAUGAGGCUUUUUUCACUCAAUGGAUUUUUUUUAUUUUUUCUUUUCUUUUCUUUCGCAUGGUGCUGAUCCACCAUUCAAUUUUUUAUAUAUUUCUUUCUUUUCUUUCCUUCACGCGGUAAGGCACCAUUCCAAAACUUUUUUUCUUUCUUUCAUAUGGUGCAAUUCGCACCAUCCCACCUCCCUACUUUCUUUUGCUUUUUUUUUGUUUUUUUGUAUUUUUUAUCCUUCUUUUCAAAGUGGGCUGAUGGUGAUGAUCCUUUACAAUUUUUUAUUAGUAUUUUUUUUAUUUUUUUUCACAUGGUGCUGUGCACCAUCCAAACUUUUAUACUUUUUUUUUGUCGGCCAUAUAUAUAUAUAUUUUUUCUUUCUUUUAACGUGGUGGCACCACUUUGCUCCACCAUCCCAUUUUUUAUUAUUUUUUGGGUAAAUUACAUAGUAGCCCCUUAGGUUUGAGAUCUAUUACAAUCUCAUACAACAUCUUUAAAACAUUUCACUUUCAUGCCUCAAGUACUAUUUUAUUUCAAAAUAAUACCUCUGUUACAUUUUACAUCCAUUGAUCCGUUAAAUGCUGACGUGGCUGUCAAAUAUGUGCCACAUGGCUGCCAAAUGUAUGCCACGUGGCAAAAAUAAUAAUUUUUUAUUUUUUAUUUUUGAAAAAUCUUAAUCUUCUUAUAAAAAAUAUAAAAAAUAAUAAAAUAAUAAAAAAUAAAUAAAAAAAACCAAAACUUAGAAAACACAGAACCACCCCCGCAACCUCUCCCUACCCCUCUUUUCCCUCCCAACCACCUCCCUCUCCUCCACUCUCUUCACCUCCCCUCCCAUCCAAAAACCCACCCCACUCCCUUUCUCCCUUCUCUCAUAUGUAACCUCACCCACAACAUUCCAACAUAUUCAAAUCAUGAAAUUAAACAACAAUUUUCUCAAUUCAUACACAGAAAUCCAAGAGUUUAACCUUAAGGGACAGCAACCACCAUUCCUUGAAGCUCUGGAGUGAGGACGACCUGCCAUCCCAGCCUUGAGAACCCUAGCCCUAGAGUUCCUCUUCAGCACGUACUCCUUGUCGUAGGACCGCAGAGGGAGGUGGCUCGACGAAGGGAGCUUGUCGCCGGGGGCAAGGUUCGUGAGAGCUUGUCGUUGCCGGAGCUUAUCGUCGCAGGGGGGGAGGGUAGUCACGCAAGCUUGUAGCCGCAGCCGGGGGGGCGGAGGGGGCUUCAGGAAGAGCCUCUGCGAGGUGGGGUGAGGUGGGUCGUCUGGAGAGGGGGUGUUUAAGUUUAUGGGUUUUUGUGUAUGGGUAUGGAGGGAAGGGAAGAGGGGUUCAGCUUUUGCUUUUGUUUUUUUUAAGAAGAUUCAAAAUUUUCAAACAAAAAUUAUUAUUUUUGCCACGUGGCAUACAUUUGGAAGCCACGUGACACACAUUUGGCAGCCACGUCAGCACUUAACGGAUCAAUGGAUGAAAAAUGUAACAGAUGUAUUAUUUUGAAAUAAAAUAGUACUUAAGGUAUGAAAGUGAAAUGUUUUAAAGAUGUUGUAUGGAGUUGUAAUAGACCUCAAACCUGAGGGGCUACCAUGUAAUUUACCCUUUUUUUUGUAUAAAUUUUGAUGAUGGGCUGGGGAAUUUGCAAGGAAGGACGAAGACGGAAGGAGAGCUAGAGUCAAGAUUAGUGGUAGUGCAAAGCGUCGAGCUUCACGACCAGCUAGUCAUUUGACGGUGGUCGUUGAAGUUCUUCGCCGACUUUGAUCAUGGCGACCAAAGUGACGAGCUUGAGGUAGUGCAAAGCGUCGAGCUUCAUGACCGGCUAGUCGUUUGACGGUGGUUACUGAAGUUCUUCGUCGAUUUUGUUCAUGGUGGCCAGAGUGAAGAUGACUCACAGGUUUAGAUGCAGGAGCAUGGAGAGCACAGACGAAAGUGCGUUGAGGGCCGAAGAAGAAUGCGAGGAGACUGAGGAAGAAGCCCUUCCUCUUGUUCUGCCAUGGAAGAUGAACCUCUUCGAAAUCUGAAGCUCUACUACUACCACAACUGAGCACAACCAACAGACUCCGCCACGUCAAUUCCCUGGGCUCCCCCAAAGACACCUUUGCUUCAUGCUAAUCGUUGGAUAAGUGACAGCCGCAACUCUACCUCUCUACCCAGCGAGAGCCCCACCACAAGGUCACACGCCACCGAGAAUCUCUGCCCAACUAGCCGCUGCCAUGCUGCUGUCUGUGUCUUUCUUCUCUCAGCAACUAAUGUAUUGCCAGCCAUCUCGUUGUUUCCUCUGUGAGCCUCAUCAACGCCUACCGAGCCCUUGCCGAUGAUGCACGUCAUUCCUUUGAUCGCUUCAACGUAUUCAGCAACUCGACUGAGUCGCACAAGCCCAAACAACUCAACCUCUCAUCGAACUUGUUGACUUGGACUAUAGUUUCAGUCAUCGCACAAAUCUAGUCUGAAAGAGGCCGAGCUCAAGGUGUGGAGGGUCUGGAGCUUGACGCAGUGGACGUGGGAGGGCGGUGUGGAGAAGUUGAGAUAAUAUGAUCUCAGACACACUGAUAGAGAAGACUUGGAAAAACUUUGAUUUAUUGUACAACCGAAGGGCAGACGAGCCCCGUUGACUUGACUUCAAGUCUCCUCCGUCUGUGAGUCUUCAAGCUGAGAGUUUCGACCUAAACCACUAAGACCGCUUCCAUUAUAAUUGCCUUCGUAAAAAAAAUACAAAGUUCAUGGCCACCAACCAAGCAUCUUCACUCUGUGAGGCUGAUAUGUACACCCCAUGUGCAAUCUGUCACAUAUGUGUUACUUCUGCAUCAACUUCAACAUCAUAUGCGAAUAAUUUCCCAUCACUUGGGCAGCUGAGGAAGAGAAGUGGAGAGCUUGGAGGUUCAGCCCUGUAAAGAUGCAAAGUCCAGAAUGGAGCAACCCAGCCGAACCGACUCGAUUCUGGCAGGAGAUUUUGGAAAGGGAUCUUGAUGGUGAGAAGGGGGCCAAGAAUGAGUCUCGGUCUGCAAGACACUUCUCCAAAACAUUUCUCCAUAAAUGAACCCCAUUCUCAUCUUCGUACACAUCACAGAGGUUAAUCGUAUUCGAGCGCUGCGAUAGAUUCUCAACAAUCUUCCUCAUCACCAGGAUUUCAUUUGUGAGCAGCACACUUGAUAUGGACACUUGUUUUCGGGUUUGGAAAACGGCAACAGCAAAGUUAUUCUGGUCUCCUCUUUCUUGAUCUCUCGGCAGCAUCCCUGUUUCUCAACUGCCUUCUCGUUUUCUUGGAGAUAGGAUUGUCGUCAAGAAUUUCACUAAGAUGGCGUGGCUUGAUCCCAAGUAGUAUGCGAAUGAAGCUUGGGGUGUUGGGAGGAGGUACAUCCAUGGCUGGGUGUCGAUAGUGGUAGUGCUCGCAGCUCUUAGAUCUGAUGAAUAGCAACCGAAGUUGGCUUGUGCGUCGAGGCCGAAGGCAAUGAAUGCGAGGUUGGUGAGGAAGGACACGGGUCCAGCGGUUGCUGGAAUUGGGUUGCGCCGGCGCUGAAGAGCACGGAGGAAGCAGAGCGGCAAAACGAUGGUGGUGAAGGGCAGCUUUCGCGGAGGAUCUAGAACCAGGCGUCGUCUAACCGCCCGCGUGAUCGUACAUGUAAGACAUGAAGCUUAGAAUCACAGUGAAAGCGUCCUCCAUCUCUCGCCUUCUCAGCCAGGUUGACGAUCUUCGAAACCGUCGAUUCGCUCGGUUUCACAUCCUCCGAAGCCAUUUCAGCAGAAAGAGUGAGACUUGGGCCUCUUCAUGGGCCUAUUGGGUAUGGGAUCCGAUGGAGGUCAGGAGGGUAUGGCUUGGGCCUGGAUUUGGGCUGCUCAUUUCUGUGGACUUCAACUUGUGUUUCUUUGAUUUGGCACGGGUCUUAAGUGUAAGAAGACCCACUUUAACAUGUAUACAUUUUUUUUAAAUUUUUUUUACUACAAAGAAUAUUGUUUUUUUUUAUUUGUAAUAAAAUUGACUCUCAAUAGUCAAACAUUUAAUAAAACCUUAUUUUUUAUUUUGACGUGACUGUACUCGAAGUUGAUCGUUCGAGUUGCUUACGUACCCUUCCAAAGAAGAGAUCAAGUCAUAAUGUAGUUCAAAUACAUAUUUUUUUCGAUUUGUUUUAGUCCCGUACGUAGUUUAUGCUCUUGCGGGCUAGGAGCAUGGUCCGUUUGUUUUAGGGGUAGUAGCGCUUCAAGAAUCUGCCAUUGAUGGGGCCGAUAUUCAAGCUGUCUUCUGCCAUGAUUAAGUAGGCGCCAUUGGUGUAGACUUUUUCUAUUACGCCAGGUCCAUCCCACUUUGAUGUGAACUUGCUUUUUGUUUUGUGAGUUAUGAUGAUAAGUCUACGCAAUGUAAGAACGAGAUCUCCCACUUGAAAAGAACGAGGGCGAACUUUCUUGUUGAAAGCCUUGGAGAGUCGUGCUUUAUAACACUCCAAGUGCUGCUGAGCUUCAAGCCUUUUCUCAUCCAGUGCUUCCAGCUGUUGAAGAUGCAACUUUGUGUUUUCUUCAUCAGUCAAGCCUUCUUGUAUAGCCAUCCUUAGUGAGGGGAUUUGGCUUUCGAGUGGCAGAACAGCUUACACGCCGUACACGAGAGAAUAAUGCGUAGCUUGGGUAAGAGUCUUAUGUGUCGUCCUAUAUGCCCAAAGUGCUUCGCUUAUUCUUUCUUGCCAGUUUCUCUUUAUUCGGCCGAUCACCUUCUUUAGGAAGCUGCACAAUGUUUUGUUGAAUGCUUCUGCAAGACCGUUGGCCGGAGUAUGAUACAUGGAAGACUUGUGUAGUUUGAACUUGUAUUUCUCACAGAGCUCGUCCAUGAGUCGGUUGGAGAAUCGUUUUCCAUUGUCAGUGAUGAUGUAGCGAGGCACACCAUAUCGGUGGAUGAUAUGUUCCUUGAUGAAACAGACAACAGCUUCCUUCUUGACUUCCCUUAGGGGUAUGGCUUCAGCCCACUUGGAGAAGUAAUCUGUUGCAGCUAUGAUGUAAGCUUCUUCUGUAGAUGACUUUGGUGCAAUCGGCCCUACGACAUCCAAUCCCUAUGCAUUGAAUGGCCAUGAAACAACUGUAGGGUGUAAUGGUUCAGGUGGUUGAUGUAUGAAGUUGGCAUGGAAUUGGCAGGCUUAGCACCUUUUGGCGUGUUCCAGACAAUCUUUCACCAUGCUUGGCCAGUAGUAACCCAUUAUUUUGAGCUGAAAAUGUAGCUUUGGUCUAGACUGAUGCACCCCGCAUACGCCUGAGUGUGCUUCUUCCAUGGCUUGAUUGGCUUCUUCCUCACCUAGGCAUCUCAGAAGUACUCAUUCAAAAGAGCAUCGGUGGAGUGUUCCUUUGUAGUAAAGAAAGCAAGGUGUUUGUCGAUGUAUUUCGGAGUGAUGUCUAGGAUCAUUUGGAAGCUUUCCAUGCUCCAGGUAGUAGAUUAGCGGUUGUCUCGACUCUUCAGCAUCGACUGGAAGUAUUGAGAUGACAUUUGUAUCAUCCAGUAGCAUUUCAGUGACGAACGGGAUCACCCAUCUUUGGCAAACUGGCACGUCUGCAGCUUCAUCUUCCCCCUAGUGUCAUAUUUGAGGCUAGGUUGGCGAGAGCGUCUGCCAUUUGUUUUUCUUUUCUUGGCAUAUGUUCCAGUGUCACAGUCUUGAACUUUUGUAGCAGUUGAGUUGCCAGCCGGAAGUAUGGGACGAGAUCGUCUUUCCUCACCUCAUAUUCAGUUAAGAGUUGAUUGAUUAUAAGCUUGGAGUCACCAAAUACCUCAAGGGCUGUGAUUCCCAUGUUGAUCGCCAUUUGGAGUCUGAUGAUCAGUGCUUGGUACUCAGCGACGUUGUUGGAGCAUAGUUCGCUUAGUUGGAAGGAAUAAAGUAGUAUUUGCCUUUGUGGCGACAUGAAUACUACUCAUGCCCCUGCUCCGUUUGCUCAUGCAGAUCCGUCGAAGAACAUCGUCCAUGUCGGGAAGAUGUCAAUGUAGAACACCUCCUCAUCAAGCAAGUCAUCUGAGAUUUUCCAAUCAGCUAGGAUUGGAUGAUCGGCAAGGAAGUCUGCUAGUGCUUGUCCCUUGACGGCUUUAGUUGGUACGUAGAUGAUCUCUUAUUGAUUAAGAAGCAACGCCCAUUUAGCUAGUCGCCCUGUUAAGACUGGUUUGGACAUGACGUAUUUGACCGGAUCAGCUUUAGUAACUAGGUGGAUGGUGUAAGCAUGCAUGUAAUGCCUGAGCUUCUGAAUAGCAAACAUCAAGGCGAGGCACAUCUUUUCUAUUGGGGAGUAGUUCAACUCAGCGCCGGUGAAAGUUCGGCUAAGGUAGUAGAGUGCUCAUUCUUUCUGGGAUUCAUUCUCUUGUGCCAAGAGUGCUCUAACUGAACUUUCCUGAGCGGCGAUGUACAAUAUGAGCAGUUUCCCGGGCACAUACGCCCCCAUGACAGGUGGACUUGAUAAAUAUUUUUUUAUUCUUUCAAAAGCAUUGUGGCAUGCUUCGUCCCAUACGAACGGAACAUCCUUCUUCAUGAGUCGACUGAACGGUUGAUAACGCCCUGCAAGGUUGGAGAUGAAAUGUUUGAUGAAGGCUAGUCGUCCUUGUAGAUUUUUCAGCUCGUGCAGGUUUCUUGGUUCAGGCAUGCUUUGAAUGGCCUUGAUUUUUUAUUGGUCCACUUCAAUGCCACAGUGCUUGACAAUGAAGCCGAGGAACUUUUUAGAGGUGAUGCCAAAUGCGCACUUUAACAGGUUCAUCUUAAGGGUGUAUUUUCGCAACCUUUCAAACACUAUUCAUAAAUCCUUCAGGUGAUCUGAUCUUUUCUUUGUCUUGACAACCGCAUCAUCUACGUAACAUUCUACAUUUUUGUGUAGCAUGUCAUUGAAGAUUUUCUGCAUUGCGCGUUGAUAUGUGGCUCCAGCGUUUUUCAGACCAAAGGGCAUCACCUUGUAGCAGUAGAUACCUUUUGGAGUGCGGAAGGCUGUUAGUUCCUCAUCUUCGAGAGCCAUGUGAAUUUGAUUGUAUCCAGAAGAGCCGUCCAUGAAUGACAGUGCUUCAUAGCCAGUGGUUGCAUCUACCAUGAUUUUGAUGAUUGGCAAGGGGAAGUCGUCAUUCGGGCAAGCAUCGUUGAGGUCCCGGAAGUCUAUGCAAACACGUAUUUGUCCAGAUUUCUUAAGGACGAUGAUGAUGUUGGAGAUCCACCUGGGGUAUUGCACCUCUCGAAUGAAGCCUGCUUCAAUUAGCUUGUCAAUCUCAGCCUCAAUUUGUAGGAUGAGCUCCGAUCGAUAUCGCCUUUGAGUUUGCUUUAUCGGUCAUGUUCCAGGCUUGACUGCAAGAUGAUGCACAACGAUGACAGGGUCAAGGCCGGGCAUUUCCUUGUAGGUCCAAGCAAAGACGUCUUUGUACUCUAGUAGCAAUUGGUAAUACUCUUCUGUCUCAUCCGCACUUAGCAGCGCACUUACAAAGAUAGGCUUCAACUCUUUUUUUGUGCCUAAGUUAAGCUCUUUGAGAUCAUCAAUCGUGGCUUGCCCCCCAUCCUCAAGUUGUGGUGGUGCGGCAGUGAAGUCUUCCUCGGGGAUUUCUUCUUCUUUGCCUUCUUGGAUCGUGAUGUGGAAGACGUCUUGGACUUCCUCUUCAGUUCCGUCCUUUCGGGCUUGUUGACGUGAAGAUUGGCCGGUGUGAAUGAUGGUGCGCCUUCUCACUUUCAGUGAUCCAAUUGUGUCAACCUACAAGAUUGCUUGGCGUUUCAUCCUUGAAGGAAUAGAGCUUCGAACAUCAUCUUUUCUUGCCAAACUGUCGAGCUUUUCUUCCUUUGGCGUCAUUUCCCUCUUUCUAGAAGGCUUCUUGUUGUCUUCAAGUCUUUCCAAAGCUAACCAUCGCGGAGGAGAGCUAGCCAUGUUGCUGCGUUGCUUGGGUUUUAAUAACCUUUCAAAAACAGAGCUUUGGGAUGUUGGUGUGUUAAGCCUCUUGAAAACGGAGGUUUGGUCUUGACCACCAAUGCAAUCAAGUGCCGAAAUUCUAGGCCUUGAACGAUUCAUCCUAUCGAAGACUGACAUCAGAGGAGCGGACUUAGGCUCCUCUUGAUUUUGUUCAACGCUCAUGCUGAUGUGUUAAGUGCUAGCAUUUUUCGCUUUGCUUGAAAUCUUCACGGGUGCAUUUAGUGUGAAGUCAAGCCCAGCUUUGUUGUUGUCAACUUCGUAACCAUGCUCCUUCAACUUCUUUUGAGUCUUGGUGAGGUUAUAUUCUUUGUCGUUGAAGGUGUUUGAAACCCUCUUUCCAGGAUUCGAAAAGGAAGCGAAGUCGUACUGAGUUUUCGACAUGAGCUUGUAGGCGUUUGGAUCAAAACCUUCUUCGGUCCUCUUGGUUGGAAGAAAGCUUGGUUCCACCCCAUUUGGCAGAGCUUUUAUGAAGCCUUGUGGUAGUCUUGCAACCUUAGCAUCGCGUAGCUGUGUCAGAGGCAAAACUGCAUCCGUCUUGAGCAACUUUAAAUUAUCCUUGUGUCGUUGUGCAUCGAAUUUGCUUGCUCCAGUUUCGAACGGGGAUUGACCAUUCUUUCUUCUCGACAUCGAGAUGUAUCGGAAAACAUAACUUCUCCUUCUUACUUCUUGGGCAUGGCUUGCCACUCCUGCUUUUUAGGUGUUGCUUUGCCAGUGGAUUUUAUCUCUUUUGAAAGAGCUUCAGGCACCAUGUCUUCAUCCAUGUAUAACUUGGCAUCUCCAAAAUAUGAUUCGGCUUCGGUGAAUGGCUUGGUGUCGUCUUGGAUCACCUUCACUCCUUCUCGGUAAAAUUUUAAGCAUUGGUGAAGGGUGGACAAUACUACUCCCUUCACGUGGAUCCAAGGCCUUUCUAAGAGCAAGCUAUAAGAAGUUCUUGCAUCAAUAACGUGGAAUAUCGUGCUUGACUUAAGUUCGCCAAUGGUCAUCUCCACUCGGAUCGUGCCCAUUGCUCUUUGACCUCCUUGAUUAAAACCUUGGAUUAGUAGACGGCUUAGGGAUAGUUCGUCCACCUUGAUGCCGAUUGUGGUCAUUGUUGACUUUGGCAUGAUGUUUAUGGUUGAUCCACCAUCCACAAGCAUGCGGUUGACUUUGUGCUCUCUUAUGUACCCCGAGACGAAGAAAUGACGGUUGUGAGGCUUUGAUCCCAGCAGUAAGUCUUCAUCUGUGAAGUUGAUUGCGUCUUAGGUGGCACAACAUGUGGCACAUUCAUGCGGCCGAAGCUUCAAGCCUUCGUUUAUCUUUUUUUCCUCGAUAGCGAUGGCUUUGCCUUUUAAAGGUUAUUCCAUUUCUACUUCGACCAUGUGACAUGCAGCGGCAGUGCACUGUUGGAAGAAGUCCUCCGGGAAGUACUUGUGCAAAGAGACGGGAAUACAUGGCUCUUGCUCCAUAGGUUCCCCAGCAUACGUUGGCUUAGCAGCUUUUCCGUUUCUUUUGGGCUUCCUACUAUUGCAACAACGGUGCUUUCUCCCUUGUUCCACCUUUGGCCUUGUGGCUUGUGGUUUUGGUUUCCUUGUCUUUUUGUAGGUCACCAAUGUCCAUUCUUUUUCGUCAUCAGUAUGUGCAUCUUGGUCGCUUUCCCCCAGUGAUGGUUGUGCAGAAGAUGUCAUGCAGCUUGAGCAUUUACGGGAAUGGUCAGGUGUCACUUGGAGAGGCACGGGAUCAAAGGAUCCAAACGUAAUUGUAGUAGUAUGUGUUGCGGCCGUGUCUUUAAGAUCGAGCUCGAUUUGCCCUUGUUGUGCUAACUUCAUGAUGAGUUCUUUGAGGAUGAAGCAUUUACCAAAAAAAUGGCUCACGAUACGAUAGUACUUGCAGUACUUAGGAUCGUUUACGGAAUUCAUCUCUUCAGGGCGCUUGCAUUCCGGUAACUUGAUCACCUUCUUUUCCAGUAAGUCAUCUAACAUUGCAUCCAUGUUUGAGUCAGGAAAAGGGUACGUCUUUUGCUCUAACUCCCUCAAGGUGUUUUUGUACUUGUAUUAGGUGCGAAGAGGCUCACCUCUCUUUAUCUCUUUUGCUUUGGUCUUGGAGGAGAUCUUGAUGGGCGCAGGGGAGGUCUUGAUAGGUGCGGUGUUGACAGUAAAAGCUUCCUUGGAGGGUUAUUUUCCAGUCCUAUCUACAUUUGGGAAUAACACUUUAUCCUUCUCGAAGUCGGUGAUCAGCUCAUUCUUCCCAUGAUUGGCGAUACUUAGCUCCAUGUCGUGAGAUCGAGUUGCCAGUUCCUCAAAUGUUCUCGGUUUUAUACCUUGGAGGAUGUAAUGUAACCCCCAGUGCAUGCCUUGAACACACAUCUCAAUGGCAGAUGUUUCAGAAAGCUGAUCUUUGCAAUCCAGACUUAAUGAACACCAUCUAUUGAUGUAGUCGAUGACAUGUUCAUCCUUCCACUGUUUCGUACUGGUCAACUCCAGCAUGCUUACGGUGCGACGAGUGCUGUAUAAGCAGUUAAGGAAUUCCCUUUCUAGCUAAUCCCAACUGUUGAUAGACUCAGGCUCGAGGUCGGUGUACCAGUCAAAGGCGUUGCCUUUCAGCGAGCGCACGAACUGCUUGACGAGGUAGUCUCCCUCCGUUCCAGCAUUGUUGCAAGUUUCAAUGAAAUGGGCAACAUGUUGCUUUGGGUUUCCCUUUCCAUCGAACUGCAUGAACUUUAAUGGCUGAUAACCCAUCGGCAUCUUCAAAGCGUCAAUUUUCUUGAAGUAGGGCUUUGAGUAUAGUACAGAGUCAUGUGAGCUUCCUUUGUACUGCGCAUUGAUGAUGCUGGUAAUCAUCUCUUGCAACUGCUGGAUAGAAAGAGAUCUCAUGAAUGCCGCUGCUUGGUCUGGCUCCGGCUUCACAUCGACUUUCUCCACCAGAGGCUCAUCUUCUUCGCCGGCUCCUCCCUUCUUUGGGGCAGGUUUCUCGUCAUCCUAUGCCUCCAGGCGAUUGACAAGUGCAGUGAUUUGCAAGUCUUUUUCUUCCACGGUCCGUGUUAGUCUUGCGAUCGCUUCAUUCAUUUGAGCCAACUGUUCAUCGAUUGAAGUAGCUCCAGUGGUCAUGACUUGGAUGGCUAAACUGCCGCUUGAGUCAGCAUUGGAAAACAUGGAAUCAGAGUACUUCCUUGGGCUUUCAUCCCUUAGCGCCCUUAGUGAGGCCAGGGUGAUCACAGGUUCGUGCCUCGGGUGCUCUUGUUCCUUUGGCAGAGUUGAUGCAGAGGUGGAAGAAGCGGUAGAAAAAGCUCUUGCCUUGCUUCGAGUUAUGAUGCCCGAAAUGACACCACUUGCGGCGAUGACGCUCUUGUUUUUCGUGUUGGUUGCGGGAACCAUUUGAAACUUCCUUGAUGCCAUUUGAUUUUCGAAUGUGUGCUUUGAUUUCCUUGAACGGAGAAAGAGAUGAGAGGUAGAGAUUGUCCCAAUGGGCGUGCCAAAUUUGUAAACACGGAAAUUCCUGAAACAAAUGAGACCAUGGAAGAACAGUUGGAUGUGUGGAUUUGUUGAUGUUGUUGAUCCAAAAUGCCGUUAGGACUUGAUCUUAUGCAAACACGAAAAUUCCUGAAACAAAUGAGACAAGAACAUGUGUACAAAAUAAUAUUUUUUAUUAAUGAUUUUGGGGUUACAAUCUCUCUCAAAUUUGAUCCUCUGAUUCGAUCUCCGUGAGGUGUUGAUUUGUGGAUGUGCAAUUAAUCCAAGGUUCGUCGAGGCUUGAUCUUGGAUGAACGGUUGGAAAUUUCUUCAAAGGGCUUUGGGCUUGAUCUUAAAGGUUGAUGGAUGAACAGAUCUUCAAGGCUUUUGGGCUUGAUCUUGAAGAACUGUUGAUGAACGGAUCUUCAAGGGUUUUUUGGCUUGAUCUUGAAUGAACGGUUGAUGAAUGGAUCUUCAAGGGCUUUUGGGCUUGAUCUUGAAGAACGGUUGGAUGUGUGGAUUUGUUGAUGUUGUUGAUCCAAAGUGAUCUUAGGAUGAACGGAUGAUGAACAAUGAACACUUUCCUCAAGGGCCGUCGGGGCUUGAUCUUGAAUUGGUGAAAGUUCUUCAAGGAUCGUCAGGGCUUGAUCUUGAAGGAGGAUUUGACGAAGAACGAAGAGAACUUUCUUGAUCUUUCGGGAUUUACUUGAGAGCUUUAGAGUUUCAAAGCUUCAAAGGUUUUGGUGUGAUGUGAAUUCAUUAUGAAUUAGUGUCCUAAAACGAAUAAAAUGACCUUGUAUUUAUAGAAUUUUUCAAGGCCUAAUUUGAAUAUAAUAUUCAGAUGAAGUAAAUCGUUUCUGCCAAGUGUUGACACAUGUCCUUAUUUGAUGACUUUUCUUAUUUAUUUUGAUUUUCCGUUUAGUCACACGCUACAUGUAAAAUUUAUGUGACCCAUGAACGUUGAAAUUGUAAUUGUUGGUCAACAUUUAUUUUACUGAAAUUUCGAUGUCUACAUAUACCAUAUAAGUAAAUUAGUGAAUCAACAAAUUCUAAAUGGGUACAUUAAUGAUAUAUAAAUGUACAACAUUUUGAAACUCAUUGAAGGUGCAAAACAAGGAGUAAAUCAUCGAUAUUGACAUGAUUGGAGAAUCCUUGCAAUUUUGUAAAAUGAUUGCAGUAAUGGGUCAACUAUUUCUCUCACUUGCAACUCAUUAAAUUUAUGGUUUUAUUUAGAGGUUAAGAAGUGUGCGGGUAUACUGAACUCCCGAAAAAUAAAAUUAACAAACUGGUGAGUUUAUGUUUAUGAAAUAAGAGUUACAAGUCUAUAAACAACCUUUAAACCAGAAGUUCCCCCGCCAUGGUUGUCGUACUGAACCGCGUGCAUGGUCUCAUUGGCCAUAGUCUCUCAGUUUUAAGUCCAACCAACGUUCCGAAGAGCCGCAGAAACUUGAAGCUGAGGAUUCUAUCAAAUACAGAGCUUAUGAUAGUACAGCACUAGACUCAUUAGCCCAUGUCUAUAGUGGAACAAAUAAUACGCGUGAUUCAUAAUGAUGUGGACUGAUUGACCCUUGUCUGUCUAUUGUGGAACAAACUGAUACGCGUGAUUCAUAAUGAUGUAGACACUACACUGAGUAUAUGGUCCCCAUGUUAAAUGUAGAGUACGUAAUGUGGUCCAUAUGUUAAAUAGACGAUACAAUAAGUCCCCAUGUUAAAUGUACAGUACGUAUGUGGUCUAUAUGUUAAUUAUACAAUAAGUGUAUGCAGUGGUGAAGCUAGAAUUUGCCGAGAAGAGAGGUGAAAUUCAAAAGAGUGCAAGAUUCAAUCGAAGUGGUUGUUUUUAUAUUUGAGAGUGCAAAGUUUUGAGUCAAUAUUCAUAGCAGAAAAUAGUCUCCACCAAAACGAUUGUAAGCGGUAAUAUCAAAGCCAAUAUAAUAAACUUAUAUUAGCUAGGUUUAUAUUCUUAAAAAAGACGCUAGUCAAGUAGUAGACUGGAACCUAGUAGCUAGGCGUCUAAGAGAGAUCUAGGCAGGAGCCUAGUGGGAUUUAAAUGAAUUUCUUUUAUCGUAAAAUAAGCAUUAAACAAUAUUUACAUUACUUUUUAAAAAGUAAUACAACAUUUAUAUAUAAUGUGAGAGUUUAAGAUAAAUCCAGUAGGGGUCUUAAAAGAAAUGAAAAAAUAAAAUAAACAAUACUUGAGUACCCACAAUUUAGUACCAACUAGCAAGACUGCCCGCGCGAUGCUGCGGUGCUACGCCUUGCUCCUGUACAACCUUAUCUACAAAAGGAACAAUGAGCAGCAUUGAAUUUAAUUCCAUCAUCAAUGCCUUGAACUUGUAGGAUCAAAAUUAAUAUAUAUAUUAACAUAGACCCUAAAAUUUCUAUCAUGGAGAAAAAUAUUAACAUUGGGAAAAGGCAAAGAGAGGAAUUCUCAAAAGAAAACUGAGAGUAUGGAUCAUAUUGAAUGGAAAUCACAAACAGCAACCAAAUCAAAAAUGAAGAAUAACAAUUGAAAAGGAAAAUAAUAAUCGAACCAUAACUGAAAAAGCUAUCUGGUUUUGAAUAUUACAAUUAUGAAGCAACUCUUAUAGGAUGAGUGAGUAGAAUUUACAACGUAGUUAGGAGUUGCAAUGCAGUUAGGAGUGUUCCAUCUCGCUAUCAAUUUGCUAAACCAAGAUCAUCUAUACCAAAUGACAACUUUUUACAAUGCAAUGAUGAGAACCACGAAGACCAAUGUUUGGAAUUCACUGAAAAUAUUCCGUUGAAAAGAUUGUAACUUGUGAAGUGCAUAACGAAAAGGAAAAGACAGAGGCUGGUCUCAACAUGUAGAGAGUUGAAAGGAAUUGUGAACUUAAUGAAUUACAAAAUGUAAAAAAAUUGCAUUGCUGAAAAAGAAAUUAAUCCGCAGGAGAAAUUGAGUUAAAAUUUUGGUUGCAUAUUGAAGAGUCAGUUUUGGAACAGAUGAGAAGGAGUGGGAUGUAAUCAAUGGAAACCUCAGUCACUAAGUGUAAGAAAAAUGAAGACAAAGAAUUGCAAAGGAAAAGAACUUCGAAUCCACAUGGAAACGGAAAUUAAUAAGUGGAAAAGCAAUUAAAAGUCGAGGUUAAUCAAUUCCGUACCUUGACAGCAGCGAUCACACGUACUUCUUUCGUAUCAAUCUCAACUUCACUGUAGGAAACCAAAACAGAUUCGGUCUGUAAACAUUUUGGAGGAAAGAUUGGAUAUAGAGAGAUGAAAAUACUGUUCACAAUGAAUAAAAAUUAGUGUAAAUUUGUUUGCAUAUAGUAACUCAAUGAAAGCGAUGGAGGACAUAUUGGGGAUUUGAUAAUGACAUGUUGAGAAAGUUAAUAGCAUUGAUGAAUACAAAAUUUAAACCGUUACUGGUUGAGGCUGAAACAUAAAGGACUAAAGCAAAUUUUGAUCCUAAAUUUGAAUUUUAAAGUUGAAAAAAAAUGAUGGAGAUAUGUUGGAUAUGAUUAUAGACCAGAACGAAGCUACUUUUAUGGUUAUUUACUGUCCAAUAUGAUACUUAUGGUAUAGUUAAAGGUUCUAUAUGUUUCAGUAGUAAUUAACUCUGAUCCUUAUGCAUUCACUUGAGAAAAAUUAGCAUUUAAUGUCUCCAAAGGGAUCCCAAGUACUUAAGACAAAGUUGUUAAAAAAAGUUAAUGAGAAUGCAGAUUGGAAGCCAAAAGUAAAAAUCAAAUGAUUACAGAAUGGAAAUAAAAAUGUUGGAGUUAACAGUAAACAAUUUAAAGAUUAAACCGGUUGAGUAUACAUUGGGUAAUCAAACAUAUGGAAUAAAAGAUUAGAAAGUGAGGAUUAUGGGUUGGAUAAAAGUCAAAUAGAAAUGGAUGAAAAGCCAAAAAAUAGGAAGAAGAAGGCAGGGAGUAAGAAAACUAACAGAAUAUGGAUAUUGCACAAUGGUUAAUAUAUUAAAAACUAAAUGUUUCAAUAGAUUAUAUACCUUGAACAAAAGACGAAAUUGAAGCAUUGGCAGUUCCUAAAAGCGAAGAAGAAUGAGAUGAGACAGUGACAUCUAGCAUCUGAUUGUGGAGACAAAAUCUGCAGUCAUAAAAAGAAAAUUUAAACAUAAACUUUACCUAUAUAUCAAACACUCAAAUAAGAAAAAGAAUAAAUAAAGAAAUGGGCCAUAUGGAGAAAAAAGGUUUACCAGAACUUGGUUGUAUGCCAAUUGAAAAACAUUGUAGGUCUCAACUCAAAGUAUACUGACCACCAUGUCCAGAAGAUGUAAAAAUAACAUCACAAAAUGUAAACACCAUUGAAAACACACAGGUUGCAAUAGGCUUACAAAUGAAAUCUUUAAUUUGUACGAUAUAGAUAAAAAAAGGUUACCAGUUGGUUGUUUACAUACACAAAAAAUAUUCCAGGCAUAUGCUGGAUCUUAGUACCUGGAACUGCUUUUCAACCACAGCCAGCAUUGGGAUACAAAACACUGGCAAAUGCUGGUUUAUGUACAGGCAAAAAAUGUUUUGAAGUUCAGAUCAGAAACAUAUUUACAUGACAGGGAAAUAGCAUAAAUAUUGUUUUAUACAUGUUAACAAAAAACCAUCAUGAUUUUUUAUCAAUGGAGGUCAACUUAUGUUGCUGCAUUGUUCCCUUUCAAGAAACCAACCUAGGGAAAAAAAAAAGAAAUUAAGAGAGUUAGACGGCUGUUAAAUCCAAGUUGUAAAAAAAAUUUAGCAAAAAAAAAAAAAGCAAAGGUAAAAUAUAACAACCUAGCUUUUUUUUGGAGGGGUAGCAUCUAAUUUUCCAGCAGUUGAGGAUGGGUUCUUUUUUAGCAAUUUGAUCAGGACUUCAUCCAACUCUCUUGGAUCCGUGUCUGAAAUUUCCUCUACUCCACUGUUUUAAAUGAGGUAUCAAUGUUAAACAACAUGACUACACACAAAUUUGAAAUUUAUAGUUACAAAGGUAUGGGACAAACCUUUGUUCACCGCCAGUGAAAAGAGCUUGCCUGAUUGAUUCCCUUUUUCGUUUAAACGACUGCUCAUUGGGUUAAACUGUUGAGGUCGAAGAUGAAGCAAUGGUGGAAGACACUAUGAUUUCUCUUGACAAAGGUUGUGGAGUUGCUGGCUGCAUAACUGUGUCUUCAGUCACGUUAUGAAUGAGGAUAUCAUUUGAAUAAAAAGUAUUCCUCCUGUUGCCAAAUCGCAAGUGAAAAAUUUUCUUCUAUCCAAUAAGCCUGAGAAAUUCGUUUGGCAACUGUUGUUGCUCUACCAGUCUUUGAUUUAAUACCAGGUCUUUGCAAGGCAUGCCAAAAAGCUUUUCACCACAUUUACCGAUUAUCAAAGCAUUCAUUUCAUUUGUUUCAUCUUCAAGAAUGAGAUUGACUUUGUACCUACAUUUAGAAACUCAAACCAAUGAGAUUUUUGAGAAUCAGAGGUUUUCACAAACAUAAGAGGUAAAAAAGCUGAAACAAAAUAGAUUGCAAAUGUGGAGUAAUAUUAUAUAAUCAUAUGGUGAUCAUGUGUGACCAAAUAUGAGAAAACAUAAAAAAGAAAAGGAAACAAAGAUAAAUUAUUUGUCAGAAUAGAAAAAAAAUAAUAACAUUUAGGUUUAUACAACUGAAGUUGAACAAAAACAUAAAGUAAAGAGUGAACAAUGGUAACAAAUUUUUUUUUAAGGAACACCAUGUUUGGCAACCAUUGUGUAUAUCUAUUAUAAAAAUGCUUUCAUAAUCUGGAAUUUAAAAAAAAAAUAAGUGUGAUGACAUAAAUAAUUAUACCAAAAUUGUAAAUUUUGCACACAAUGUGAAUAACCCUAUCUAUAUUUAUUUUUCUCAAUUGGUUAAUGAGAACAAACAACAGGGUAUCAAGAAAGAGUAAACUUUUUGUUAGCCUUGCUUCAAAUAUUUGAUUUAACAUUACCACAGCGUUGGUAUUUGGUUUGGAUGUUUUUGACAAAUGAGCUGCCCAAUGGUUGGAUCCUUGUGCACCUGUUUCAAGCAGUUCGGGCAAGCACUGUACCACUAGUUGAACCGCAUGUCAAAACGCUUGACAGAUGCUCUACACACAAAUGUAUCAUCCUGUGAUAUAUUUUGUCACAUAGCCGUAACAGCAAGAACAACAGAACUCAGUUUCAUUAAAAAGGUUAAAAUGCAAUGGUAAGAUUUUAAGAAUACACAAAAAAUAAACGUUAUGUUUUAUACCUUAUGCAAAUCUGGAUCCAAAAAAGCCAAUUCAUCAAUUGUAGCUUUUUUAGCAGUCUGCAAAAUUUGAGCUUCGUUUCGUUGGAUUGCAGAGGGAGAAAGUAUGUCCAGAGCUUCUUUACAAUCACAAAACCUGCAGGAUUCAAAACACUUUAUCAGUUUAACAAUUAUAAAAAAAAAAAUGAUAACAAUUGUUUUCCAAUUAAAAAAAGUGUUAUUUUGUUUUAAAAACGAAAAAUUUACUCACACUGACUUAUACGUAUUCACUUCGGGGAUGUCUAGGUCAAUAAAAAACACAGACGAACCAGUACUACUCAAAUAAAUUUUUUUUGUGCGUUGCAACCACACCACAGAGAAAAAGAUUAAUGAACAAUAUUAAUGACAUUAACAAAGUUAAAAAAACAAAAGGGAAUACAAAAGAGACGAAACAAACAGAAAUAAAGUAAGAAAACGACUAAUAACAGUGACCAACCAGUGAUAGAUUGAGACAUUUGUAAAUUAACUGGCCAAGAAGGAAAGAAACAUAUAAUCAGAAAUUGGACGAAAGAAAGAUAACAAAAGUUUAGGACAACAAAACAUCCAAAUAAUGUAAAGAAACAACAUGUGUACACAUCACAAUAAACAGACUAAAAGUAAGUAUUUAACAAAAUGGAAUACCGAGGUAGAUCUUGACUUUCAGACUUGUGAAAACAACAAUGACUGACAAAGAAAAUUCCUCUGCUGACAAAGAAGAAAAAGCUUCAGCAACGUCUGCCCACAACAUAACCAUUAGUUCCUCUUUUCUGUCGAUAAAGAAACGACAAAUAAAUUUUUGACCUUUUUAUACCACCAAAGCAACAAAUAUUGAAAACAGUAUGUAAGAAUAGGGAUAAGAAGUGAAAAAUAACCUAAUAUUUUGGAUAACCACAUCACACUUGUACAUAACCCUUUGAUUAAUUUGUUUAGGUUCCAGCCGCUGCACAACGCUUAUAUGACCAAUGACAUCUUACCAUUUGAAAAAACAAACAGAUGCACAUUAUUAAAAUCCAUUUUAGGAAGUAAACACACACUUUAAGACACGCACAUGCACAUAGACAUUAAUAGUACCUGUGAGGAUGUCAACUCUGUUUAAGCGAGGGUAGAGUGUGUUAUAGUCUUGUAGGAAAAAUCGAUGGCGAGGGAUGGGCGGAAACACACUUGCUAAUUUUCGGAAAGCUGUUUUCGAGGUGAACAAAACCUGAGUUUCAUGCAGCACCACCUUGUAUUGUGCCCUAAUUCUAAUAGUUUGAAAUUCGGUGAUUUCAUAGCAUGCACCAUCUUCAAUUUUUUAAGCCAUGACAUCAUAAUCAACAUCCAAUGUAGAGGCCUCAACCGCAUGUUGCUUCACAUCGUAUUAAAAAAGAGGAAAAAAAGCCAAAAAAUCAAUUAACAAAUAAAUGAAAACACAAAUCAUACACUCGACAACACAAACAACAUGACAUGAAUCAAAUUGUUACCAUGAGCAAAUAGAACGAAUGAACGCAGUUAAAUUAUUUCAAACAAAAUGUAAAAAAAAAAAAUCCAUCAACACAUAAAAGUUUACAACAGAACAUACCGCAUGGCAAAUAUAAGGAAAGAAAGCCAAAAAUUGAGGGAACAAACAGAGGGAAAACACAGGUGAUGCACACAUUUCGCUGAUGACAACAUAUCGAACUCUAACCUUCUAACAUGUAAAAAAGCAUGGCAACAUAAACAUUAUCCAGUGAGUUAAUAUAAACAUUAUCCAGUGAGUUAAUACUCAUUGACUCCAACUUUGGGUAAAAUAAUUAGACAAUUAUUUCUCACCGCUUCAUCAACCAAUAUGCAGUGCAGGUUUGUAGACUUUUGAACGGUUCCUGGAAUCGUCAAUUUCCAAAUCCUGCAUAUGCGAAUUUUGAUUUUGUCCGCCUUUAUGUAUGGUAUUAACUGAUUAACAGGAGUUGGGCGCACAGUUUCCAUUUAUCCUAUCAAAAGGGAAUUUCAAUGACACAUCAGAAACUCCCACAAAACUACAAAAAGAAAAAAAGACAAAAACUAUAAACGAUCCACAAUUCAUUCACCCAUGGUCUGAAAGGAAGACAUGGAGAGUUUAACAACCAUUUGUACUUUCGCUAUCUUUUCCACCCUGUCUUGCAUGCCUAUACAACAAUUGCACAAAUUUUAUAUUGUCCAAUAAAACUAAGGACGCAAAACAGAGACCCAGACUGCAAAUCCCGUGAAUGACACCUCCAAAGAACAAAUAAUAUUGACGAAAAGAACGGGAUACCCAAGUUUUAACACCAAGAAACAAACACCUCAGCCACCACCACUAAUAGCAACAACUACAACAAAGAAAUCACAAAGUUAAUGACCACACGAAAAAGAAAUGACAACAACAAAAUAGCCGACACUAAGACCGCACAAAAACUCAAGUACAGAAACACCAAGCCUAACACAUUCAUGAACCACCACGAAUCCAGUCACAUAACACAAAACAAACCUCCAUCUAAAAAAAGAUACAAAUUUAUGUCAUCCUCUGCAAAUCAAGGCUGAACCCAAAGGCUUCAAAGAAACAAAUCCCACGAUGAAAGAUUUAGUGUCACACUAAAACAACCACAUCCCCAAACCAACUACCUCAUAAUAUAAUUUUUUGCUUUCGUUCUCCACCAACGAAAUGAAAAAUCAUUCUAUCCUCUUUCAUUUCACCAUGAAUCACAUGUACAAAUCCAACCUCUUUCAUUUGACCACAAAUCUAUAUAAUGGCAAUCCUCAGCUUUCGUGUUUUGGAUUGAAGAAAAAAUGGUAAACAUGGAAAAAGUUACAGCACUAAUGUUGCACACAUCUCCUGAACAUCUAAGAAAUGGCAAUCGGCUAUUUUCGCUAAUCGUAGAAUAAGUAUACCAUUUUUUAUACACCUUACUGAAGGAUAAACUGAAUUCUGACUGAGUCAAUGAGUAAGAUUAUACGAAUAAAGAGUUACAUUCUAUAAUGUACUAAAUAUUCCUACUAUACCUUCAUCCUGCGAGAUUAAGAAUACUUGAGAACGAUGAGUUGAAAUCAAUACGCCAAUUAUUGCUUUACACCAAGACUAAAGUGUGAAUGCAAUUUUGUACUUCGCAAAAUGAACUCUAUCCACUGCAAAUCCAUAACUAAGACUAAAUUGUCAGUGCAAUUAAUAGUGUGACUAAUCAUCAAUCAAUGGCAUCACCCUCAUACGAAGAAAGGGAGACUCUAAAAAACAACACACCCAUAACAAUUUGCUUAAAUAACUAACGGAUCAAAACAAUGAGAUGGCCAAAAGGAAAACCCACCAAACAGCAAAACGCAAACUCUCUACCUCCACCACUCAUGCCUAACCACACUUCUUAUACCCCCUCUCUCUUUUCCCAACCUCUGCUUCAGCAAAUCACAUAACCAGACAUCUUUCUACACAGGCGUCGACUGCUGCAGCAUUCUAAAACCCUAAAAUCUAUUUGAACGCAUGAUUCAAAAGGACAACAUCACCAAAAUUAAACGAUAAACCCAAAAAACGAACGAAGCCCAUACAUAUUUAAACGCAACAGAAGAAAACUCAUUUUCCAAACUAACAUAAAAAUAUGAAAACGAACAUAAAAAUCUAAAAAAAAAUCACGCACCGCAGGGUUCUCCGACGUAGCAAAGAGGCACAGAGCAGAGGAGAGGACGAUCGAGAAGAAGCAAACACAAACGCGCGCGAAACCAAAGCAAACAGGCAAGAAGAAAGCAAAAGAGAAGGCGGGAGCGAAAGACAGCGACGCAACAAAAAAAAUAAGAAACGGGAAACAAAAACGAAACAAAAUAGAGCAAAAAGAGCAUAACAGGAUGAUCAACACGUGGCAGAUCCAAUCCCCACCUUCUCCCUGCAUCAAUCCCUCGAAAACAAUGAGAACCCAUUAUAAACCCAAAGGGCAAUUCGGGCAGUCAAAAAACACCCACCAACCAUGGACGAUGAUCAACACGUAGCAGAUGCAAUUCCCACUUUCUCCCUGCACCAACCCUCGAAGAGAACCCAUUAAAACCCCGAAGGGCAAUUCGGCCAGUCGAAAAACACCCACCAAUCAUGGGCAAAGCCGACAUUUCAAUGGAGAAAAGAGGGAGAACAACGUCAAAACACAAACCAAGCAAGGGGCAUUUCCGUCCCGGCACUAUUAAUGAACAGUGCCAUCCGAAACCCAGUUUUAGUAUAUAUACUUUUACUCACUAGAGUUUGUGGCCCAAUAAAAUUACGACAGCUGUCAUUCUCAACUCUCUAACCAAAUAACAACAAAUCUAUUAUUCUAGCAGCCAAACACUUUAGGGGUGAGUUUACAAAUCCAUAAUCAGAUUGAAGGAAAUUGAAUUGAGGAGAAAUCAAAUUAAGGAGGAAUUGGAUUGAGAAUGAAACAAAAUUAGAUUCUGGUCAAAGUUGUUUACUAAACUAAUUGUAAUCGGAAUACAAAUGAUAUUAGUUCCAUAUAUAUUGUUUACUAGUUCACUAAAAUCGGAAUUAAAACUAACUUGAUUACUAAAUUGUCCUUGUUUAAAUAAAUUAUGUUUAUGCUAUAAUUAUUGAAAAUUAAGUUUAUCUAAUUAAAUAUAGGCUUAUUAUGUUAACACCCCACAUUUUGUUGAAUAAACUUCACAUACUUAAUGCUCCUCACAUUUGUUUUUUUAAUUAAAACUUAUCUUAAUAAACCCCACAUACUUCCCAUAACACCCUCACACCCCACAUUCUCAACAUACACCUUACAUUUUCUACAUACACCUCCACAUUCUUCAAAUCUUAUAAUUAUCAUUCUUGCUUCUAUGGUUUUCAUUAUUCUCCAUGGAAAUCUUGAUCUUUCGUUUCCUUCUUUUGGUGUUUGUCCAACAGACAGUUCUGCUACUUCGACUUUCUCUUUGCUUCCAUUUAACAUGUUGAACUACCUCCUUUCGAUGACUCUUGUUAACGUAGGGGACUGUGCUGGCAUCUUGGUUGGGAGUGAUGGUAUUCACUCGCAAAGUGGAAAAAAAUGAAAUAAAACAGGCUUCGGGGGUUUGGACGCCUCAACGAAGGUUAAUGGCUUUACCUGUUCAAAUACUGGCUAAUCAGCAUUGAGAGUAUUACAGUAUGAGGACAGAAAAAAAACAUGGAUUGAGAUAAUUAGGAAAUAUAUAACAACAUGUGAUUCAAAAUAAAAAUAUGUCCCAGCGUUGUAAAUGGAUCGAGAAGCAUGAUUAGUUGGGACAAGGUCCUAUUAUCAUUUAGGUUUAUAUUAGACUUGCCAUGGGGAAAAUGAAUCAAUGUUACCCUUCAUUUCCAAAACUGUGAUGCUUUUGACAGCAUAUGCAAGCAUACCAAAACAUGUUUAUCAAUCACUGGUUACCUUUUAUUUUAAACUAAUACUAGAAGAAUCCUUGAUAGAUUAGAGACUAAUGUAUAUACUUGUAUUGAGAACAAAAUAAUAGUAAAUUGAAAAAUAAAAUUAAAAGAAUACAUAAAUUACAAGUAUUCAACAAGUUUAGAGUUUAAAAACACAUUAAUAUAAACAUAUAUUAUUUUGGGCCCAAAAAACAUGGCAUAUUAUAAUCAUAAAAGGCCUAGCCCCACCAAAAUAUUUACUUUUGCAUUCAUUUCACCUCUUACCUUCGUCAGUCGUUUAUGCAAAAUCCGAAGAACCAUAAAUGGUCAAAUGCAUCAAGAACCCAAAGAAAGCCAAAAGAAAGGCCAAGGUUGGCUCCAAAUUCCACUACCUUCUUCGUUGUUUGUUUAAUUAUUUUAAUAAAGUUAGGGUUGUGUCUUAAAUUUUUGUUUAAGGCUCAAAGAAAAUAGGUGGAUCUCCUUCCUCUUCGAGACCAUCGAUGCUGAUGAAGGUAUGGCAACCGCCUAGUGGGCCGCCUAGCACCGCCUAGACCGCCUAGCGGCUGCCUAGGCGCCCGCCUAAGCCAUCACCGAAUUUCUCUAACAUUUCGCUCCAAAUCGCCUCGAAAGCCCAACGCCUAGUGCGUAGGCAGCCGCUUAGGCCGCGUUUUUGAACACUGGUUAGAAUGCAACUUAAUUAAAAUAGAUCAAAGUAUGGCUUUGGUAGGUGAGAAGCCACCAACAUCCAUAUUUAAUAUAGGGACCAUACUUAUUGUAGGGCCUACAUCAUAUAACCACCACAGGGUGGCUCAGUGGUUGGGUACGAAUUCCAGGCUCGUAUUCUGCACGGUACGUCUUGAGUUCGAUUUCUAGCGCUGGUGAAUCAUACGAUGGUGGUAAAAGGGAGACUAAAAUUCCUCUAUGAGUUUUCCUGGCUCCCAAAAAGGUGGACUACCAUGACGAAGCCAACUAGUCCCUUUGUCGAUCUUGUAUUUCCACAAACUAAUUCAUGUUAUUUGUAUUUUUUUUAUCUUGUAUUUCCACAAACUAAUACACUACUACGAAACCAUUUACUAGUGUCGCUAUGAUAACCGACAAGAAACGUAUAUUACUGUCAUAUAUUAAGCAAAAUCCGACAAAAAAUGGAUGCAGUGGCGGUUAUAAUAAGUGACAAAAUUGCUAGGGUUAGGAAAUGAAUUUUCUAACAGAAAAUACUCUAAAACAGACAGAAAUUGUGUCGAAUAUAACCGACAGAGAAUACAUUAAUACUGAAUAAAUAAGAGCAUUCUCUGUCGGAUAAAACCGAUAGAAAAUAUAUUAAUAAAAAGAAAUAUAAACCACUUUCUGAAUCAUUUCUUUCCCUUUCAAGUUGGCCUUCCCUGCAUUCACUGCAUUUUCCAGCUUUGAGAUGUGCAACGUUCCUCUAAGGUACACCAUAUUCUUCAAUUCUUCAAGUUUGUUUCCUAUUUCGCAGCUAACCUAAAUAUAUAUAUAGACAGAAGUUUGACCCCCAACAACAAGAAAAGGAUUAGAAAGACAGAUAAAUAUAUUUGAAAAAGAAAAGAAAAGACAAACCGAAAAUUUGGGCAAGUUAUGCAACCGCCUACACUACUCCCGGGGGUUACAGUUCAGGCGGUUCUCAUGUUCUCCGACACUCUCCUUUCUUCACCACCUUUAUCAUCAUCAACCUUGUCUCGUUGAUCAGCUCAUUGUCUUUUCUCGUCACAUUUCUCUCGAUCUUGACAUCUCAGUUUGAGUACAAAAACUUCCAUCAAUCUCUUCCGCUCAGGCUACAUUUAGGAUUUGCCUUUCUUUUCUUCUCGCUAGGGACGACCAUGCUCUCGUUCACUGCUACAGUUGUGCUCUUGAUUCAUCUCGAUGAGGAAUUGACAACGUCUCUCCUUUAUGUUGUUGCAUUUUUUCCUAUGUAUGUAUUUGGGUUCAUACAGCAACUUCCUUUGUAUGCUAGAUUUUCUCAUGCUUUGAUAUUUCUAUUUAAGAAAGUUAAGAAGUUUAUAAUUUCUAUUUAAAACACAAACUAAACAUAAUACAAAUAAUUUAAAACGUACUGGUUUCAAAAUGUUGCUUCUCGAAUUGUUCAUCCAUGGUGAUUGAAGCGAGAAGGAGAAGGGGAGAAGAGAAGGAGAAUGAAAUUAGGAGAGGAGAAAAGGGAGAAGGAAGGGGGAAGGGAGAAGGCACCGGUGCAAGGAAGAGAUGGAGGGGUUUUAUUUUGGAAAAUUUUCAUUACUGUCAGUUAUAACCGAUAGAAAAAAAUGGCGGCAAAAAUCCCCCCUAAAUUCCCUCCCAAAAUUUUAAAUUCCCCCCCAAAAUUUUGUUACGAUUUAAAAAAAUAAAAUAAAUUGAACGGAGAUAUGCAUUUUAUGAAACUAGUUUCCAUAAUCUAACCGUCAAACUUGUUUGUAGAUACUACUACAAGAUCGUAUACGUAAAAAAUCGCAAAAAAAAAAAAAAAAAAUCAGAGAUUAGGUAACAUAACAAAAGUUUUUUUACGGUUAUAAACGAAAAAUCUCAAUUUAACGGUUAUUUUAGCUUCGGUUUUGAUGAUUUUUUUACAGCUACACUCCUCGAUCCUAUAAGAAUGCAAUGAACGAAUUUGAUCUUCAAUUUAAAAUAUUUACACUAAUGGAUAUCACAAAAUCUUAUUUUAUACUUAAUGGAAGUAUAAUAUUAACUCUAAGUGUUUGUUUAAUCUACCGUUUUGACGCGAUAUGCAUUCUACGAAACUUUUUUCAACGAUCCAAUCGUCAAACUUAUUUGUACACACUUCGAGAUAGCAUACGUAAAAAAUCAUAAAAAAUAAACAUUCAAAGAUUAUGUAACGGAACAAAAGUUUUCGACGGUUCUAAACAAAAAAUCACAAUUUAACGGUUAUUUUAGUUCUGAUUUUAAUGAUUUUUUACAGCUACACUCCUCGACCCUAUAAGAAUGUAAUGAAUAAAUUUAAUCUUCAUUUUAAAAUAUUUAUACUAGUGGAUACCACAAAAUCUUAUUUUAUACUUAAUGGAAGUAUAACAUUAACUAUUUAAGUGUUUAUUUAAUCUACCAUUUUGACGUGAUACACAUUCUACAAAACUUUUUUCAAUGAUCUAACCAUCAAACUUGUUUGUACACACUCCGAGAUCGCAUACGUAAAAAAUCACUAAUAACAAACAUUCAGAUAUUAGAUAACAGAACAAAAGUUUUCGACAGUUAUAAACGAAAAAUCACAAUUUAACUGUUAUUUUAGCUCCAAUUUUGAUGAUUUUGACAGAUACACUCCUUGACCCUAUAAGAAUGUAUUGAACGAAUUCGAUCUUCAAUUUAAAAUAUUUACACUAGUGGAUACCACAAAUCUUAUUUUAAACUUGAUGGGGAAGUAUAACAUUAAUUCUAAGUGUUUGUUUAAUCUACCAUUUUGAUGCGAUACGCAUUCUACGAAACGUUUUUCAAUGAUCCAACCAUCAAAAUUGUUUGUACACAUUCCGAGAUCGCAUACGUAAAAAAUCGCAAAAAACAAAGAUUCAGAGAUUAGGUAAUGGAACAAAAGUUUUCGAUGGUUAUAAACGAAAAAUCACAAUUUAACGGUUAUUUUAGCUCCGAUUUUGAUGAUUUUUUACUGCUACACUCCUCGACCCCUAUAAGAAUGCAAUGAAUGAAUUUGAUCUUCAAUUUAAAAUAUUUACUCUAGUGGAUAAAUCUUAUUUUAUACCUAAUGGAAGUAUAACUUUAACUCUUAAGUGUUUGUUAAAUCUAUCAAUUUGAUAGGAUAUGCAUUCUACGAAACUAGUUUCAACAAUCCAACCGUCAAAUACGUUUGUAUAUACUUUUAGAUAGCAUGUGUAAAAAAUCGCAAAAAAAUAAAAUAUAAAAACAUUCAAAGAUUAGGUAAUGGGACCCUGAGUGAAAAAAAAAAAAAAAAACAUUCAGAGAUUAUUCUGGCAGCUGCCCAAAAUUUUGCUUUGUUCGUGUCGGUUAUAUCCGACAGGGCCAUGAGUGAAAAAAAAAUAUUUAAACCAUGUGUUUAUUUAUUUAUUUAUUAUUUUUAAUCAAUAUAAAAUUUUAAAAUAAUAAAAUAGUCAAUUUCUGUAGGUUAUAACAGUCAGAAUACUAAAAUAAUAACCGCUAGAAACUAAAAUAAUAAAAUAGUCAAUUUCUGUCGGUUAUAACCACCACCAUUAACUUAAAAACCGUCGGAAUAUGUUAAAAAUAUUUUAAAAAAAGAAUUCAAAAAUACUGGCAGUUAUAAUAAUUUUAUGGCUAUUGCAUCCGACACUAAAUAUCUGUCAGGAAUUUAUGUUGAAUAUAACCGACAGGAUUUCAUUGUUACCCGACACUAACUGAAUGAUGUGUCGAAUAUCUUUUAUCCGACAUAAUGACUUAUUAAACCACCACCAUCAUCCGACACCUAAAGCUAAUAUUGUAGUAGUGAUACACACGUUAUAUGUUGUCGGUAUUUUGUUGAUCUUGUAUUCUUGUUGAAAUUUCAUCUUCUAGAAAAUUAUGUUGGCCAGUCAUAUUUUUGUGACACUUAACCUAACUUUGUGAUAAAGUUGCAUAUUUCGAGAAACGAAAACUAUAAUGAACAACUAGCAUUUGCCUACACAUUUUGUGUAUAUGAACACGUUUUUUUUUAGAAAAUGAGAAUGAGAGAGAGAGAGAUAGAACGUGGAGGGAGUUGGAGGUUUUUUUUUGUUUUUUUUUAUUUUAAAUAUUGGAGGUAUUUUAACAUUACCUGUAGGUGAGGCUUCAAUAAAAAAAAAAAAAAUUUGAACCUGUGAAAUUACAUUAUUGCUCAUCAUUUUUUUUGUGUGAUAGAAGACUAAGUAGUCUUUUCAUCCUCUUUUGGUUGACAAAAAGGGUUUCAUUAAUUAAUAGAGAUAGGAAUGAAAAAAAUAACAGAAAAAAUAAAAAAUUUAAGGAAAAAUUAAUAUAUGAUUCCUAGUUUUUAAUGUUCAUAUAUUAACUGAGACUUUAUUAGUUUUUAGAUUUUGAUCAAAGUCUCUAGCAUUAAUGUAUUAAUAAAUUACAUGUCAGUUACAUAAUUUUUUUAAAUAAAAAUUAGUAAUUGAUUUAGGGUUUUAAAUAAAAAUUAAUUUUCAAUUCAAAAACUUUCCAAAACAUAAAAAAUAAAAUUAGAAUAAGUUUGUACCCAUUAAUGUUUUAUAAAAAAAAAAAUUCAAAUUUUCAAUCUUAUAUGUAACCAUUUAUAUAAUUCUUCUAUUUCUCUAAUCUUAAAUGUACUUAUUCUUAGAUAUACCAAUUUGUUAUCUAUAAAAUGUACCUUUUUAUAUAUAUAAAAUUCAUUCAAUCUUUUUUCUAAUUCAUUUUUUAAAUUUAUAUGGGUACAUUUUAUUUCGUUGAUUUGAUAAUGAAUUCAUGUCAAAUUUAAUAGAAGAAAUUUAAUAUGUACCCAUGUUUUGGUGCAAUAAUUUUUUUGUUAGUUUUGAUGAACAUACCCAUGUAUGUGUGUACACACACAGACACACACAGACACACACACACACACACACACACACACAAUAUAUAUUCUUUAAUAUUUUUUAUCCCAUAAAUUAUAGGUUUUAUUUAAAAUCUCAUUAAUAUAAAUAACUACAAAUUUCAUUUUUAAUUUAAAAAUAAAAUAACCUAUAUAGAAAUACAUUAUUACAUUAAUGUCAGGGAUUUCGAUAAAAAACUGAAAAUCACAAAAGUUUCAGUAAAAAAAUAUUGAUAAUUAGGGACCGCAUCCAAAGUAUUCCAAAAUUUAAUGACUGAGGCAAUAUCAGAUUCAAAAUUUAAACUUUGGCUUUUUAAUUUAAAAACCUAAAUUUUUAAAAUAGAAAUUUUAGCGUGCGAGCAAAUUUCAGUUGAUUCAUGGAGAUAUUUCAUCGAACACUUAGUGAGUUUGUUGUCGUCAGAUGAACUAUAUUACGAAUAUGUUAACAGAUAUUGACAUUUGCUAAAGCUAUAUAAUGAGUGCUAUUGAUAGCAUUCGUGGGUAGAUUUUGCUUCGUGAUCAUGGCAAAGCUUCAACAAGUUCUGAACUCAAUUGCUUUAUUAUAUUCUAUGCGUUUUCUUCAACAAAGUUAGGCUGAAAGAAUCGUUCACAUAAGAUAUUUGUCUCCUGAACAAGUCUUUCUUCCUUAAUUUUUCAAUAAUGACAAAAAAAAAGAAAAAAAAGCUACGAGAUAAUCAUACUAACUGAACAAGUUGCUCCCAUACAACAGUUAUCAGUGUUGACUCGUCAUGCGCACAAAGCUUUCGAACAACUAUAACAAAAAAGGCCCACAUUUCUCAAACUGUCUCGGAAGUUUGACUACCAUGGCGGAGAGCUUCUGCAUGCGGUUCAAGUACAACCUGCUAUGGAAGUGUUUAAAGAUUGAGAUGAAGUGGUGAUUCGUUAAGUAAAUUUUAUUUUUGUUGCAAACAUUGUUUUAAAAACUCCCAUCUAAGUGCUAUUCGGCUGACCACCACCCCGAUUAAUCCCUAAACAUUUGAAAAUAAAAAAUGGUACCUAAACCUGCCUAAGCGCCUACCUAGAUCGCCUAAGCGCCCUAGCCCACCCAAACCUACCUAGGUCGUGGCUCACUUCGAAAAUAGAUAACUUUCGUUUUGCUUUUUAUUUUUUUCAAUAAAUUGUAAAAGACUAGUCAAAUACUUAGAUUAACACAUAUUAUAUGCUUGUUCUCCAUGUUUUUAUUAUGAUUCAAUACUUUAUAAUAUGUAUGUCAUUAUAUUUUGUAGUUUAUCGUGAAAGUAUAUAUUUUUUAAGUAUAAACGUAGACACUUAUUUAUAUAAUAUAUAAUAAAUUUACUUAAAUCUGUUUUUUAUUAUGAUUCAAUACUUUAUAUAUGUCAUUAUAUUUUGUAGUUUAUCGUGAAAAUAUAUAUUUUUUAAGUAUAAACGUAGAUACUUAUUUAUAUAAUAUAUAAUAAAUUUACUUAAAUCUGUUUAAUCCUCCUAGGCCCUUGCCAAGCCGUCUAGCAUCUGACCCCAGGCCACCGCCUGGCCUAGCGUGUUUUAGAACUUUAGUUGCAAUACAUUGAGGUUCCGAUCCCCGCCCUGAAGAAGAAUGAGGUUUUGCUGAAAUUGGAAGCAGAUAGUCUCAACCAGUUGAUUGGAAAAUCAGAAAGGCGAGCUGCGGCCUCUUUUCCCCGGCAAAUUCCCUCAAAUACCUGGGAAUUCUGUUUCUCAUGUGAUUUGUGAUGUUUUUAUAAUUUUUUAUCUUCAACAUUCGUAAAUAAAACUUAUGCCAGAACACUAAAUAUAAUCUCUCAUUUGUGCUCGAUUCGUACGUGGAACACGUCCAGCGUUGUGGGUUGAUGGAUUAGUAGGAUUCUGUAACAAAAUUAUGUUGAAGGAUGAGUUGUUUUGGGAAUUUAAGCAUUCAAUGUCUUUGAGCUCUAGGCUGCUAUCUGUAGUGCAAAAUCUUUAGUGUAGACGGUUUUUAAUUCUCCUCUCUCUCUCACAUGACAUGACCAGCAACUGAUGUGGCCGGAGAGGUUGUAGAAGUUGGACAAGGUGCCAAAAAGUUCAAAUUCGGUGACAAAGUUGUUGUACUGCUCCGCCAUUUCGUAAGUGCUCGAUCGACUUAUUCCCCUUUUCUCUAUGAGCUACUUGUUUAUGCUUAGGAUUUUCACAUGUAAAAUUCAUGUGUUUGAUAGAGUGGAGGAGGACUGGCUGAGUUUGCUGCAACUAAUGAGAGAUUAAUGGUUGCUAGGCCACCUGAAGUUUCAGCUGCCGAUGGCGCAUGCCUACCGGUUGCCGGUCUCACAGCUCCCCAGGCUCUCGCCCAAUGUGGGGUCAAGCUUGACGGAACUGGUCAAAAUAAAUAACAUAUUGAUCACUGCUGCCUCUGGUGGCGUGGGGCACUAUGCAGUCCAACUAGCAAAGCUUGGGAUACUAACGUUACAGCCACAUGCGGGGCGUGUAACAUCGAAUUGGUCAAGAGCUUAGGGGCAGAUGAGGUUCUUGAAUACAGGACUGCGGAUGGGGCAGCUCUAAAGAGCCCAUCUGGACGAAAAUAUGAUUUUGUAAUCGACUGUGGAAAAGGCAUUCCUUGGUCAACUUUUGAGUCUAAUUUGAAUGCAAAAGGGAAGGUUGUAGACAUUUCUCCGAUGUGAGUUCUUUAGCUACUUUUGUAAUGAAGAAACAGCAGGUGCCACUGCUCAUGAUUCCCAAGGAUGUGAACCUAGAGUAUCUUGUUAAGUUGGUGAAGGAAGGGAAGCUGAAGCCAGUGAUUGACUCGAUGCAUCCUCUGAGCCAGGUUGAAGAUGCUUGGCUUAAGAGUAUCGAUGGCCAUGCUACUGGGAAUAUCAUUUUAAGCUUAGCUGAAGCAUUUAGUUGAACAUUUCCAAACAAAGAUCAUGCCUUUCAAUACCAACAAUUAUACAACUAAUCGCGGUUUGUCUGUCAUAUCAACGCAAACAGAGCAGACAGAAAGUAACUGGAACCCAAAUGAAAAGGACAAGGAUUGUCUGCCCUCCUCGUUCCCGUGCCCUCCUGUUUUGUGUGAUCACGGUAAAACCACGUCAACAUUUUAUAUUGUUUUUUUUAUAGAGAUAAUAAGACAAAAAUGAAUAGUAAUAUAAAAUGUUGACGUGAGUUAACCGUGACCACACAAACAGGAGGGCAUGUGAGGGCAUGGAAACAAAGAGGGCAGACAAUUCUUGUCCAAAUGAAAAACCUCGAAACAUUUUGGUCUCCCAAGUUAAAAUUUUGUUAGGCCACAAUAUAAAGUCUCGUUGCACUUGCAAGAAGCAAGAUCAAAGCCUUUUCCUUUGAUUAUUUCAAUCUUACAAACAACUCUGCAAGUCAAAUUUUUUAAUUUCCUGCCCCCAUAAUCUUGUUCAAAUCUUCGAACGUAAGAAACCAACUUAAAAGCCUAAUUCCCUACAUCAAUUCCAAUCCUAAACAUGAAAAUACAAACUUAAAAACUAUCGAUAUACCCUAAAAAGAACCAAAUUUUAGAAUGUAAUCGUAUCAGUUUAUAGUAUUUUAUUAAAGCACAACAAUCAACUCCACUCAUCUAUCUAACCCUGGUUCCACUGUAACGAGUGCAUUUUCGAUCACCACCCUUGAGAACUCCCGUUGAUUUCUUUUCUUAUGUCUGUACUUUCCUGCUGUUUAUGAUUCAUUGUUAUUACUCUGCGCAAAAUUGUUAAUUUUUUCAAAGUACUCAAAGUAUUAGCAUUAACUUACCAAAAUUUGAAAGUAACUGUUGUGGCCUAUUUAACUGAAGGGGAAUAGGGGGUGAAUAGGGGGUGAGGCAAGAGAGAGUAUGGAGAGAGUGUAAUGAUUUAUUAUGUGAAUGUUACUCCCUCUGCAGUGUCUUUAUUUAUAGUCGAGAAUAAGGAGAGGAUUAACUUGUCCUUCAAGUAAAUACAAUCCUAUAGGAAAAGUAUAACUAGCAACCAAAUGUAUCUAGGAUUUUUCAAUCCAAGAAUAUCUAUGACUUGCGAUUUUAUUUGUAAAACACUGCAAUUCAAAACAAAGCAUGGCCAAAACUAAGGCUCCACAAUUAUCUUUCCGGUAGCAUGGCCAUCGCUGAUCCUAUCCCAAGCGUCCUCCGCCUUGGCCAGGGGAUACUUUGAGUCAAUUAUAGUCUUCAGCUUCGCUUCUUUCACCAACUUAAUAAGAUACUCAAGGUUAUCAGCCUUGGGAAAUAAGAACAGUGGCACCAGUUGCUUCUUAGAAAAGGUAAGUUUCUUCAGUGCAACGCUAAACAGAGAGCUGGGGGUGGGAGUAACAUCUAUUACCUUACCGUUCGCACUCAAAUUAGGCUCAAAAGUUGACCAAGGAAUGCAUGUUGCACAGUGGAUCACAACAUCAUAUUUUCGACCAGAUGGACUCCUAAGAGCUGCACCUUCUGGGGUCUUGUAGUCAAUAACCUCAUCAGCCCCUAGGCUUUUGACCAGUUCAAUGUUGCGGGCACCACAAGUGGCUGUAAUAUGAGUAUUUCCGAGCUUUGCCAACUGAACCGCGUAGAGACCUACACCACCUGAAGCAGCUGUGAUCAGGAUGUUUGCUUGCUGACCACUUCCAUCAAGCUUGAUCCCAGCAGUUUGUGUAAGAGCCUGGUGAGCUGUGAGACCAGCAACGGGUAAUCCUACAGCGGUGGCUGCAGAAACUUCCGGUGGCCUUGCAACAGUUAAACUCUCCAUUGUCACGGCAAAUUCAGCUAGUCCACCUCCAGUCUUUGAUUCAUUGUCGAAGAACAGAAUGAGACAAAAAGGGUCAUGGUAUGUAUCAAUGAAUGAUGCAUCAGAUAUCUAGGUGACACAUUCUGUCACUGGGUUUGCAUAUUAAGCACACCAAAAGUGGUUUUUACAUGCAAUAGUUCAGUCUCAUGCCGACUGGAAUGACACUAGGGAAAGAGGCACACAAAGUCGAUGAAGGGUUAACGAGGGUUUACAAAUACAACAAUUCAGAUUGGAACAAAUGGAUUCAACUUUUCAAAUUAGUAGAUACUUAUUCAGGUAUCAUUGAUGAAAAUAAUAGUUCUAAAUUAAGUUAAAUCCAUCAAUAUGCAUGUUUCCUAGAUGUAUGUGGAGCCUAAAAGAUGCUAUUUCCAAAACAUGAUAUGGAAGCUUAAUUCCCUUUUUCUGAAUUAUGUUAUCCUUUCAGUUAAAUUUUACUUCCGCCGAAAACGAAGACUAAAUUUGAAGAAUUUCAAGUGAAACAGAGAAAAUGAGCUAGUAUAUAAGGGAACUUACAAGAGUGUUAACCUUCCCAACAACUUUGUCACCAGGUUUGAAUUUUUUUACUCCAGGUCCUACCUUUACAACCUCUCCUGCCACAUCAAUACCUGUUCCGAGUUCCACCAAUGAAUAUCUUCAGUUAACAAAACGACUUCUGACAAAAUGCGGUUCUGUGAAAACUUCUACAUAAAACAUGUUAAGAAAUGCAUCCCACCCUUUCCCUUUGAAGAACUCGAAAAACUAUGCUAUAAUAUCAAUGUUUACGUAAGAAUCUCUCCCCAGAAAACACACAAAUUUCACUCCAGAAGUUUAUAGAUGAAAUGAACAAGAAACAGGUGUUUAAGCAUUUAUCGAACAUUCGUACUACUUUUCAAGAAAAAGAUCAAAUAAUACAUGGAAUGAGGCAUAAUUACGUAAAGAGUUAUAAACACAAAAUGGAUCCCCUAAGUAGCAGCGUCUCAAGGCAGCCAAACCAAAUUACCAGGUAUGUACGGAAACCUGCGAGGCAACAAAGGCCAGAGCAUGCCUUUCUGAGCUUUCCAAUCAAUUGCGUUUAGACUAGUUGCCUCCAAUUUCAGCAACACCUCAUCUUUUUUCGGAUUUGGAAUCGGAACUUCAACAUGCUGCAAUAAGGCCAAUGUCAUGACAAGAAUGUGUUCUGCAAAGUUCUUCAAAGCAACAAAGUAUCCACAUAAUAGACCAACAACUUUGUUUAACAUUUCAUAAGCAUAUACAAAUGGUAAUUUUCUCGAUAACAAAACCUAGUAACUGAGUAAAUCCCUGUUACUAUUUCUUUCAUCAUGUGAUUUUGGAUAAAAACAAUAAAAGUAAAAGAUAAAACCUCUUCCUUUAUCAUUUCCUUCCCAUCAUCGCAAUGACUCAAUCAAGUACUCGUAUUCCAAGUGGGAUUUCAGUUAUUAAACUGAAAAUAUGACUUCACCCCUGGAACAUAGAUUUUUCAUCUAAAACCCGACAUAAUUGUUUUACUUGAUUAAAGCCUGGUGAUUAGGAUCCCCAUAAGCAUAUUCCUUAAUUAAGCUUGAAUUCAAAUAUUUUACAUGUUUCCAAUGGCUAUAUUAUCCCUAAUAACAAUUGGAUUUAGACAUUUCUUUUCCUAGUCUAUUUCAAUUUUUUUUUUAACAAACUAUAUAUUUUCUACACUAAAUGAGGGGGGUGAAUUUAACCUCAUAAUGAGCUAGCAAUAAUGAGGUCCAAAUUUGCCUUUGGCGAAAAUUGAAGCCAAGACCUCCCUCUUUCACAAUUGUUCUUGCUUCUUAUUUUUUUGUUUGAAAUUGAUUUAUUAUAUGCAACUAGGUAAAUUUGUGCUUGUAAAUAUAGAUAAAUUAGUGUAAAUAUAGGUAAAUUAGUGUAUUUCUUAUGUGAUGUCAUAAAAUAAUGUAUCUAUUAUUUUCUCACCCUUUAGUUGUAAUACUUCGUUGUAUGAAAAGAAUGUGCUUAUAUUGUGUCGGUAGGUAAUUAUUGCACAUGAAAAUGCAGGUAAAUAACUUAUAUAUACCAUAUAAGUAAAUUAGUGAAUCAACAAAUUCUAAAUGGGUACAUUAAUGAUAUAUAAAUAGACAAAACAUUAUGAAACUCAUUGAAGGCGCAAAACAAGGAGUAAAUCAUCCAUAUUGACAUGAUUGGAGAAUACUUGCAAUUUUGUAAAAUAAUUGCAGUAAUGGGUCAACAACUCAUAUUAAAUUUUGGAUUUUAUUUAGAGGUUAAGAAGUACACGGCUAUAAUGAACUCUCGAAAAAAAAAAAAAAAAACAAGUGAGUUUACGUUUAUGAAAUAAGAGUUACAAGUCUAUAAACAACCUUUAAACCAGAAGUUCCGCCGCCAUAGUUGUCGUACUGAACCGCGUGCAUGGUCUCAUUGGCCAUAGUCUCUCAGUUGUAAGUCCAACCAACGUUACGAAGAGCCGCAGAAACUUGAAGCUCCUCCCUCCCGGAUUCUAUGAAGUACAGAGCUUAUGCUAGUACAGCAAUGGACUCAUUAGUCCAUGUCUAAUGUGGAAUAAACUAAUAAACGUGAUUCAUAAGAAUGUUGACUCAUUGGCCCAUGUCUAUUGUCGAACAAACUAAUACACGUGAUGUUGACUCAUUGGCACAACUAAUUCACGUGAUCAUAAUGAUUUGGGCAGUACAAUAGGUACAUCAUGGUCUGGUCCCCAUGUUAAAUAGACAAUAUGUGUGGUCCAUAUGUUAAAUAGACAAUACGACAAGUAGAUGGUCCCUAUCUUGUCCCUACGUGAAAUAGACAAUACGUAUGUGGUCCAUAUGUAAAUAUACAAUAAGUGUAUGCAGUGCUGAUGCCAAGAUUUGUCGAGGUGAGGGGUGAAAUUCAAGAGAGUGCAAGAUUCAAUCAAAGCGGUUGCUUUUAUAUUGAAGAGUGCAAAGUUUUGAGUCAAUAUUCAAAGCAAAAAAUAGUAUCUCCACAAAAGCGGUUGUAAGCGAUAAUAUCAAAGUCAAUGUAAUAAGCUUAAAUUAGCUAGGAUUAUAUUCUAAAAAAAGCGCUAGUCAGGUAGCAGAUUGGAACCUAGUAGCUAGGCACCUAGGCGAGAUCUAGGCAGGAGCCCAAUAGGAUUUAAAUGAAUUUCUUUUAUCGUAAAAUAAGCAUUAACCAAUAUUUACAUUACUUUUUAAAAAGUAAUACAAUAUUUAUAGAUAAUGUGAGAGUUUAAGAUAAAUACAGUAGGGGUCUUAAAAGAAAAAAAAAAACAAUACUUGAGUGCUCACAAUUUAGUACCAAUUUUACUCACUAGACUUUAUGGCCCAAUAAAAUUACAACAAUUGUCAUUCUUAACUCUCUAACCAAACAACAACAUAUCUACUAUUCUAGCAACCAAACACUUUAAGGGCGCGUUUACUAAUCCGUAAUCAAAUUUAAGGGAAUUGAAUUGAGGAGAAAUCGGAUUGAGGAGGAAUUUAAUUGAGAAUGAAACAAAAUUAGAUUCCGGUUAAAGUUGUUUACAAAAUUAGAUUCUGGAAAUUAAGUUUAUCAAAUUAAAUAUAAGCUUAUUAUAUUAACACCCCACAUAUUGUUGAAUAAACUCCACAUAUUUAAUGCACCUCACAUUUGUUUUUUUAAUUAAAACUUAUUUUAAUAAACCCCACAUACUUCCCAUAACACCCUUAGACCCCACAUUCUCAACAUACACCAUACAUUUUCUAUAUACGCCUCCACAUUCUUCAAAUCUUAUAAUUCUCAUUCUUGCUUUUGUGGUUUUCAUUAGGACUGGGUUCAAAAAACCAAAAAUCGAAAAAAAACUGAGAACCGAACCGAAACAAAAAAAACUGAACAAAAAAAAUCGAACCGAAACGAACCGAAUUUGGCCAGUUCGGUUCAGUUUUUAAGGUCCGAAAACCGGACCGAACCGAAUUAAUUAAAUUAAUAUAUUUUUUUAAUUUUUUAUUAUUUAAAUAUCUGUUUUGAAUAUAUAUAUAUAUAUAUAUAUAUAUAUAUAUAUGUGUGUGUGUGUGUGUUGGAAUGUGUAAUGGGCUAAUUAUUAUAUUAUUAAACUAAUUAAAGUGUUGCUGACAAAGGUUGUAUCAAGCACAUGGGUGCUUGCUUUAUAGAACUUUGUCUCUCUCUCUCUCACUAUUUCUCACUCUCUCGUAGUAUCUCACUAUUUCUCUCUCUCUCCGCUUUUUAUUUCUUAAAUCUUGAUUCUAUUAUUUUAAGUCUGAUUCUUCGAACUUUUGAUCCUAUUAUUUUCAAGUCCGAUUCUUCAAGCUUUUAAUUCUACAAUCUCCAUCUUCGAGUUCUUUUUCAUUCUCAAACCCACCGUCGAAUUCGAGUUUGUGAUUCUAUGAUACAACUGCAGUUUUCAUUCUCAAAAUCGAAACAAACCGAAUUGAAAAAAAUAGACCGAACCGAACCGAAAUUUCGGUUCGGUUUCGGUUUGGACAAAAAACUGAACCGUUUCGAACUGAACCCAGCCCUAGUUUUCAUUAUUCUCCAUGGAAAUCCUGAUCUUCCGUUUCCUUCUUUUGGUGUUUGUCUGAGAGAUAGUUCUGCUACUUCGACUUUCUCUUUGCUUCCAUUUAACAUAUUGAACUACCUCCUUUCGGUGACUCCUAUCAACGUAGGGGAUUGUGCUGGCAUCUUGGUUGAGAAUGAUGGUAUUCACUCGCAAAGUGGAAAAAAAAUAAAAAUAAAAUAGGCUUCGGGGGCUUGGACGCUUCAACGAAGGUUAAUGGCUUUACCUGUUCAAAUAUUGAAUAAUCAACAUUGAGAGUAUGACAGUAAGAGGACAGAAAAUAACAUGGAUGGGGAUAAUUAGGAAAUAUAUAACAACAUGUGAUUCAAAAUAAAAAUAAGCCCCAGCGUUGUAAAUGGAUCGAGAAGCAUGAUUAGUUGGGACAAGGUCCUAUUAUCAUUGAGGUUUAUAUCAGACUUGCCAUGGGGAAAAUGAAUCAAUGUUACCUUUCAUUUCCAGAACUGUGAUGCUUUUGACAACAUAUGCAAGCAUACCAAAACAUGUCUAUCAAUCAGUGGUUACCUUUUAUUUUAAACUGAUACUGGAAGAAUCCUUGAUAGAUUAGAGACUAAUAUAUAUACUUGUAUUGAGAACAAAAUAAUAGUAAAUUGAAAAAUAAAAGUAGAAGAAUACAUAGAUUACAAGUAUUCAACAAAUUUAGAGUUUAAAAACAUAUUAAUAUAAUCAUAAAAGGCCUAGCCCCACCAAAACCCUAUUUACUUUUGCAUUCAUUUUUCCUCUGGAGCCCAAAAUGCUCCCUAGCCCCACCAAAACCCUAUUUACUUUUGCAUCCUCGUACCUUUGUUAGCUGUUUCUGCAAAAUCCGAAGAACCAUAAAUGGUCAGAUGAAUCAAGAAUCCAAAGAAAGCCAAAAGAAGGGCCAGGGUUAGCGCCAAAUUCCACUAUCUUCUCCGUUGAUUGUUUAAUUAUUUUAAUAAAAUUAGGGUUUUGUCUUAAAUUUUUGUUUAGGGCUCAAAGAAAAAAGGUGGAUUGCCUUCCUCUUCAGGACCAUCGAUGCUGGCGAAGGUAUAGCAACCGCCUAGCGGGCCGCCUAGACCGCCUAGCGGGCCGCCUAGACCGCCUAGCGGGCCGCCUAGACCGCCUAGCGGCUGCCCAGGUACCCGCCUAAGCCAUCAUCGAGUUUCUCUAAUGUUUUGCUCCAAAUCACCUCGGAAGCCUAACGCCCAGCGCCUAGGCAGCCGCUUAGACCACGUUUUCGAACACUGGUUAGAAUGAAACUUAAUUAAAAUAGAUCAAAGCAUGACUUUGGUAGGUGAGAAGCCACCAACAUCCAUAUUUAAUAUAGAGACCAUAAUUAUUGUAGUGCGUACAUUAUAUAACCCAAUUAUCAAUUUCCUUUCUCUUUCUCUUUCGAAAAUCAAUGAAUAAUGGGUGAAACUUUAUAAUUUUAACCAGAUCCACAGAAUGUGAAACUUUAAUUUUAAUUUGCUACUAUUUCAUUGCCUUGGAUUUUUGUCACUGGUAGUGGCGACCGAAAAAAGCAAUGAACAGAUGGACAUGGGAAGUACAGAAAUUUCUGGAUGGAUGUUACGAGUGUACGAUCACCUUCAUACGCUCAACCCAAUCUGAUAGGAUUGAAGUUUCUUUUCAAUUUUUUUCUAUCAUUUUUUUUCUAAAUUUGGUUUUGAAUUUGCAGGUACUGGCCUCCAGCAGCCCUCUGCUUGCACAUCCGCACUCUGCAACCUCUAAUUUGGGUAAAUUUUGGUUUUGAUUUUUCUAGAUCAAUAUGUAUUUGUGCCUGGCUGUUUAAUUCUACGAUUGAGGAUUUUUAACUAGAUUUAUUAUUAUAUAUGGAGGAUUUUUAAUCAAUUUUUCUAUUUGCUUUUUACUUUUCCGCAUUUUUCUUUUUACUGUGAAUUGUAUGAUGAAAUUAUUUUUUUGGAAUGCUUCUAUUUUUCUUGCAAGAUGAAAUUAUUUUCUAGAAUGCUUCUGUUUUUCAUGUAGGAUUAAAACAUACAUAAUUGUUUAAGUUACCACUUUAUACUCUACAAUCAACUAUGUCUACUAGUAUAUAUACGGCAAGAUACUUAACAAAAAGUGACUCAAAGCGUCUCGAUAACAGUAGAUAGCCAAAAACAACUAGCCAAAAUGGCCGAUCAGAGUCGGUAGCCAAAAAACAGCUAGCCAAAGUGGUACUCAAGCUUUAUAUCUUGGUCUGCAAAAAAAUGUUGUUAGCUUCAUCACCGUCUAUUACCGAGAGAAAUUUUUUAUUGUGAUUGGAAUACGAGCGUUACAUCACAUGUUUUAUAUAAGUAAUAGAAAAUUUUAAUAAUAUAUAUAUCUCAUCAUUUGUAUAGUUACAUAUGGUGUAUCAUUUCAUAUUCUGAUUACACUAAAAAAUUUCUCUAUUACAGACGAGUUUCCUUGUAAAAGGAUAUUAUAUUUGGAGGGACCACAUAAAGAUAAUUGGGCUGAAUUGGUGGUUGCUUUUCUUUCAUUUAUAAUGUAUAUGUGUUCUUACUUUGUCCACUCCUUUUUGUCUCGUAAAUGUUUUUUGUGUGUCACAAAUGAGUCUGACUUGUCCUACUAGGUUGAGUCUGACUUGUCCUAACUUAAUUCAACCAGCCAUUCGAUACCUAACCUCAUAUCUAAAUGACUAAUUUCUAUUGGAUUAGGUGUUGAGUUUUUACUUAUGUGUUCAAAACUUUCCCUUUCUCUCAAGUAAUAUAAUAGUUUCGAACUCUUCCCUUACUCCUUAAUAAUAGUAACUUUUUCUUUUUUAAAAAGGACAUGAUAGAAUGCAUGUGAGGUAAGUUUUUUUGAGGUCGUGAUUUAGAAAGGAAAAAAUGUUGUGUGGUGCUAUCUGACAUUGGAAAGUUAAAUCUUGUAUUAUGAGAAAAGUUUGGUCUAUUUUCAAUUGGUUUUGAAGUGCAACUUCAACUUUCUUCAUGUAAGAGAAAGAAAAAAGAAACAAAGAGGCAAUAAUGAGUUAUGGAUUGCCCUGACAUUCUUAGUCAACCAACUGCGUCUCAAGUUCAAACCCUUCUCUCUUCACUAGUGUAGAUUAGUAGAGUUUUGUAAUAUAUUUGAAUAUUUUUCUUUCUUGUGUUUUUUGGGAAUCUACAUUUAGAUCAUUUCGAAUGUUUGGUUAACUUAUUUUUUUAUAUGAAUUUUCAAUUACAGGUUGGUACUUGGUUGCUUGACUUCUAACCCUUUUGUUAGCUCAUAUGAGUAGUUGUGUGCGUGUUGUAUUCUCUUUUGUUGUGAUGGAUUUUUGUUUGAGAUUUUAGUUAGGAUUCUUGUUUCUCACUAAGUCUACUUGCUUUGCUUUAUAUAUAAAUUAGUUGUCAUUUGGGAUUUGAAUAUUUAGGUCUCACUGUUUUUCAAGAAUGGUCUCUUUGUGUAGGUCCACUAAUAUGGAAAACAAAGGUCCAACUAGGUUGGCCAACAAAUAAUCCAUUUUUGUCUUUUGCAGGUCAAUCAUGGUAUUGGUUAUAUCACCACCCAUAUUCCCAGGUGCUAUUACAAAUAUAUACCGGUAAAGUCGUUUAAUAACUUAAAUAGGUGUUAAUAUGUAUACCUUUUGGUCAAGUGUACUGUAGAAGGGAUAUAUCUUGUGUAUCAACACUUUUUUUCUUGCUAUAAUGUUUUUAGUAAGUUAUGCGUUUGAACAACAUUUGGGUUACCUAACCGUUUUGUUUGAGUGAAACAGUUCUUGAUAUGUCUACUGGAAUGGAUUACAAAAUUAAAAGUGGUGAUGCAGCUGGAGCUUUAAAGAUUGAACCUAUUCAAAGGGCCAGUUUCCUCUAUGUUGCCUAUUAUUGAUGCUACCGAUUUCGUAGCAGACAACUCCCAUUCAAUAUUUUUAGUUAUGAUAUUAUCUUUUUCAAGCUACAAUUGGGAUAUAUUGUAGGUUACUGUGGACAUGUUAAUGUAAAAACUACCCAUAUUUGAAUUAUAAGAAUUUUUUUUCAUUGAGUUUCAUAGUAUGUACUUGCCAUUUACAUAACUACAUUAAGCUGAAAUGCUAGUUUAAUUCCUAAAAUGAUAAAAUGUAAAUGAAUAAAUGGAUUAAAAUAUAAUAUAAACAAUUUAAAGGAGCAUGUGACGAUAUACCUAUUCAUCACAUAAUUUUAGGAUUUGUGACGCUUAUAACGUCAUAAAUUGAGUCAAGAUUGGCAUUUGGGCUUGAAAAUAUGUGAGGAAUCGGGCGCCACGUAUACUAAGAACAAGUGACGAAUCACAAAUUCGUCACAUAUACUAUCGAUGACUCCACAUAGGUGACGAGCCUUGUGACAACCGAAAUUCGUCGCAUAUACUAUUAUAUGACGAAUUUGUAGUAUUCAGUGACGCUUUGCCAUCGUCACUGAAGCCCUGUUUUCUUAUAGUGAAUACAUAUACUUGUAUUGAGAACAAAAUAAUAGUAAAUUGAAAAAUAAAAGUAGAAGAAUAUAUAAAUUACAAGUAUUCAACAAGUUUAGAGGUUAAAAACACAUUAAUAUAAUCAUAUAUUAUUUUGGGCCCAAAAUAAAGGCAUAUUAUAAUCAUAAAAUGCCUAGCCCCAUCAAAACCCUAUUUACUUUUGCAUUCAUUUCUCCUCUGGAGCCCAAAAUGCUCCCUAGCCCCACCAAAACCCUAUUUACUUUUGCAUUCAUUUCACCUCUUACCUUUGUCAGCCGUUUCUACAAAAUCUGAAGAACCAUAAAUGGUCAGAUACAUCAAGAACCUAAAGAAAGCCGGCCCAGGUUAGCUCCAAAUUCCACUACCUUCUCCGUUGAUUGUUUAAUUAUUUUAAUAAAGUCAGGGUUUUGUCUUAAAUUUUUGUUUAGGGCUCAAAGAAAGGACGUGGAUCUCCUUCCUCUUUGGGACCAUCGAUGCUGGCGAAGGUAUGGCAACUGCCUAGUGGGCCGCCUAACACCGCCUAGACCGCCUAGCGGCUGCCUAGGCGCCUGCCUAAGCCAUCACCGAUUUUCUCUAACGUUUCGCUCCAAAUCACCUCGGAAGCCCAACUCCCAGCGCUUAGGCUGCCUCUUAGGCCGCAUUUUCGAACAUUGGUUAGAAUGUAACUUAAUUAAAAUAGAUCAAACCAUGGCUUUUGUUGAACACUGAAAUAGAAAGGAACGAAGUUACCCGAAAAAAUGUAAAAGCCUUGAGUGGUGAAUGAUUCUUGGGAUGAGUCGCGGACUAAGUCACUUUCUUUAAGACGUUUCGCGGCUCUGCCCAAAGUGUGCAAGCAGUUCACAAACACCACGUCGUCCCUAGGAUAAAACAGCCAAGAACCUUCUUCUGAUAAGAUUCUUCCUUGCACAUCGGAAGAACCUUCGAACUUACACCUUACCAAUAUAUUGCUUUUUAUAAAUCAAUAUAUAUAAAACUUUUUCUUACUUCGUCUAUGUUCUGCUCUUUUUCUAACCUAUAUAAUCUAUAUAUAUAUAUAUAAAGAAAUAGACAUUGGAGGGUUUGAAACCGUAAGAAAUCAUGGAUGUUUAUAGGAUGCACGUUGGAGGGUGUGAAACCGUACAAAAUCAAGGAUAUUUAUGGGGAUUUAUGGGAUGCAAAACUGUCUACAAUCAAAGGAUGAUAACAAAUUAUGUUUUAUAUUUAAUGUUUGUAAUAAACUAAAAUAUAAAUAUUUAAAAUAUUUAAAUAAAAACAUAAAUGCUCCAACAGCUUUGGUAGGUGAAAGCCACCAACAUCCAUAUUUAAUAUAGGGACCAUACUUAUUGUAGUGCCUACAUCAUAUAACCACCAUAGGGUGGCUCAGUGGUUGGGUUCGAAUUCUAGGUUUGUAUUCUACACGGUACGUCUUGAGUUCAAUUCUUAGCGCUUGUCAAUAUGGGUGGGUUCAAAAAACCGAAAACCGAAAAAAACCAAAAAUCGAACCGAACCGAACCAAAUUCUUUUGGUUCGGUUUCAGUUUCAGUGGUCUAGAAACCGAACCGAACCAAAUUAAUUAAAUUAAUAUUUAAAAAAAUAAUAAUUAUCUGUUUUGGGUAUUAUUUUGUAAACCCAAUUUAUAAGCCCAAAUAUGCUAAAAGCCCAAUGUGUUGCCAAAUUUUAAACCAAAAAUAUUAAAAAUAAAGCCUUUAGAAACUCUAAACCCAAACUUUAAGCCCAAAAUAUUGUUUCUUCACCCAUAUCCAGAUUUAAAAUUAAAAAUAAAUAAAAAAACAUGAAAACAAGAGUAAACUGUACCAUAUGCAUGCCACAUUUCAAAUAUUAUUUUGCAUUGGAUAUGUAUUUUUUUAUGUAUAGCAAACCUGCAGCAAAUAACAAUCAUUAGGAUGAUAAUAGGCAUAUAUUCCUUUCCCAUCUCAUUGAUCUCCUAUGCAAUAUAUAACCCACCCACCCACGGAUAGUGCAAGGAAAACCAUAAGCUUCUCAGAGAGAAUUUAUAAAUCACAGGUUGAUGAGUGUUCUCCGCUUGGAUCGACGUCAUGCCAUGAUGAUGGUUUUUCUUGCAUACACGGAAUAAGAGCCUAUUGUUCUAGGUAGUCAUGAAAAUAGCUUGAUUUGAUAUUCAUUUGUUCUAGUAGCUAGGUUUCAAUAAUAUAGUUUAUCACCCUAUUUAUCAAGUUUAAUGUCUAAACGUUAUUAUGUUUUUGGGAAUGAUUUUAGGGCAGCUAAAUAACAUGCCAAUAUCUAGAUUAAAAAAAUAAUUGGAAAAAACCGAACCAAACCGAAAUCGAAACUGAAAAAAACCAAACUGAACCGAUUUGAACUGAACCUAGCCCUACUUGUGAAUCAUACGAUGGUGGUAAAAGGGAGACUAAAAUUCCUCUUUGAGUUUUCCUGGCUACCAAAAAGGUGGAUUACUGUGACGAAGCCAACUAGUCCCUUUUUUGAAAAAAAAAAAUACACAUGAUUCAUGUUAAUAUAAUAAAAUCAAUAUUUUGUUGAUCUUGUAUUUCCACACACUAAUACACAUGUUAUAUGUUAUCAGUAUUUUGUUGAUCUUGUAUUCUUGUUGAAAUUUCAUCUUCUAGAAAAUUAUGUUGGCAUGUCAUAUUUUGUGACACUUAACCUAACUUUUUGAUAAAGUUGCACAUUUCGAGAAACAAAAACUAUAAUGAACAACUAGCAUUUGCCUAUUUUUUUAGAAAAUGAGAAGGAGAGAGAGAGAGAGAGAGAGAGAGAGAGAGAGAGAGAGAGAGAGAGAGAGAGAGAGAGAGAGAGAGAGAGAGAGAGAGAGAGAGAGAGAGAGAGAGAGAGAGAGAGAGAGAGAGAGAGAGAGAACGUGGGGGAAGUGAGAGUUUUUUUUAUUUUUUAUUUUUUAUUUUUAAUAUUGAAGGUAUUUUAACAUUACCUGUAGGUGAGACUUCAAUAAAAAUAGUAAAAUUUAGAGUUGUGAAAUUACAUUAUUGCCGAUUAUUUUUUUGUGUGAUAGAAGACUAAGUAGUCUUUUCACUUUCUUUUGGUUGACAAAGAGGGUUUCAUUAAUUAAUAGAGAUAAGAAUGAAAAAAUUUAAGGAAAAAUUAGUAUUCAGUUCUUAGUUUUUAAUGUUCUUAUAUUAAUUAAGACCUUAAUAGUUUUUAUAUUUUGAUCAAAGUCCCUAACAUUAAUGUAUUAAUAAAUUACAUGUCAGUUACAUAAAUUUUAAAAUAAAAAUUAGUAAUUGAUUUAGGGUUUUAAUACUCACAUCCUUAUUAAACUCCUAAUUCAUUUUCAAUUCAAAAAAUUUCCAAAAUAUAAAAACUAAAAUAAGAAUAAGUUUGUACCCAUUAAUGUUUUAUAAAAAAAAAUUCAAAAUUUUAAUUUUAUAUGUACCCAUUUAUAUAAUUCUUCUAUUUUUCUAAUCUUAAAUGUACUUAUUCUUAGAUAUACCAAUUUGUUAUCUAUAAAAUGUACUUUUUUUUAAUAUAAAUGUAGACAUCGAAAUUUCGGUAAAUAAAUGUUGACCGAUAAAUCAAAGUGUCAACGCUCAUGUAUUACAUAAAUUUUACACGUAGCGUAUGACUCAACGAAAAUUGAAAUGAGUUGGAAAAGUCAUCAAACAGGACACGUGUCAACACAUGGCAGAAAAGACUUAUUUCAUCUGGAAUAUUAUAUUCAAAAUUAGGCCUUGGAAAAUUCUAUAAAUAGAAGGCUAAUUCAUUCAUUUGGAACCAAUUGAUACUACACCUUGAAGCUCUGAAGCUCUGAAACUCCGAAGCUCUCAAGCAUCUAGGUUCCCGAAGAAUCAAGAAAGCCUUCUUCGUUCUUCGUUCAUCAUCCGUUCUUCCAAGAUCAAGCCCCGACGGCCCUUGGAUCAACAAUCAUCCACCUUCAAAGAUCAAGCCCACGACCCCUUGAAGAAACUUCCAACAGUUCAUCCAAGAUCAAGCCCCAACGGCCCUUUGGAUCAACAACGUUCAACAAAUCCACACAUCCAACCGUUCUUCAAGAUCAAGCCCAAAAGCCCUUGAAGAUCCGUUCAUCACCGUUAUUCAAGAUCAAGCCUUAACGGCCAUUGAAGAAACACUUAUCCUCAAGAUCAAGUUCCAACGGCUCCUUGAAGAUCCGCUCAAAUCCACCUUCAAAGAUCAAGCCCACGGCCCCCUUGAAGAAACUUCCAACAGUUCAUCCAAGAUCAAGCCUCAACGACCCUUGGAUCAACGAAACAUCCACAAAUCAAUACCUUACGGAGAUCGAAUCAGAGGAUCAAAUUUGAGAGAGAUUGUAACCCAAAAUCAAAAAAUACAAAUAUUUGUUUGUGCACGUCGUUCUUGUCUCUUUCGUUUCAGGAAUUUUCCGUGUUCACAAAUUGGCACGCCCAGUGGGACAAUCUCUGCCUCUCAUCUCUUUCUCCGUUCAAGAAAUUCAAGCGCCCUUCCAAAAUUAAUGACAUCAAGAAAGGCUCAAAUUGUUCCCGCAACCGGCGCAAAGAACAAAAGCGUCCUCGUCGCAACUGGUGUCACUUUGGGCAUCACGACUCGAAGCAUGGCAAGAGCUACUUCUGCCGCCUCUUUCACCUCUGCAUCAACUCUGCCAAGGGAACAAAAGCACCCAAGGCACGAGCCUUUGAUCACCUUACCUCACUAAGGGCACCAAGGGGGGAAAGCCCAAGGAAAUACUCCGAAUCCAUGCUCUCCGAUGCCGAUUCAAGCGACAGUUCAGCCAUGUAAGUCAUGACCAUUGGAGCAACUUCAAUCGAUGAGCAGCUGGCUCAAAUGAAUGAAGCAAUCGCAAGGCUAACCCGAACUGUGGAAGAAAAAGACUUGCAAAUUGCAGCACUAGUCAACCGAUUGGAGGCGCAAGACGACGAUAAACCCGACCCAGAGGAUGAUCCACUAAAGGGAGGAGCUGGCGGAGACGAAGAACCCCCGGUGAAGAAAAUCGAUGGGAAGCCGGAGCCAGACCAAGCAGCGGCACUCAUGGGAUCUCUUUCUAUCCAGCAGCUGCAGGAGAUGAUCACCAACACCAUCAAGGCACAGUACGAAGGGAGCUCACAUACCUCAUUGUUCUACUCGAAGCCCUAUUCCAAGAAGAUUGAUGCCCUAAAGAUGCCAAGGGGUUAUCAACCACCAAAGUUCAUGCAGUUUGAUGGAAAAGGAAACCCAAAGCAGCACGUUGCACAUUUCGUCGAAACUUGCAACAACGCGGGGACGGAGGGAGGCUACCUCGCCAAGCAAUUUGUGCGCUCGCUGAAAGGAAAUGCCUUUGAGUGGUACACAGACCUAGAGCCUGAGUCCAUCAACAGCUGGGAGCAAUUAGAACGAGAAUUCCUCAACCGCUUCUACAGCACCCGCCGCACUGUGAGCAUGCUAGAGCUAACGAGCACAAAGCAGUGGAAGGACGAGCCAGUCAUUGACUACAUCAACAGAUGGCGCACUCUAAGCCUCGACUGUAAAGACAGGCUUUCGGAAACCUCUUCAAUCGAGAUGUGCAUCCAAGGCAUGCAAUGGGGUUUGCAAUACAUCAUUCAAGGCAUUAAACCACGGACUUUCGAGGAAUUGGCCACUCGCGCCCAUGACAUGGAGUUGAGCAUCGCCCAUCAUGGGAAGAAGGAAUCGAUCGCCGACUACAAAAACGACAAAGUUCUUGGGCCAAAGGUGGAGAAGGCUACGUGGAAACCCACCAAGGAAGCAAUGACGGUCAACACAGCUCCCGUCAAAAUCCCCACACGAGGCAAGGCGAUUCAAGCCGAAGGCUUUCGUGAUCAAGAGAUGCGUAGACACACUUUGAAGGAGCUUGAGGAGAAAACUUAUCCAUUCCCCGACUCUGAUGUGGUUGCCAUGUUAGAAGACUUGCUGGAAAAGAAGGUGAUCGGCUUGCCUGAGUGCAGACGGCCAGAAGAGAUGAAUCGCACUGACAGUUCAAGGUACUGUAAAUUCCACCGCUUCAUCAGUCAUCCGACAGAAAAAUGUUUCGUGCUGAAAGAUCUCAUCAUGAAGCUGGCUCAGAAAGGAAUCAUCGAGCUAGAUCUUGACGAUGUGGUGAACACAAACUAUACCACCAUCACUUCUGGCUUUUCCGACUCGAAGUUUUCACCUCAACCGCUGGGGGCAUCCUCCAAGACAAGCAAAAUUGAAGGAUGGACUCAAGUCACUCCUAAGAAAUUGCACAAGAAGCAUACGUCUCCUCCACAAGUCCGCCAAUCGGAAAGGGGGCAAAACAGCUCUUGUCAACCUUCAAAGCAACAUGAACGUGUUGAAGAUGAUGAAAUUGCGACACAAAGAUCGUCCGUUGCCAUCACGAUGCGCGACUUCUUACCUAGAAGACGAAGGCAAAUGCUGCUGGAACAAACCCACAAACCUCUGAUGAUCAAGUAAAAUCUGACCAUCAGAUUCUUGCAUCUGGUCAAUCUUCCUCUUCAUGUUUGUCGCAUAGCUAUGUGCGAGCUUAUGCAACUGUUUAUUCUCCUGCUUGAGCCUUCUAAUCUCCUGUUUGAGACUCAUCACUUCCGCCACCAAUGAUUCAACUUGACGGGUUCGAGCAAAUAGGCGUUGGGCCAUAUUAGACACAGAACCUGCACACUGCACACUGAGAGCCAGAGAAUCCUUAACAGCUAACUCAUCAGACCGUUUGGAAAGUAGUCUGUUAUCUCUAGGAGUGACAAGGUUUCGGGCCACCACUGCAGCGGUCAUAUCAUUCUUCACCAUCGAAUCCCCAACGGUAAGAGGACCAGUAGGGGAUAUGAAGGAUGGGCGCCAUAUGUUGUCUGGAGAAGGCGGGACUACCUUUUCACCAAGGUUCAAAUCAAAACGAUGGUCGGAAGGCCCAGACAUUUUCAAAGGUGUUGAAGAAAGAAGAGGUCGGACAAAUUAAGAUCUUAGAAGUGCAAGAGGGGAGUUUCUACAAGCAAAAAUUCAAGUGUGCUUUGAAACGAACUGCGUGCCUCUAUAAAAAAACCAGCACUCGACAGGAUUUCAGAGAUCGAAGAGGUGAGCUCAGAGUUCGAAAAUGUCGAUUCAAAAAUCGAAGAGGCAAGCUCAGAAAUCGGAGAAGCAUCUUGCUUUUCCAGACGCGUUAGCACCCGUCACGCGCAAACUCAGCUUUGCGAAAAUCACGGGCAAUUUGUCGAAGCGCCGAUCCCAGAUAUCGAAGAGGUGCCAGUCUUUUUCAGCCUCGUCAACACCUAUCACACGCACACUCAGCUUGAUGAAAAUUACGGACAAUUUGUCGAAAAUUUCUGAUAAAGAAGAAAGCACGUGAAGCCAUACUGAUCAAUCACGCAUUGGUUACCGACACGAGUAAAAGAAUAGUACCUCUACAGGUACUAACGAAUUUCCUAUAACUGUCCACCUUCACCCUCCAUAGCGAGGCAGACAUACAUAACCUUUCUUCAUCUCCGAGAAUGCCUUCCCAACGAAGCCUCUCGGGUCACUCAGUGUUCCUUAUUCCUUGGGGUACCUCUGCAAGCCAAUGACUCCAAAGCAAAAGUAUCUCAUAUCACCAGGGUAGAAAGCAAGAGUAUCUCAUAUCAUGCGUUCUCCCUGUCAUUUCCUUUGUCCUUGUUCUUACCUACAAAGAUAAGGAUAAAGAAAACAAUAUGCCGGAACUUCCACUCAAACUCGGGUAAGGAACCGACUGCUUGGAACCCUUCCCUGAUUGCCUACCUAGCACUGCUCUCGAGUACUCGUCUCCCACUGCUGCUGUACUUCCAAAGAAGCUGCCACAUCUGCCUGAAGAACAUAUAAAGGCAAGUGAAAAUAAUACCUUGCAGCAUGUAGAGACAACGUGCAGAAGAAACAAGCAGAGAAGAAUGCGGUCUGCACAGUCAACUCAGCAGAAGGAGUCCGAACUGAGGAACUCAAGAAGCUGCCACAUCUGCCUGAAGAAACAAGCAGAGAAGAAUGCAGCAUGCACAGUCAACUCAGCAGAAGGAGUCUGAGAUGAAGAACUCGAGAAGAUGCCGCAUCUGCCUGAGGAACAGUUAAAGGAAAUGAAAAUGAUACCUUGAAGCAUAUGGAGACAAGUGCAACAAAGCACGUGCUGAGUCAUCCGCUACUUCUUCAAAAUCAAAAGUAUCUCAUAUCAUCAGGGUUGCAAUCAUUCUGGAUGGUGAACUCGUUUUGACCCUCAAAUUCUUGGGUCGACUUACUAGGUGUUGUGAGAUGUACGUGUCGAUUCACCACCCUUGAAUCAAAUCCUUAAAGAUCAAGUCACCAACUGGAAGAAGAGCCCAUCAAUCUUGAAGAUCAUACCGUUGACCAAACUGCUCAGGUGUGAAUUAGAAAGAUUGAACAAAGCAACAAGUCGUCACCUUCACCUCGUGCCUGCUUGUCAUGUGUUCGAGUCAACCUUCAAGAAUCAAGCCUCAAAGGCCCUUGAAGAAGUUUCCAGCCAAAUUCAAGAUCAAGCCUCGACGGCCCUUGAGGAAAUCACAAGUCCGAUUCAAGAUUAAGUGUCUACCACCUUUGAAUCAAAACCCAGUUCAAGACCAAAGCUGUGGAAAGUCAACAAGCACAACAUAAUAUGUGCCACUUCAUCCACUACCAAAGCCAAAGAUCAUCUACCACAUGAAGCUCAUUGUGGUCCAAUUUCAACCUUCAAGAUCAAGCCUUGACGGCCCGUGAAGAAAUUUCAAAUAAAAGUUCAAGAACAAGCCUCAACGGCCCUUGAAGAAAUUUCAAACGAAAGUUCAAGAACAAGCCUCAACGGCCCUUGAAGAAAUUUCAAGCCCAAGUCAAGAUCAAGCCUCAACGGCCCUUGAAGAAAUCUCCAGCCCAAUUCAAGAUCAAGCCUCGACGGCACUUGGAUCGACAUCUACAGUAAGGGACUUCAAAACGCAUCUCCUACACGUGACAAGCACAUGUAUACGACGUGCCUUGAAGUGGGGGCAUUUGUAGACAUCGAAAUUUCGGUAAAUAAAUGUUGACCGAUAAAUCAAAGUGUCAACGCUCAUGUAUUACAUAAAUUUUACACGUAGCGUAUGACUCAACGAAAAUUGAAAUGAGUUGGAAAAGUCAUCAAACAGGACACGUGUCAACACAUGGCAGAAACGACUUAUUUCAUCUGGAAUAUUAUAUUCAAAAUUAGGCCUUGAAAAAUUCUAUAAAUAGAAGGCUAAUUCAUUCAUUUGGAACCAAUUGAUACUACACCUUGAAGCUCUGAAGCUCUGAAACUCCGAAGCUCUCAAGCAUCUAGGUUCCCGAAGAAUCAAGAAAGCCUUCUUCGUUCUUCGUUCAUCAUCCGUUCUUCCAAGAUCAAGCCCCGACGGCCCUUGGAUCAACAAUCAUCCACCUUCAAAGAUCAAGCCCACGACCCCUUGAAGAAACUUCCAACAGUUCAUCCAAGAUCAAGCCCCAACGGCCCUUUGGAUCAACAACGUUCAACAAAUCCACACAUCCAACCGUUCUUCAAGAUCAAGCCCAAAAGCCCUUGAAGAUCCGUUCAUCACCGUUAUUCAAGAUCAAGCCUUAACGGCCCUUGAAGAAACACUUAUCCUCAAGAUCAAGCUCCAACGGCUCUUUGAAGAUCCGCUCAAAUCCACCUUCAAAGAUCAAACCCAUGGCCCCCUUGAAGAAACUUCCAACAGUUCAUCCAAGAUCAAGCCUCAACGGCCCUUGGAUCAACGAAACAUCCACAAAUCAAUACCUUACGGAGAUCGAAUCAGAGGAUCAAAUUUGAGAGAGAUUGUAACCCAAAAUAAAAAAAUACAAAUAUUUGUUUGUGCACGUCGUUCUUGUCUCUUUCGUUUCAGGAAUUUUCCGUGUUCACAAUAAAAUCUACCUAUUUUUUUUUAUAUAUAAUUCAUUCAAUCUUUUUUCUAAUUCAUUUUUUAAAUUUAUGUGGGUACAUUCUAUUUCUUUGAUUUGAGAAUGAAUUCAUGUCAAGUUUAAUAGAAGAAAUUUAAUAUGUACCCAUGUUUUGGAGCAAUAAUUUUUUUGUUAGUUUUAAUGAACGUACCCAUGUAUGUAUGUGUAUGUAUGUAUGUACACACACAAAAUAUAUUGGAGAGUAUAAUUUAUCUUUAAUAUUUUUUUAUCCCAUAAAUUAUAGGUUUUAUUUAAAAUCUCAUUAAUAUAAAUAACUACAAAUUUCAUUUUUAAUUUAAAAAUAAAAUAACCUACAUAGAAAUACAUUAUUACAUUAAUGUCAAGGACUUCGAUCAAAAACGGAAAAUCACAAAAGUUUCAGUAAAAAAACAUUGAUAAUUAGGGACCGCAUCCAAAGUCUCCCAAAAUUUAAUGACCGAGGCAAUAGCGGAUUCAAAAUUUAAACUUUGGCUCUUUUAAUUUAAAAACCUAAAUUUUGAAAAUAAAAAUUUUAGCGCGCGAACAAAUUUCAGUUGAUUCACGGAGACAUUUCAUCGAACACUUAGUGAGCUUGUUAUCGUCAGAUGAACUAUAUUAUGAAUAUGUUAACAGAUAUUGACAUUUGCUGAAGCUAUAUGACAAGUGCUAUGGAUAGCAUUUGUAGAAUAUUAUUGACGCAACCUACCGAGUACUAUCAAGAUAUGCUUAGAGGGGAUUACAUCAAAUACUGAUCCCAAUGUGCAUCUGCCCUUGAACUAACAUGGUCAUUUUAUUUUGGAUGGAAAAUUAAAUAGAAAUUGGAUGUCAAAGAUCUUCGGCCAACUUUGUAUAACUUGUAUCAAAAGCACUGUCAAAUAUACUUUACAAGAAAAUGAACAUAAAUCAAAUAAUCCAUAUCAUUAACAAUACAAGACCCACACAUUAAACUAUUAGAAAUAUCAUAUAGCACACAACUAAAGCAACUGUAUCAGACAACUCUUGCAUUUAUAAUUUGUUUUAGGUUACAAGACUAUAUUUCGUCUACUUAAGCCUCAACGAUGACCUUCCCGGUUGCAUGUCCAUCCAUACUCUUAGCCCAUGCAUCUUCAGCCUUGCUCAGAGGAUGCGUCGAGUCGAUUACCGUCUUGAGCUUUCCUUCCUUCACCAACUUAACAAGAUACUCAAGGUUCUCAGCC